CAUAGGGAAUUACAUAAGAAGCCAACAUGUAGUUGAGGCUGUUGCUGUAGGGGUUGAAGGGAGGGUCGAGUUUGUACCCAAAUGCUUCAUCAAAGAGCUUUGCAAAGUUUUCAGCACGGAGGUCCAGCUGUGGCCUUGGAACAAACCUACCGUAUCUCUAAGCGCCCUAAAGUUCAAUGACCAAAGAAAAAAUUGAUGAUCAGAUAUACUUCACGAUUGGGAUUCUAGCUCUAAUAUAGUAGAAAUGAAUAAAUACAUAUGAACCUGAGAUGGCCAACUUCUUGAUAGGCAAAUUCAGUGAUAAUGUUCUUUGUAAGAAGAUCGAGAUUGGCUUUUUGGGCACCGAUGGGAGGAGGGCCUCCCUUGGGCAAUUCAGGCUCAACCACGUCGAGCCCAUGGCCUAAGGCACCCCACAAGAAAAAUUCUGCUUCCAAGAACUCUAGAUUCACUGGAAACUGCAACAGUUCAAUGUCUUUCUCGUAUAGUGGAAGUGAUUUUUGGGGAAAAGUUGGCUUGCAAGGUUGAGGGGAAAAUGAUGCUGUGGAUGCUGUGCAAGACACCAUCAAGAUCAUGAACACGACUGUUUGAGGCUUAUAUGAUAAAAGAAGAGCCAUUGUUCGACGGCAGAAUGAGAAACAGAGGUUGAGAAGACGUGAUUUGAGUUUUGAGAUGCAUUGAUCGAGAAAUUUGGUGGUAGUAUUUAUACUGGGCUUGAACAUUGACAUGUAUUUCUUUCGAAGUACGUUAAUCCUUGACCUGGACAAAUCUCCACCCGAAAAUUGUGUAAACAAUUGUUAACCAAUCAGAAAUGCACAUGCACGUCAUGAAACACAAAAGUAUCAGAUCUGCAUAGCUAAAUUAUACUAAUAGAGUAAAUAACAUUGAUUUCCCUUUAAGUUUGUCAAAAUUGCAAGUAGCUGCUCAUUUGUUGCUGAAGCUGUUUUUAGAAUAAGUAUAUAAAAUAUAUAUAUAUGAGGAAGCAUUGGUUUAAAAAGUCGAGGUUGAGAAUCCAAACUUUAAAGAUUGUAGAUUCUAAUUCUCCUUUUUUCUUGACGCUUCUUAAAUCCCAUCCUUUGUAUACUAGAGAAAAUAUAUGUGUGAGUUGAUUGUCAGCAAAAAUGUUUUGGACAUUUCAAAAUGACCAUAAAACUGAACCUAGUAUUGAUUUCUCUCUGGUCAAAUUGUGGACUAGUCUUUUCGAUUAGUUUGACUGUGCAAUAGACUUAAACUAUUUGAUUGAUUUUAAAUCAAUUAUGUACCUCUCUGUGGCUGGAAAAUUCCGUGUUUGAAAAUGCCAAAAAUUUGGAGGAAGGAAUAUGGACAAAGGGAUUCUCUUUCCCACACAAGCAAUUGAUAUAUCAAGAAGAAUUCAUGAUUCACAUGGAACCCUUGGGUGUCUUAUACCAGCAUGCCUUCUGGUUUCUUAAGAAAUUCGGUCCAAUGUUUCAUCUAUGAAUCAUGAGUUAAAAGUCACCGCUAAUAUCUUUCAGAUUAAGUUUGUUGGUCAUAUUCUGGUAUGAAAUAUGACCUGCCGAAUUGCUGUGGAUACAUGCUGCCCUAGGCCUGCAAGUUCUGGAGUAAGGUACUUGUUGGUUUCUUUGCAUUUUGCAGUUGCGGUCCCAUGAAUGAGUUUAAAGUCACUGAAGUACGUGCAAAAUCUACGGACUCAGUUACUGCUUUUGGACUUCAGUUACCAUUUUGGCCAUUUAAUUAAGGGUCUGUUUCGAUUCAGGUGUUUUUGACAUAUAGAUUUUCCAAAUACAACAGUAACACAAUUUAAAAACACUCUAACAACAUUCAAAAAUACCGAAAUACACUUACCCAAAAAAAAAAAAAUUCUAGCUGUCUUUUCAAUCUCCUCCAGAACCGCCCUUGGAAUCUGAGGUGACUGCAUAGCAUAAGAUAGCAGCCUUUUUGUUUUUCUUUGAUUUAUUUAUAGCAAUACCUCUUUUUUUUUUUUAAUAAACAACAUACCAUUAUUGUAACUAGUAAUAGGUGAUGUGCUUCUCAUAUGAUUAUAUCAUAAAAUGUACUGUUUCUUAUGUACAAAUUUUUUGAGAAAUUUUAUUGUUAACAUCAUAAUUUAAUAUUUAGAUUUAUCCAUCUUUUUUUCAGUUUUCUACUGUUACUUUAGGACUUUUAAUGAAAUUUAAAAAAAAAACCCUUAUAGGGCCGAUUCCAUACACUAUAAGUCAACCUUUGAAAAAAAAAAAAAAGAGCAUAAUAGAAAAUAUAAAAAAUAUAUGCAUUCCCCAAUUGGUAUGCAGUGACAUAUAAGGGAUAAAAUUAAACAUGACCCUAAAUAUAAUACGUUGUGUACAUGACUAAAUCCAUUAGAAUUUUUCAUUUUCCGUUAGAGGUCCUAUAUUUUUUGUGUAAAGAUAAAUGACUAAAAUGGUCACAAUAUUAGAUAAGGGACUAAAUUGGCCAAAAUCUCAAAGAUGAGAGACCAAAAUGGUCAUUUUCCGGUAUUUUAAUUGUUUUGUGAAAAUAACCGAGAGCCAAUGAGAAGACUAAACGAUGGGUGAAUUAAAGGGCGCGAUCAACAUUGAAAUUUGUAAGAUAUGGAAAUUGAAAUUUCAGAGAAGGAUGGAGAACUUUAAUAGACAAAAGAGAUGAUAGGCUAUUCAAUCGGGAAAAAUGCUCGGUGGCAACUUUUUUUAGUUUGGAUAGCCAUUUGAUAUUUUUACUACAUUUUUUUAAAUUUGUUUCUUGAUUUUGCAUACGAUGAGUGUCAUUCUUUUGGAAUGUUAUUAUAGUCAUUUUGAGCUAUGAAGGAAGGUAAGUAUAAUAUUUGAAAUUAGAGGGGUGCUAGGUUGAAUUAUUGAAAAUCUUGGGAGAAGUUUGUGAAAUCAUCCAUAAAAUUUUGUAAUUGUUCCCCGUAAAAAAUGUGCACUGAAUUAAGCCAGACAUUGCCAUAUGGGGAAUAAAGAAGAGAAAUUUAUGUUGAUACAGCAAAUAAUUGAGAUUAGGAGGGAUGGUAGCAUAUUGCGUUGAUACCUAAAGUAAAAAUUGGCAAGCAAGUUCACGAGAAAUAUUUUAAUAUGCAUGGUAGAAAAAAAUAAUCACGAAAAAUAAAAAUUACGUUAAUAGAAUAUAGAACUUCCCGGAAAAAAAAUGCAAAUAACGAAAAGGAUAUACAACACCAACCAAGCUAACUGGUUCUUUUCCACAAGCUUCGGGAUUAACAAAAUCUGUGAAGACGGAAGCAGGUACGAUUGGUUAAGGUCUAGUUAGGUGCAAUUACAUAGAAUAAAAUUUAUAAGUACAACAAAAUUAUAUAAACGUAUCCUUAUACUAUACACGAAUGAGUUGUGGUUAAAGGGAGUUUAAAUUUCAAUCGCGUGGAUAGGGGUUUUUUGGAAAUCUAGAAUGUUAUGUAGCUUUUUUUUAAAACUUGUAGUAUAAUCGAAGAGAACACGUGUUUAGGUAUAUUUAUCGAAAUGCUCUCAUUUUGGUACAUUUAAAGUUUUAAUUUAUAAAGAUAUCUGGAUAUUUGCUGAAAUAUGAAAUUAUUUUGUAACCGUAUUUAUAUCGAGAACAACUCAUAUAAGUUUAUGUGUUGGUGUAAUUACUGAAAUGGUGUUAUAAACACAUUUAAUUAAAGUGUGAUUUUUGUUGUGCAAUUAACACAAAAACAUAUUAACACAUUGUGCAAUUAACACGUUGCUAGAACUAGUUGUUGGAAGGUAUUCCUUUGUUUGAAACAACUUAUAUCUUCUCUUGGGUGAUUUUCAACUGACAUUUGUAGGGGUCUUUUGGGAAUGAUAAAAUUAUAAAAGCAUUGAUGAAAUAAAGUGUAAAAGUGUGUGAUGCAAUUAGAAUGUACUAUUAUUAGUUUUGUCAUAUUUGAAGACUAUUUCUUUCCAGAAUAUAUUAUUAUUUAUUUAAUGAAAAAAUUUCUUUAACCACAGGCACCAAACAUCCGCAUGAUACACGGGACUCCCCCUAGUACCACUUAAUGUAGAUAGUGCAACAAUUGUACAAUUGUAUUUAACCUCCAAUCGUACCUGUCCCAAAUCCAAAUAUGUGAUUUUAAAUCAAUUGUUUACUUCUUUUGUGGCUGGCAUAGUUAUUAAAUCCGGCCCGGAGAGGAGAUCGGCGAAGGAGGUGGGUCAACAGGUCACUGGUUCAACCAGUGGAUGAGUGGUUGAACCAGUGGUCACUACAUAUAUUUAAAUAUUAUAUUUUAUAAAUUUUGAUAUAGGAUAUAUGAGAUAAAUUGUAAUAAAUAAUGUCAUAACAAAUAUUCAUUUAAUUUAAUUUGCUAUAGAAUAUUUAAUUCAUAUAAGAAUCAGCAAAACAUAAAUUUAAUUAGUAAUCCACCAAACUUCAAGUGUAGAUGUUUACUGUAAUUAUCUAGGUUAUUUACAAAUUUUAAAUGCAAAAAAAUGUUUAAAAAACAAUAUUUGUCUUUAAAAUAAAUUAUGUAAUAUGUUAUUUUUGAAAUCUAUUUAUAAUUUAUAGAAUAUAGGGGUCAUAAGUUUUAUUAAAAGAUUCCAAAUACAUUUGUUUUGGAGAGUUUAAAAAAAUAAAGAUGAAAUUAACAAAACAUUCAUAUAGCAUAAGAAUGGCCAUUACUGAACAAGUGAUAAAGUGGCCUGGUGGUGAGCUACGCACAAACAAUAACGAAAGGUCUGAAGUUCGAAUCCAAGCAAAGGUUUGGAAAAAUAUUUUUUCCUCAAAUCCGGUCUGCCCACAAAACCGGCUGGAUUUUCGGUUUAAUCCGGUUGAACCGUCGGUCCGUUGAAAAGUCAACGAUUCAUAUGCAGAAACGAUCCAAUUGAAGAACCGGCCCGGUUUAGUGACCGGUUUGCCGGGUUGACCGGUCGAACCGUCGGACCGAGUCGGGUUUAAUAACUAUGGUGGCUGGAAAUGUCCGUGUUUGAGAAAGCCUAAAAUUUGGAGGAAGGACUAUGGACAGAGGGAUUCUUUUCCCACGCAAACAAUUGGUAUAUUAAGGAGAAUUCAUGAUUCGCAUGGAAUAUUGGAACCCCUGGGUGUCUUAUAUCCGCGUGCCUAUGUAGGAAUCAUGAGUUAAGGUCACCGCUAAUCCCUUUUAGAUUAAGUUUGUUGGUCAUUUUUUGGUAUGAAACAUGACUCACUUAAUUGCCGUGGCUGACCUUACGGAUUGCAUAAGGAACUAUACAUGCUGCCCUAGGCUUGCGAGUUCAUGCUUGUAGAUCAUAAUACUAUUAUUAAUAUAGUAGUAAUCCAAGCCUAGUUCUUGGUUCAUUUUUUUUUUUAUCAAAAGAUAAUAUCUAGUCUAGCCUACUCCUACUCUAACCUACACUUGGAGGGAGGUCCAACGAGGUCUAGAGAAAGCGACGGGAACCAAACCACCAUCAAAUUAGAUAGAUGCACUAUGCAUCUGUAUGAAUUUAAAAGAAAUCACAUAUAAUGGCACAUUAAUGGGAGGCAAAGUUUAAACCUUUGACCUCGCACUCCAUCAAAACUUAAAGUUUUUGGUUGUGGCCAAUAGCCCAAAGAGCGGUUGGUUUAGUUCUUGAUUAAUGGAUAAGGAAUUUGUUGGUUUCUUUACAUUUUGCAUUUGCAGUCCCAUGCAUGAGUUUAAAGUUCGUGUGGUCACACAAUAAAGUAUCAUUCGAACUUAUUCUAAGCAAUAACUCUUCUUUUUUUUUUUUUGUUAGCCAUCAACUCCUACUCCUAUUGUAAUCUACACUAGUGGAGAGAGCCCGACUAGGUCAGAAGGGACUAGAGGAUUACAAUGGGGAAAAAAGGAAAGGAAAUAUGCCGCUGUUUUGGACUUCAGUUGCUAUUUUGGCUAUUUAAUAAAGUUUUUGCUAAAUAACUCGUUCCUUUUUACCAUAUCAAGUGGAUAGGUUCUCAAAAAAUAAAUGUAGGAAAAGAACAGGGUUUUAAAAUUGUUUUCGAAUUUUUUGGCAAGCCAAAACCUUAUGUUUCUCUUCUUUCUUGUGAGACUUAAGGAUUGUAACGUCUUGGAUUACGGCUUAUCUCCAAUCUGCUUUGCUUCCGCAAUAAAAGAGUACGUUACACAUUGGUCACUAUUAAUGACCAAUUGUGCUACAAGUUUUUAAAGCAGGUUAUCCCUCCUUUUUUCUCAUGAAUUAAACAAGUGUUCUUUAGUUGCAUGUUUAUUCAUGCAUGGCAUACUCCAAAUUAUUGGAACAAAAGAGGUUGUUUGGAUUGUAAUUGUUCAAGAGUUUGUGGGAAAAAAUUACCGCAGUACUUUUUAAAAUGCGAUAUAUAUGAAAUAAAAAAGAUUAUUGGUAAAUUUGUAAAAGCAAUAUUCACAAAAAAUAUUAAAUUUUUCUCUAGAAAACAACAAUACAAAUAUAGGGCAUGAAUUGCAUUGCAUUAGCAUUGUAUCAAUGGUCUUAUUGAAUCCAUGAUUGUUGAUUCAAUGUAUCGAGGGAUAAUUUUAAGGUUUCGGGCCUCUUUAUGUGCUGAAAUUUGACACGUACUCAGUUGCGAUGACUUAGAAGGUCGUGAUCAAAUUUAUAGUGUAAUUCUAUUUUGCCCUCUUAGUCUCUUAAGGACAACAUAAAAAAGAGCUUAUGGAAGUUGUCUUGUACCAGAUAAAUAAUUCUUUAAAUUAUAAUAAACAUUAUCAACAAAGUGAAUUUUAUUAUAUUAUAGAAUCAUUUAAUAAAAACCCUGAGGUGUUUAUUUUUUGAAGUUCUAUGUUGGUUUUUAAGUUGGAUCCUUUAAAGUUGAAACCCUUAGUUGAUAUAUGAAUCUUUGGUGCAAAAAUUGGACUGCCUUCUUUGUUCAUUAUUCAUGAAUAAUAUGUUGCAUGUCUCAAUUCGUCCAUGACUUUAAUGGCACAAAUGAGUUCUUUUAAGCCAAUUGGACAAAGGUUUGGCAUUUAUUUUGCACAUAAAAGAUUCAGUUUAUAAAUGCCUUACUUGGAUUUAUGUCGAUUGACUUAAAUGGUUUUGUCUGAAUUGAAUAAUUCAAUGGAUUAUUAUAAUUAGUCCCACUAAAGUGGUUAUUGUUCUAAUUCAUAAAAUUGUUCGAUAAAAAUUCUGAGGUCUUUUCAAAUUAUUAUCAUACUUACCUGCCAAAAAGGGAUACAUCUUUACUAUACUAAAAGCGUCAGUUGGCUUAGCUACAGUGAAAAUGGGCCGGUUAUAGCGUGAUUUGUGUGAGCUUGAGGGGUAGUUUGGUCUUUUGCCAUUCAGUGGUGGUGGCUUUGCUGGAAAUUUCCUGCUACCCGCGUGGCUUUGUUAUGGGCACUGAAUAGGGAGCCGCCGAAUACAAUAGCUACGCCUAACAUGUGAAAUGAGAAAUUCCAUUUCAACGAAAAUUUUGCCACUUUGGAUACAUUGAGCCCAACAGAGAUAGAGAGGCGAGAGAUGGUCCUGCACUUGUGGCAUCUACCUUUGACUUUGAUUUUCAAACCCUCAUCUUACCUUUUAAACAUUUUCAGUAUAGAUUGUAGAAGAAACAACUUACCAUGAUGUGGACGAAAUUCGUACUCAUUUUUCGUAGCCAUUUUGUUGACAAUAUUAAUAAAACUCAAACCCAUUGUUAUAAUGGCUCGAUACUAGAGGUGAUAAAUCAACCCACCUAAUUAAAUUUACCUAUACCCGUCCAUGAAUAGAUGGUAUAAGUUCAAAAUUUUUGAAUUAAAUUUUUAUAUUAAUUUUAUAGUACUUAGUUCAAAUUUUUAUAUUCUUAUUAUUCAAUUAUUAAAUAAUAGAUAAUUUUGUAACAUAGAGUAUAAAUGAAAAAAAAUUGGUAAUUAAAUUUAUUGAAUAUUAUAAAUAAAUAUUUAAAACUAAUAAUGGGUACAAAGAGUGUAUAAAUUGAUAACUUGUUUUGCAAAAAUAAAUUUAAAUGAGUUUACCAAAAGUUAAAAUAAAUAAGUUGUAAAUGGGUAAUUGAUUACACAAUUCAUUUUUUGACUUACCCAUUUAUACCUAUCUAAUUAAAUGGGUAUAAAUGAGUUAAUUUACUUAUACCCAUUACCCAUUUUAUCUAACCCAAAUUCGUACUCAUUUUUCGUAGCCAUUUUGUUGACAAUAUUAAUAAAACUCAAACCAAUUGUUAUAAUGGCUCGAUACUAGAGGUGACAAAUCAACCCACCUAAUUAAAUUUACCUAUACCGGUCCAUGAAUAGAUGGUAUAAGUUCAAAAUUUUUGAAUUAAAUUUUUAUAUUAAUUUUUAUAGUGCUUAGUUCAAAUUUUUAUAUUCUUAUUAUUCAAUUAUUAAAUAAUAGAUAAUUUUGUAACAUAGAGUAUAAAUGAAAAAAAUUGAUAAUUAAAUUUAUUGAACAUUAUAAAUAAAUAUUUAAAACUAAUAAUGGGUAUAAAGAGUGGUAUAAAUUGAUAACUUGUUUUUGCAAAAAUAAAUUUAAAUGAGUUUACCAAAAGUUAAAAUAAAUAAGUUGUAAAUGGGUAAUUGAGUUACACAAUUCAUUUUUUGACUUACCCAUUUAUACCUAUCUAAUUAAAUGGGUAUAAAUGAGUUAAUUCACUUAUACCCAUUACCCAUUUUAUCCAACCCAAACCCACCCAAGUCACCCAUUUCAACACCUCUACUCCAUACUUUAUAUUCAAGCCCAACAUUUUUGUUUUCCCACUUUAGCUUUCUUGCUUUGUUUUACCUUGAGAAGCAAGAAUUUUCAUGAUAAACUGAAUUUGUUCUUCACUACGAUUUCCCUUGUGUUCCAACAAAGGAACGUUUAACUUAAAAUAAAUAUUUCAACCAGGGGAAAAAAAACCAGUUUAAAAACAACUACAUAUAACGGUUGAAAUCAAUCUGAGUGUAUCACUCCAUCCCCCCUCUUUUCUUUUAUAGUGUAAGUGAAAGAAGAGCUCGUUACUCUGUCUCACUAUGUCUAUUGAUCCUUCGUUUUACUGCAAAAGCUUGAUGAACAAUACCGUAAAACACAGUACAAGUUUGAACUUAUUCUCGAGAAAUUAUGCCUUCCCGCGAGAAAGAAGCAAAAAGUUGAAAAUGAUGAAAUAGUAACAUGCAAUUGCAUAUUUCAUCAUAGAAACUAGCAAGACAAGCAGCCACAGACCGUGGUUCACGCACAAUCAAAAUAAUAUAUUGCAUGAAAAAGAAAAACAGAGGAGAGAGGACCAUGGGGCUAUUAGCAUUGAACCUCAACAUCCGGUUCAACAAAACAAAGGAGCAACAAACAUACGAGCUUAAGAAUAAGUUAAAAGGAGAAACAUCUACAUAUUUGUGAAAGGGGUGAUCUUGAUGACUAACUCAGGGAAAACAUCAUCUGGAUCAUGAAUAUGGAGAUUCUGCUCAAAGAUGUAAGGAUCCCCACAUUUUCCACUGAUAGUAUGCAGAGUCUCUCCUUCACGUACCGCAUGAAUCUCAUCACACGGCUGUUCAAGUAGUAAUGAAGAUAAUAUUUGCUGCUUCUACUGUUGCACUUCAAACUCCUCCUCAGUUGAUUCACAGCAGCUUAACACCAACUUUAAAGCCAGGAACAAGGCACAGUACCAGAACACAAUAUCUGCUAGAGCUGUCGAUGGAUGAAUGCGGCCUGACAUGUUAUGCUUUAAAUUUAACUCUUUCUCGAAUUCGCAGCGACAAUUGUUCUCUCUCUAUCUCUCUCUAUAGCAAGUAUGUGCAUGCACGUGUACCACAAAAUUAUCUCAAGUGGAGGAGAGUAUUUGCAGGACUCAUAGUAUUGAGGAUCAGCAGGAGUUAAUGUUGUUGUUGCGAAGUAAGCUAGAGAGAUGAUGAUGUUUGAUUUGACGUGAUAAUCGUUUUGGAGUACAAAUGCAGGUCAUUAGAAUGGUUAGACAGCAGUGUUCCUGCUAGAGGGACAAGAUUGAAACGGGUUCGUUUCUUGCGGAUCGUAGGUAACUGUCUCAAGUGAAGAAAUAUUGGAACAUAUGAAAUGAAGGAGAGAAAGUUCGUUGAACUACUUUAUUAAAUGGUAGUGAAUACUUGAGAUAUCUCUUGAUCAUAAUUAAGAAAGCAAUCAUUCAACAUUUUUUACUUGCUCUCGAGUCUCAAGUUUCAACCAUCCUUCGCAGCACCAUCCUCGAAGAUGAACAAAAUUCUUGUGCCUUAAUCAGUCAACCGUCGUUACAAAAGAGUUAGAAAAAAAUUUCCAAUACGGUCAAUCCCUACUCGAUCACGCUUCUUGAUAACUACCUGAGGGUACGAGAGACCUCUAGAUUCUUUCCCCGUCCGACGUUUUCAUUUUUCUCUGUAUCAUCCAGCAGCUUCGUCUGGUCUCACGAUUCCAAUUAGUUUAAUACAACAAUUUCCUAGAUUUCAUCUAUGACCUUUCUUUUAGUCAAGCAACACACAAACGGUUUUCUGAUAUACUGAUAUUAUGAGCAAUCACUGCUUCCUUUUGAGCUCUGAACCAGCAAUAUGACCGCUUUCUUCGCAGUAAAAAGAUCAAAGUUGUCAGAUUCUUCCUUCUAAAAUUAUUGAUCUCCUUUUUCAUAAACUCACAUCAACAAUGUAAUUCCAGUGUGACUUAAUCUUUUGUAAAGUUUAAACCCAUACGUAUUAUAAACGACCUAUCACUACAACAAAAUUUGCCUUUAGCGGCAUUUAAAGGUGUUAGUAUAGAUAAUCUAACCUGACACUUUAUCUAUCCUUACACCCAGGGUGAGUGUUGUCCCUUCCAAUGUGGGGAUAGACUUGUACUAUUCAAUGUGUCAGGAAAACUAUGCUAUUAUAGCAUCCCAUCUGCCAACAAAAAUCUCUUUUCUUAACAAUCAAAAGUGUCAGGAUAUUGUCGAAGUCGUUGAGCUAUGCUGACACUAUUAACUGCCAGCAGUUUUUUUUUUUUUUUUUAAAUAAAGAAGCAACCUGGUUGUGCUCCCUGCUAUACAUUCCGUCAAUCAGAUACCCAAAGGACUUGUAAAAUUAUCCCAAAGAACAGAAUGCAUGUAGUAAUUUAAAAGCAAAAAUCAAUGCUCAAAUAUCAUUUGUUGAACUAAAAUCAGCAACAAGUACUAACAUAGCUAAUCAAAAGCCAAAACCAACACCAGCUAAUGUAACUAAUUAUCUACACUGUCAGUAUAUAACAACCAAAACCAACAUUUAAAGUUCCAAAUAGAAGUUCCUUUAUCUCUGGAACCUUGGUGCUCAAUGCGUUGUUAAGCAAAGUCUUGAACAGGAGCAGAAAGCUUUAGUUCAUGUACAGCUUGGAAGUAAUCUGCGGCUGCUUGUUUCAAGCCUUGAGACUUGGAUAGCACUCCAAGAAGGAACCACGCAUGGUGGUUUGUCGGCUCUAGUUAGAGAGCAGUCAUCAACAAGCUUCUUGCAAUAGGAAGAUUCUGUCUACCCAAUUUUAUCAGCACUCCAGCACUUGAGACAAUGCUUGGUACAUAAUCUGGCUCUAUGGAGAGUGAAACUGAGAAUGCAACAAGAGCUUCCUUGUAUUGUUCUUGAGCUUCAAAUGAUUUACCUGCAGAUAUAAACGCAUCUUGUGAUAAUCAAAGGAUAUGAAUAAACGCAUCUUACUUUUUUUUUAAUUUUCGCAACUUCUUUUAAAAUUAUACAUCAUCUUACAUGUUCUGAAUCACUUAUUAAAUGUUGUUAUUUCUGGAAUUGGUUAAGCGAAAUCCCAGCUAACCACUUUGUCAGUCACUUAAAUAAAACAGGGGAUUUAAUUGAACAGAAGGAAAGAAGAAAAGUGCGGUAACACUUCCAAUAAGGACACCAUAUCAAUUUCCAAAAGACAAAACUAAAAAGACUAUAAUUCAGAGUACAGAAUAAUUGCAUUGGAACGCCCUGAGUUAACCUUUUCUGAAAUGGCAUUAACCAAACAUGCAUCAAGAUAGUAUGAACUUAGACAAAAGCAAAUAAUCAUCUGCAACAACAAAACAAUGCAUCAUUAAACAAUAUUGUUGUGAAUCCAAUUGUAUCAUUUUGUUGCCUUUAUGAUGGCCUGUUCUUGUACUACAUAUAUAUGUUUGAAAUAAAGUGGUUUAUUUUAUUUUAUUUUAUUUUCUGUUGGAUUCCAAGUUCGUUUUCCUCUGAUUGUCUUAAAUAAGCAUUGGUGCUCGAGAACUAUUUGGUACACUUGAUUGCCUAUAUUUCAGGUGUGAGAUUUUGGUUUAUCUCUGCUUUCCAUUCAAAUAAGCAUGUUGAUUCACCUGCUCCUGCAUAGUGGCAUUGCGUCUAUGCACGGGCUUUUUCUAGAAAAGAAGAUGACCAUUCUACUUCUUUUAUAAUCUCAAGCAAUAAGUACACAUCUUUCUGGAGAAAGUCAGUAGUUACUCAUUGGGUCUAAAGAACACGAAACGUAUGGAAAAUUGAUCACGAGAUAGCAAGACAGUUCAAAAUCAAAGUAAAAGUCAAACUUCGAGUGGCCACAUUUCUCAAAAGAAAUUAAAAUCUUUUAUAGUUCCAACUAAUUACGUGUUCAUAUAUGGACCGAAUAAUAUUGUAUAAGGAAAACGAAGCAGUGACAAACCUAAGGAAAUCGUACCCUUCUUGGCAAUUGAAGGAAAGAACGAGGGGGAGAAGCCCAAUGGCCACCACCCCAGUGAGCUGGGAACCUGACGAUGAGUGGGAACUCAUCAACGAUGACGGUUUCGUCUACAAACAUAGGAAACGUCCUCGUGUCGACCUUCCUUCCUCUACUUCGGCACCGGGACUAUCGGAUCCGGCCGUUGAAGAGCAGAACCGCCGGCAAAGGAAGAAAAGAGCUCUUCUCAAGCUCAAACACAAGUACCAACAAGAGAUCGAACAGUGGGUACAUUUGUCGAACACCUUGAAGGAUAUGCAGCAAAAAUCCCCAAUUGUUAUUAGUCAGCAUAAAAAAUCCCCAAUUGUUAUUAGUCAGCAGCAAAAAUAUCGACAACCGAUGACGCUGCUACGUCGUCUUACCGAGUCACAACGACUUCCCCAGUCCCUCCGGAACAAUCGUCGGACUCCGCUUGCCAGCAUCUUGUCAAUGAACUUCUCUUGCAGACGGAAGCCCAAAAAUCUAUAAUUGGAGAUGUAGCAAGGCUGUGCGAUGUGGCCGAAGCCUUGUGUAGCGCAACAGAGGAGAAUUUUACGAAAUCCUUCACCGAGCUGCCGGUAUGGGCGUUGAAGCCACAUGAGCUGAUGACGUCACUCUACGAAGAUUGAUUUAGUUCAGGAGUAAAAUGUCUUUUUAAAGUUCCUUCUUCUACUCUAUUACAGACUUCUCUGAGAUCCAGGAAGGCCGAAAGGGGGAGAUGACCAAGAAACCCUUGGGUUGGGCACUUGUCCAUAGCUGCUCUUUUGGAGGAAAAAAUACGAUAAAAAACGCCAUGCCAUGGGCCUUCUCACUCCAGAAAUUAUGUGAAAUUUUAAAGAGAUUCGAGUUGUAUAAUAUGACUGGUUUGAUUGCUAUCCUUUCUGAUUAAAAAAAAGGAAAGAACGAGAAGAAAGAGAAGAAUAUGUAAUAAUUUAAAUGAGAAAGAAAAAGGAAGGAUGCGAUGAGGGAUUGGAGAUUGGAGAGCCAGAGGAAGAAAGGAAAGCAAGAGCGGCGGAGGAGAAAACAAGAGGUGAACUUGUGUUUGCCCUACUUAGGGAAGAGAAGAAAAAAGGAACACGUGCACCUCACAUGAGUAUGACGAAAAAACUUGUGAACAGUAACAUUUUUUCAAGUGUCAUAAUAAAUAGUCUAAAGACACAUUAUUAUUCUUAUAUCAGAUAAAAUUAAAAAAAUUAAAGUAUAUAUUAUUGAGUUGAUAAUAAGUGUCAUAAUAGAGGUACUAUAAUGACAAAAAACCAACAAAUGUCCUUAUAGACAUGUCAGGAAAAGCCAUUUUUGUUGUAGUGUAUAUUCUUAUGUGACAACACAGUACCGAAACACUAUGGUUUCUUUUGUUUACGCAUCUGACAUUUUUUUCAUCCAACGUUUUUAAAUAAGAAUCAGUUGAUCUUCAUUCUACAUUAAAUGUAUAUAUCUAUAUACAUACACUGAUACAUCUAUACCUUCUAUACAAAAAGACUUUCUAAUUAUCGAAUGCAAUCAUAUUACCAAUUAUCAUCGUUUAACCUACUCCAUAAAAUUAAAUUAAAUUAACACAAGUUAGGGCAACCUCGCGCUAGCGCGAGGCCUAAAAAACUAGUUAUUUUAAAAAGGUCAGACGAUCACCAUGGUACUUUUAUGGUCACUAGUAAUUAUAUUUCACGUGCAAAAUAUAACACCUUCUACAUACUAAAAUUUGUUGUGAAAUUUUGAUUAUCUACCUCAUAAUACAAAUUUUUGUAUGCUUUUCAGUUUUUUUUAACCCACUAUGGCUAUAAAGAUUAUUCAAAUUUAAACUCUUCGACCUAAAGCUUUUUUUGAGCAUUUUUUUAUUAAUUUUAAAUUGAACUUUGAUAACAAUUGUCAACACUAUCAUAUUUUACCAUAAAUUAUAAGAUUACACUUUUCUAGAUAGUACAAAAUAAUGCUGUUAAAAAAGGAAAUAUAUAUGCACACGUCAAGUGUAGAAGAAGCAAAUCUAAUCUUGUGAGUGUUAGUAAAGUAAAUAUUUAAAGACCCAUUAGAGUACUACAUGAAUUGAUUUCUUAGAUCAUUGUCAUUUAUCAACCCGAGGUCCAUAUGUGUCUUUUCUCAAUUGAAAAUAAAAUCUGCGAUGGACUUUUUAGUAAAAUUAUCAAAGUUUAACAACUUAGAAAACUAAGAUUUGAGUAAAUUAUUAAAUACUUACAAUAUCGAUAAGAUUAUUUUUUUUUGUUUUUCUUGUUUCUUUUUGGUUAAGACAAACAAAAUUUAAUUGUAGAAUUACAAUUUAUUGAUUAUUUAAGAACAAAGCACAUGAAUAGUAUUUGUUUUUUCUUCAUACUCGAGUUUUCUACAAUUUUCAUUUCACAUGAAAUCUAAUUCUUAGUAUGGUAGACAUUAUUAUUUUUCAUGUCAUAUGAGUAAAAUUAGUUAGCUUUUUAAUGAGGUUCUUUUAAUAUGAAGUGAAAUACACUAUCUUUAAAUUGUUUGCACCAUUUUUUAACUCUACAAUUAGGCAUAACAUCGUGCAAUCAAAACCCAAUUACUAACAUUAUUGAAGCAAUUGGUAACAUUUCACCUUUUAUUCUAAUUACUAAGAGAGUAAUUUUCAUCUUAAUUACUAACAUUAUUGGAACAAUUAGUAAUAUAUCAAUUUUUAUUCUAAUUAAUAUUAAUUUGAGUCAAAUGGUAACAUUUCAUUUAUUUCAUUAACACCAUAACCAAUUAGUUAGGUUUUUGAUGAAGUUCUUCAAUAUGAAGUGAGAUGCACUAUUUUUAAUUUGUUUGCACCAUUUUUGGAUUGUAUACAUAUAUUGUAUAUACAACUUAUACAACUCUACAAUUAGGCGUAACAUUGUGCAAUCAAAACCCAAUUACUAACAUUAUUGAAAUAAUUGGUAACAUUUCAGUUUUUCUUCUAAUUAAUAAGAGAGUAAUUUUCAUUUUAAUUACUAGCAUUAUUGAAACAAUAGGUAACAUUUCGGUUUUUAUUCUAACUACUAACAUUAUUGAGCUAUUUGGCAUUGUUUCAUUCAUUUCAUUAACACCAUAACUGAAAAUGAAUUAAUUCUAAUUAUUAGUCAGUCAUGCUAAAAACUAAGACAAAAAAUGCAAAUGAACAGUAUUGUUUUAUUUAUACUUGAGUUUUCUAUAAUUUUUGUGUCACAUAAAAUCCAAUUCUUAGUAUGGUAGGCGUUAUUAUUUUUCAAGUUAUAUGAGUCGAAUUAUUUAGCUUUUGGAGGAAGUUCUUUAAUAUGUGUGAGAUGCUCUAUUUUCAAUUUUUUGCACCAUUUUUUAGAUUGGAAGCAAAUAUUGUAUAUUCAACUUAUACAACUCUACAAUCAAGCUAACAUUGUGCAAUCAGAAUUCGAUUUCUAACAUUAUUGAAACAAUUGGUAACAUUUCAGCUUUUAUUCUAAUUACUAUGAGAUUAAUUUUUAUCCUAAUUAAUAACAUUAUUGAAACAUUCGGUAACAUUUCAGUUUUUAUUCUAAUUACUAACAUUAUUGAGUCAAUUGGUAACAUUUCACUGAUUUCAUUACUACCAUAACUAAAAUGAAAUAAUUCUAAUUAUUAGACAAUGGGUACUUUGGUCAUAGUAAAAACUAAGACAAAAAAUGCUUAAUUCAACUUACUUCAACCACCUUAUCUUAUCUACUAAAUCUACCAUUGUUUAUUAAUUAUAUUCAAAAUCCUUAUCUAAUUAAACAACUUGAUAUUCUCUGUCUAAUGGCUUUAUAUGUCUCUUCUCUCUCUAUUUAAUGACUUUCACAACUUCUCUAUACACCUCAUAUAUUUUUACUCUAUCAUAAUUUUAUCAUUUUCUAUUUUUCUACUCUUUUAAUUAAUUUGAUUUAAAAAUAAUUAUUAUCAUUUUCAUGCCUAACAAUUUUAAACUAAUUAAAUCAUAGGUUAUAUUUUUUUUUUGGAUGAAAAGAUAGAAGGGAAAAAUUGUACAAUUUAGCUUAUUAAGCAUUCAAUUAUAGAUGUUUAUCAAAAAGUAUAAAUAGGUUCAACAUUAAGAUUCAGACAUUCAUAUAUUUUUUUCAGUGCUUAAAAUUCAGCAAAUUAACUGUUUCAGUAUUCAGAUUUCAAAAUUCAGAUUCAGUUUUAUCAAACAGAACCUAAAUCAUCAAGCAAUGAAUCAACAGGAAUAAUAAAAAUGCAGAAAAGUAAAAGGUGUGAAACACCAAGAUUUUUAAUAUGAAAAUCCAAUUUGGAAAAAAAAUCACAUGAUCUAAUCCAAUAAAAAAAAAUUUCACUGUCACAAUAAUAGGAACAAUAAUACGAAUGCAUAGGUCUAUCUGAAACAUUAGGAUGACAGCAACAUCAUCAACAUCAACCAAAUAGAAUUUCUACCAGUUCAUUUUCUAUUUUUUAAGAAGUGGAUUUGAAAAAGUAUUAUCAAUCAAAGAGAAAAUCCAAAAUCAAAAGAGAUAGAUAGGUAAAGCUUGACAAAGGAUCAAAUGGCUAAAAUUUCAUCUCAAUCGAAUUUUAAAUCACCAUGUCUUAAAGUUUCAAAACUUCAUAUUCUCUCUGGCCCUUUUUCUCCCCAACUCUCUCUUUCGCUCCCUUCGAUUCUUCACCAAGAAUAGCGGCUGACCCUUCAUCUAGCUGAUGCAACUUGCGAGUUGCGACUAAUCUUUUCUUCUCAUCAAGUCAAAAUACCUAGGUUACUAAUCAUUUAGUCAAACUUUGACUCAGCAUACGAAUUGAGUUAUGGGCUUUGUUCUUUGGGGCUCACAAAUGAGGUGGAUUCAAUCAAGCCCAACAAUCUCCUCUCCAAUUCAUUUGAGAGGCACAACCAAAUUGCCUCUUUACAAAACAAGAGUUUCUUCCAAAACAAUGCGUUGAUUAACAUAUCAAAAUCAUUAUUAUUAAUGUGAAUUUUUUCAAGUAUUAACAACUUGGAAUCCAGUAUUUUCUGAAUCCAAUGAUAUCUCAUAUCAAUCUGCUUGGAUGGAGAGUAAAAUGUAGAAUUCUUAUAUAAAUGAAUGGUACUCGAACUAUUACAAUAAAGACUUUACUUCCCUUGCUUCAUACCCAACUUUUAAAAGAAUUUCUUCAACCAAAGAGUCUCUUUGUAUGUUUCAAUGGUUGUGAUAUACUCUGCCUCCAUAUUGAAAAUGGCGAUAUAUUUUUGUAAUUUUUUUUUGCCAUGACACUACUUUUUUUUUUUUUUUUUUUGCAAAAAAUGCCUUAUUUUAUUGAUUGGAAACUAGAAGAGUACAUGCUAUGAAAUACGUAAGUAAGGAAAACUCAAUCUAUCUAAGACGACGAAGCCUUUAACUGGGUCUAGCAAAUUUUGGGAGCAAUAAAUAUCAGACACGCGGUUUGCACUGGCGCGACGAGCAAGGCCAUCGGCGGCAGAGUUAACUUCCCGAUAAAUGUGGAGGAGGUGGAAAUGCCCUUCUUGAACUAUGCGCCAGAUUUGUCAAAUCAAAGCAUCAAUGCGCCAUGGACAGCGAGUCUGCCUGCGAACCGCAUCGAGUAGGGGUUUAGAGUCCAUCUCUACCAUAGCCCUGGUAUGGCCUUGUGUAGCGCAAGCCUAGAGACCAUACAACAAAGCAUGUGCCUCGGCCUCCAGACUAGUGCAGUGGCUAUAAUACAUGGAAAAUGCGUGAAGGACACAACCCAAGUGAUCCAUGAGGAUCCCUUCCCCGCCGAAGGGGCUCGGGUUUCUUAAGGACGAACCAUCCACGUUUAGCUUGAUGAGAGGAAAUGCCGAUGCCUGCCAAGUGAGGGUAGAACUUUCGGGGGAGCUUGAGGGUUUUAGAAAGGAACCAAUCCCGUAGAAAGGAGUGUUGUGUCCUCUGCCGUCCGAUGUGGCAAGGGCCAAGCAAUAGAAAUGGCAUGAACUUCCACAAGAAUUUGACGGCAGUUAUGGGAAGCAAAUAGAACUGUCCCCUCAAAAAAUUGAAGGUUUUGUGCUUUCUAGAUUUCCCAGCAUAUGAUGGAAGGUAAGACGUACAAAAGAGUGCCAGUUGUUGAGGAGGCAGAGGCGCGAGUCUAAAAAUUCUGGGGGCGAGCUAAUACGUCGAUAUGGCGCACACUCGGGACAUCCAGCAAACAUUCAAAGAACCCCAGACUUAGGAGAACAGAAUGAACAGGUGGUCUAUUGUCUCGCUGUUGCUACAGAAUGAACAUUUGGAAGGCAAGUUAAAUCUUAACCCCUCAAGGACAUCAGCUAGUGGGAUUGUUUGAUUCAGGAGUCGCCACAUGAAAAUGGAUAUGCGUAGCGGGAUGCGAGAGCUCCAGAUGUAUCUCCUGGAAAUCAUAGUCAGACGCCGUUGGCAGAUGAAACUAAAAGCAGAUGAAACAGAGAAGUGACCAGAGGCUACAGGACACCACACUAGCUCAUCCUGGGCCUCAUUAGUCAAGGUAAAUUGCCGAAUAUGAGUUUGCUGGCUGUCGGUAACAAAGGACGGCAAUGUGUCCAAAUGCCAUGUUCCAGCGUUAUUGAGAUCAGAGAUUCGCGCCCCUGGGGUUGGCAGGCCUGCUGGGCCGUCUACCAGUGGCCCCUCCCCUAACCAGUUGUCAAACUAGAAGGAGGAUGAGCCGUCGUGCACUAGUAGAUGAGAGUUCUCAAUCACUACAUCCUUGGCGCGGAGCAUGCUUCGCCAAACCCAUGAAUCCGAUUGUCGGGGCGUGCACAAGGAGGCAUGAGGCAUAUCCCUUGUAUAUUUUGCUGCCAUGAAGUCCGCCUAGAGGGAGUUGCCCGUCUAGAAGUUCCAUCAGAGCUUGCACGCAAAUGCCUGUUGAACAUCCCCCAACUUCCGAAACCCAAGGCCAUUUUCUUCCACCGGGUAACAUAGUUUGUCCCAGGACAGCCAGUACCGUUUGGGCGUCUCCUCAGUUGCCCCCCAAAAGAAGUUGGACAUUAACUGCUCCAAUUGUUUUAACACCCGUUUCGAGGGGUCGAGCACUGCCAAUGUGUACAGAGGAAUAGCCGCCAGCACGUGCUUAAUUAGUAUCAUUCUGUCUCCCGCAGAUAGUAGUUUACCCUUCCAUCCCACUAGUCGCUUAUUCAGAUUGUCGACUAGGGCUGGAAGUAAGAAGCUUUUGUCCUGCUUGCAAAUAGCUUGCAUCCCAAGUAGUCUAUUAGGAGCCGCUUGCACUGCAUUCCAGUAAUGGAGGAUACCAGCCGCACGUGAGCCAUGGAACACCGGCGAGGCAGAACAUAGACACUCUUCAUCGUGUUCACCUUUUGACCUGAUCCGCAUUCAUACAGUGCCAGAAAAUCCAUCAAGCCCUAAGUGAUUUCCUAUCCGCCCUACCAAAAAUCAUAUUGUCAUCCGCAAAGUUCAAAUGGGAGAUGGACGGAUACCUUCGCGGCAACCCGUAACUAGUGAUCUUCCCAGACAAGAAAAGCUGAUUUAGACCCCUACUCAGAGCUUCGGCGACCAAAUUAAAUAGGUACGGCGACAACGGAUCUCCUUGCUUGAGCCCACUCGAAACAGGGAAGAAACCGUAGGGCUUCCCGUUAACCAGCAGGGAGAACCGACCGGCAGACAAGUUGCUCAAGAGCAGGACGACAAAGUGUGGUGAAAGCCAAAAGCUUGCAUAACUCUAGACAAAAAUGGCCAAGAGACCCUGUCGAAUGCCUUUGUCAUGUCCAACUUAAAGAUGAUAUUGUUUUCACGUACCUUCCUAUCCAAGGAGCCCACCAACUCCUGGGCCAAUAAAAUGUUGUCCGCAAUUUCCCGACCUUGAACAAAGCCCGAUUGCUCAUUCGAGAUUAGGGAUGGCAGUACCGUUUUCAAGGGAUUGCAGAGCACCUUGCUGAAAAUUUUGUUAACGAAGGUGCACAAGCUAAUCGGUCUGAAAUCCGCAAAAGAGCUGCAAGCGUCCUUUUUUGAGAUGAGAACUAUGAGCAUGCGUGAAAUGGACUUGGGAAUAGGAACCCUAAUAAGGAACUCUUGGACCGCAUUGUGGAUGUCUUGGGCUAAGAAGUCCCAACAGUGUCGGAAGAAUAGUCCCGAGAACCCAUCUGCACCAGCUGCAUUGUCCCCAUUAACCCAAACACCGCCUCCUUGACUUCCUCUAAAGACACCAUUCUUAUGAGCCCGUCGUUCUGCUGCGGCGUGACUAACAAAGGAAUAUUGAGCAGUAGUUGUUGUGUCGCUUGCUCCUCCACUUGAGCUGCAGUGGGGUUGACCUGGUCCCUGGAUAGAAGGGCCAGAAAGAAAUCUACCCCCUCCUCACAAUUGCAUCCAAGUCUUCAAUCUAAUCCCCUCUCGCGUUUUUGAUGCGGCUGAUGCACAAACGCGCUCUUUUAUCCCGGACAUACGAGUGGAAAAACUUUGAAUUGGAGUUGCCAUCCUUUAACCAUUUGACCCAAGCCUUCUGCUUCCAGAAAAUCUCCUCCUGUGCCAAAGCUUGGAGGAGGUUUGCCUGGGCAUGGCUCCAUUCAAUACGGGCUGCUUCUGUAUUCUCUUGCUCCAGGCAUAUUUCUUUCCGACGAACUCUCUCCUCUGCUUAUGCUACAUUGUCGAAGACGUUACUGAAGACAGUUUUGUUCCAAGUCUGCAGGCACUUCUUCAGACGCUUUAGUUUGCCUGCUAGAGCAUACAUGCCAUACCCCUCAAAUGGCAAAUUCCAAUUCUGGUAGACUACCUCCCUGAAAGCGGAAUGCCUAACCCACAUGUGUUGGAAUCUGAAUGAGGUCGGAGUUGGUCCGGGAGGGUUGUCGAACAUGCAAAGAAGGGGCGAGUGGUCCGACGACGUGGGUUGAGGUGGUGAACGUAGAGCCGUGGGAAGCAACUGCCCCAUUCAUCAUUAUACAACACUCGGUCCAAUGUCUUCCAAAUCCGCCGCCCGUUGCGAGUAUCCGACCAAGUGUACUUACUCCCUAUCACUUGCACUUGCUUAAGCAAGCAGGCAUGAAUGAAGGAGUUGAAAUCUGCCAUCGCACCCGUGUCUUGGGGGAAGUGCCCGAGUACUCAUCUAGUGAGGUAAUGAUAUUGAAGUCUCCCUCCAAGAGCCAUGGGCGGCGGCCAAUCGUUUGAUGUAUCUCUGAUAGUGCUAACCACAAUUCCUGGUGCUCGCGUCUGGUGCAUUUCGUAUAAACAAAGGAGCAAUGAAAGGCAGUCGGGAUAGACUCGUGGGUGACUGCCAAGUGGAGGAUUGGUCACCGUUGCUGAGCACAUGCAUCGCAAACGAGCGUGACCAGCAAACCGGGGCGUCACACUUUGAGUCCUCCAUGCCAAACCUUUUCAGCAAUUUCUUGGUGUAUUUUUCUUGAUUUAUAAAAAUUCCCUCUAGGGCUUGAUGUAUUUGAAGUCCAAGGAAGAAAUUUAAUUCUCCCAUCAUACUCAUUUCAAAUUCACUUUGCAUAAUGGUGGAAAAAUCCUUGCAUAGAUACUUAUUAGUAGCACCAAAAAUAAUAUCAUCUACAUAUAUUUGCACAAUAAGAAGAUCAUUUAACACUUGCUUAGUAAAAAGUGUGGUGUCCACAAUACCUCUUUUGAAACCAUUUUCAAUCAAGAAACCACUCAAUCUUUCAUAUCAAGCUCUUGGAGCUUGUUUUAGUCCAUAUAAUGCUUUUGAGAGUUUAAACACAUGACUUAGAAAUUUUGUAUUUUCAAAAUCGGGGGGUUGAUCCACAUAUACUUCUUGAUCAAUAAAACUAUUUAAGAAGGCACUUUUAACAUCCAUUUGAAACAAUUUGAAACCUUUGAAGCAAGCAAAAGCAAGAAGCAUUCUAAUCGAUUCUAAUCUAGCUACGGGAGCAAAUGUUUCAUCAAAAUCAAUUCUUUCUUCUUGUGCAUAUCCUUUAGCAACUAAUCUGGCUUUAUUUCUUACAACUACACCUUUAUCAUCCAACUUAUUUCUAAAUAUCCACUUCGUGCCAAUGAUAGGUUGAUUUUGAGGUCUAUCAACAAGUGUCCAAACCUUAUUUCUCUCAAAUUGAUUAAGUUCCUCUUGCAUUGCCAAAAUCCAGUUUUCAUCCUUUAAAGCAUCAUUGAUAUUUUUUGGUUCAAAAAGAGAGACUAAAACAAAAUUGUCUAUCAAUUUUUUAGAUGAGGAACGAGUCUUUACCUUCUCGGAUGGAUCACCAAUUAUAAACUCUCUUGGAUGAUUUUGGCUAAAUUUCCAAGCAUUGGAAAGGUCUUUGAAUGAAUCAUCAUUCUUGUCUUCAUCUUCCUUUUCUUGAUCAUCAUGAGCCUCAUCCUCCAUUUCCUUUGCUGCUGGUUUAGAGUUUCCCUCAUCUCCAAUUGUUAGCUUUUCCAUUCCUUCACGAACACCUACAUCAUCAUCCUCACACGAACUUUUGGAAUUAUCAUCAUUAGUUUCAUCAAAUGUUAUGUGUAUAGCUUCUUCUAUCACAAGAGUUCUUCUAUUAAAGACUCUAUAUCCUCUUUUGUUAUCACAAUACCCCAAAAUAUUCCUUCAUCAGACUUUUUAUCAAACUUACCAAGAUGUUCCUUUAAAUUCAAAAUAAAACAUUUGCAACAAAAAACUUUGAAAUAUCCAACCGUAGGUUUCUUAUCAAAAAUCAGUUCAUAAGAUGUUUUAUUCAAAAUAGGUCUCAAGAGGAUUCUAUUCAUCACAUAACAUGCGGUGUUUACCGCUUCAGCCCAAAGAUAUUUUGGCAAACUACAUUCAUUCAAUAUAGUUCUAGCAACCUCUUGGAGUGUCCUAUUUUUCCUUUCUACAACACUGUUUUGCUGUGGAGUCCUUGCAAUAGAAAACUCGUGUGUUAUGCCAUUAUGAUCACAAAAUUCUAGAAAACCACAAAACUUGAAUUCUGUCCCAUUAUCACUUCUAAUCUUAACAAUUUUUAAACCAAAUAGAUUUUGCACUUUAGCAAACAGUGAAGUAAAAUUCUUGACGGCAUCAUCUUUAUGAGCAAGAAAUAUCACCCAAGUAUAUCUAGAAUAAUCAUCAACAAUUACAAAACAAUAUCUCUUACCUCCCAAACUAGUAAUUUGAGUAGGACCAAAUAAAUCAAGAUGCAAGAGUUCCAAAGGUUUAGAAGUUGAUACACACUUCUUUGGUUUAAAGGAAAUUUUUUUUUGCUUCCCAAAUUGACAUGCAUCACAAAUUUUGUCCUUUUCAAAACUGAUUUUUGGCAAGCCUCUAACCAACUCCUUUUUCGAAAUUUCCUUUAGUAAAUCCAUGUUAAAAUGACAAAGUCUCCUAUGCCACAACCAAGGAUCUUCAUUUGAAGCUUUAAGACAUUGGAAGCUAGAUGAAUCAAGUUUAUCAAGAACAACAAUAUAAAUAUCGUUAAACCUCUUACAUUUGAACACCACAUUAUAUUUAGAGUCAAGUACAAUGCAUUCAUGUUUUUUGAACAACACAUUCAAGUCUUUAUCACAUAAUUGACUAACACUAAGCAAGUUAUAACCUAAGUUAUCAACUAAGAGCACAUUAUAAACAAAAGUUCCACCAUCCUUACCAAUAUCACUUAUUCCAAUUGUCUUAGCUUUCACGUCAUCACCAAAUGUCACCUUUCCACUUGAUUUUGAUUUUAGCUUUAUGAACAACGAAGGAUCACCAGUCAUAUGCCUUGAACAGCCACUGUCAAUGAAUCAUUUUGACUUGUUUGAACCUUUUCCCUGAAAAGAGAGAGUGUUUGGUAUCCUUUAACUUUUGGGUCCUCAUUAGUUAGCAUUGUGUCUAACUAUCCACAUGCAUUUCCCUCAUUUGUUCAGAUUUCUUUUCACAUAACAAUCUCCUUUCAAAUGCCCUCUUUGACAACAAAAACUACACACAAUGGAAGAGUCUUUAGUAUGUAAUGGUUUGAUAAAUCUCAAUCCACUCCUUUUAUAUAUUGUGAAACUAUGUGCAAUUUUGUUGUCUGCUAAUGUUCUUUUAUGAGCAAUAAGAGAAGUGAUUGACAUGUUCUUUUUGAGAUAAUCUUGUUUUCUAGUUUUUAAGAUCUCAUCCAAAUUGUCCAUCCUUUUAUUCAAAUCACCAUGUCUUUCCUUUAAUUUUUCACAAACACUUGUCUUUUUAUCAAGUUCAUUUUGAACAUCACAUCCGGCUCUUACAAGACACUCAUUGUCAGUCUUUAGUUGUUUAUUUUGGUGAAAAAGUCUUGCAUUUUCUUGAAUGAGAAAAAUAGUUUUCUGUUUUAGCUGCUUGUUUUUAUCACAAGAUUCCUUCAAGGUAUUAUGUAAUUUUUCAACAAAGGAUUCAAGAUCAUCAUCAUCUUCAUCAUCACUAUCAGAUUGAGAGUGUAUGGAAGUUACCUCAUUAUCUCCAAUAGCCAUGAAAGCCAUUUGAGCUGAUUCUUCUUCUUCUUCAACUUCGCCUUCGGAGUUGCAUUCAUUCCAUGUAAUUUGGAAGUUGUUGAACCUUGGCUUUCGAUCAGCUUUUCCAUCUUUCUUUUUCUUUAGAAAGCAUUCAUUUGCGUAGUGUCUAGGCUGUCCACACUCGUAGCAUUUGUCCAAUUGUUUCUUGUUGAAUUCUUGUUUUCUCUUGUUCCUUGCAUUUGAAGACUGAUUUUGGAAUUGAUUGCUAGGUCCUCCCCUUCUAAACUUCCUUUUAUUCAAGAUUCUUUUGAAGCUUUUUGUGAUGAGAGCAAGAUCGUUGUCAUCACCAUCCGAGUUUUCAUCAUCCAACAGAGCUGGAUCAUCAUCACCUUGGGCUGCCUUCAGAGCUAUGUUUCUCUUUGCUCUCGCGUCCUCUUCCUCCUGCACUUUAGUUUUCAACUUCAACUCAUAGGAGGUUAGUGAGUUAAUGAGAGAUUCAAUAGGCACAGAAUUCAAAUCCUUAGCCUCCUCUAUUGCAGUCACUUUACUUUCCCAUUCUUUGCCUAAUGCAUUGAGAAUUUUCCUGUUUUUCUCUCCCAAGGUGUAUUCUUUGCCCAACACCUCGAGAUCUUUGAUCAAGUCAUUGAACCUGCAAUACAUUUUGUCAAUAUCCUCAAGGGGUUCUAUUUUAAAUGAUUCAUACUUUGUGACCAAGAUAGACUUUUUUUGUUCUCUCACGUUGUCACUACCCUCAUGAAUUUCUCUUAGUUUAUCCCAUAUUUCUUUGACAAAUUUACAUCCUUUUACUCUAAUGGAUUCAUUUGAGUCUAAGGCACUAUAAAGAACAUUCAUGGCUUUGGCAUUCAAUGUGAAAUUGGUUUUAUUUUGAGCAUUCAACUCAGCUCUUGUUUUUGGCCGAAACAAACCUGUAUCUGCAUCAAGAAUGUUAGCAUCAUGCGGUCCUUCAUUCACAAUAAACCAUAGUUUAAUAUCAAUGGAUUGCAAAAAGAUAAUCAUUCUUUCUUUCCAACUAACAUAAUUGGAACCGGUAAAUAUGGGAGGCCUAGUGACAGAUUGCCCUUCAACAAACAUGGCAUGAUUGGUUGUCAUCUUUACUCCAAGCUGCUUGAGCUUAAUCUCAAUGAGACCAAUCUCUGAUACUAAUUGUAAGGCCCAAAGACAACCUAAGACGGGGGAGAAUUAGGUUGAUUAAAAUUACUUGAUUUAGUUUAUGCACUUUUUCUUUAAUAAAAAUUUACUUUCUUUUCUAGUAGUGACCAGCCAAGUAAAUUUAAAGAAGAGAGCAAUGUUGAUCAGAAAAGAGAGUGUAUAUAAGCAAUGAGAAUUUUAUUAAACAAAAAAUUAAAAUAGAGUAUCAAACCGAUUGUCUACCAAGCUUUCCUCAAACUUGAAGACCAAUCACAAAGAUGAGCACCUUCUCUUUGAUGAACAAUAAUCAACUCAAUGUACUAUGGAGGGAUUACUUCUUCCUUGCCCGAAGCCUUAUUUAGUCAAGUUAGGAAGUUUUACUAUCACUCAGAUAACCCUCAACAAAACUACACUAUUGAAAUUUCAAACACAAGAGAAGUGCUUACAAGAAAAUCACAGUACUUGGAGAACAAAUCUUGCUAAGGAGACUAUUUUCUAGCUAAAAUAUCUCUUGAGAUCUUGUUAACGAAGUGUGUAAAAGUCCCUCACUAGUUCAGAAUCGUUUGUAUUUAAAGGGGACCAAAAAUGGGCUUCAAUAAUGCUUCCAACGGAUAGUAGGCAAAUGAAGAGUCAGCUAGCCGUUGGAGCCAUCGGACGUCCGACAGAUUAAUCACCGUCCGAUCCCAUCGUCCGAAAAUCAGCCAAGUUGUCGUUCGGACGUCCGAUGCGAUAUUAUCGUCCGACAGCAUCUGCGUCCGAACGUCGUCAGAGAGUCAUCAAAACUUUGCAAAAUUUCUCGGACAUCCGAUGCGAUCGAUGUGCAUCCGAAGCAUGCGUCCGAUCCUCUCGGACGUCCGAUGCUUCCUUACGAGCGUCCGACAGAGUUUCCUUCUUGAUGUUCUUCAUUCUUUCGGACGUCCGACAGCUUCCUUUAGGACGUCCGACAUGAGUGCCCUAUUUUUGCUUUUUCUUUUGGUUGAUUUUCUUUCCUUGAUACCUUUGUACCUGAUUCUCUUAAAAGCAAAACACUUAUAUUUGAAGAGAAUUAGAUAAACAUUUCAAAGUGCUUUGUGAUCAUCAAAAUCAAGAGUAACAAUGUGAUUAACGGGUUGAGGUCAUCCGCUCCAAACUUGGUGUUCUUUUGUCGAUCCUGAAACUAAUCUUUUACGGGUUUCGUCACAAGGUUGGCGACGUUCGUAUCAAUAUGUCUCUUCAAAUUUUAAUUGGUGCAAAUCGCAUUAAUUGCGAUGCCCAAAAGUAAUUCUUUGAAGAUGUCACGAAUAUGCAACAAUGAGACUUAAAAAAUUACGUGACCUAAAAGAGAGGGAUGCAACAUAACGGGUAUGGGGGUUAAGAUUCGUGACUCAAUUUUUCCUUUUAUAGAGGGAAUACGAGCGUACUGAGGUUAGAAAAUUAUAUUCGUCCAUAUCCCAUAUUCGAGGGGUAAUUUUCCUAAUUUAAUCAUGCAAAUACACUAAUCUACUCCUAAUUUCCUUAAAUGGAAUAAAAGUCUAAAUGUUAUAUGUCACACAUAGGGAUAGGGGAUAUAUAUAGGGAAAAUAUCAUGCAAAAUGGUAAGAAUCCUAAAAAGUAGAUAAAUAUGCAUGAAAUAUAGUGAUUUGUCAUACAAGCAUGAUCUAGUGCGUAGGAACGGCCUAAGGUCUAGCAUUGGACCAACCCUUAUCUGUAAGCUCUCACUAGCGUUGGAAUAGUAAGAAAUAGGAAAAAAAAAAGGCCACAACUAGCGUUGAACUAGUAUGGUGAUGUUAUGCAUUUAUUAUAAUUAAAUAAAUCAUAUAAAACAUAGUAAAAGCAAGAAAACACAUAAAUCACAUAGAGCACAUAGCACGUAAGCAUGAUAUCUAGACACAAAACCCUAAGACAGCAAGUAAACACGUAAACACACAAGCAUGUAAGCACACAAAGCAAAUAAGAGUAAAUAGAGAUUUAACUAUUACAUUUGGGGGUUCUAACUACAAUUUAUUGGGAAAAAGAAUAAAAGGAGUAGAGUAAUUUGGAAUUUAAAUAACUACCUAACUAUUACAUAUUCUAUCUAAAUACAUGUCUUAAACCCCCUAACCAUUACAAUUUGGCAUUUAAAUGCCUCUCAAAUAAUCAAAAAUUAAGUUAAAAAACAAAUAAAGUAAAUAAAUCAAUGAAACAAAAUAAAAUAAAAAAAAUUCAAAAAACGUGCAAUUACACACAUAAAUUCACAUAGGAUCAAGUAAAAUCAAAAUAAAGGAGUAGAGUGUACUUCCCUUGAAUUGGUGACCUAAUGAAAUGAAAUUUCUUUUAUUUACUCUUCAAAAUAAAGAAAAUGGUCAAGGCAUCAAUUUAUUUGACAAAUAAAUCAUAAGGAAAUGGAAAUAAAUAUGAAAUCUAUCAAUUUAGGCACUCAAAUGGAAUAUGAUUAAUAAUUAAAAAAUAAAAGUAACUUCUAUCUAAGAAAUCAAACAAACAAGGACUUAAUUGUAAACAUUGAAAAAAUUUUAGGGGCUAAUUUAUUAUUAUUACAAAACUUGGGAGUCAAAAAUUAAAGAGAAAUAAAGUUAAGGGCUCAAAGAUAAAGCCUACCAAACCCAAUGCUAAAAUUCACAAAAAUAAAUCAAAACCCACUUGCUCCACUUACUAAAAUUAAACAACAAAAAGAAUCACCAAACUCUUUAAUUCUUUUGCUAAAAUCCAAAUCAAAACUAUAAAUUUAUCAAAAUUAUUAAACCUUAAAUUUCAUCCUAAAACUCACACAUAAUCUAUCCAAAAAUCAUAUUAAAGCAUGCCAAAGAAAAUUAACAUUUUAAAGGAACAAGAUUGAUUAUUUUUUCAAUUUUCUGGGCCAUAGAAGAAUUACUUAGAAAACUAGGGGUAAAAGUGCAAUUUAAAAAAAUCAUGCAGCCUGGUACAAAGAAGCUUUCUUCUUCAUCGCAGGUUUCUUUCUUCUGCAAUUUUUCCUUCUGCAACCUUCUUCCUUAUUCUACCAGGUAGAUUAAAUGCAAAACUCAAGCAAAACCCACUAGUUUAUCAAUCUAAAACCAACAAAACUUCAACCCAUCCAUUUCAAGAAGACCUAACAAUGCAUCUGUACAUGAAAACGCAGCAAAGAAAGAAAGAACAAAACUUGCGGUAAUUGAAAUUGGCUCCACCUAAAGUCAAUGUUUUUCUAGCCAACUCAUUGAAUCAUUAAAUAUCAAAUUACUCUGAAGCCUUUUGGACGUAUCUGAAUCAGCCAAACUAGAGUCUCUAAAGCAUCGAGAUGAAACCACAAAGAGAAGAAAUAACAUGCGCGAGCAUAAGGAAGAAACCCAUGCGAUGAACUCAUCUUCACAAAAUUAUGUUAAAAUGACAGGAAGAAAAGCUAGAGUUACUUGCAAAUGUUGGUGAAAUCAAACAAACAUGAAAUCUCCCAAGAAACUACAUACAGACUCCUGGAACGAAGCCAAGGAAACUUUGUCGCAGAAAUUGCAGCGAUGAUGAACCUUUAAUUUGAGUCCCAGUUUAGUUGCUUUAGAGGUGUUUUCACUUGAUAAUUACUGAAUGAAAGUUGUUGUCAGAUAUCUAGAGAAGGUACGGAAAGAAAAACCUCCUCAAAAUAAGCACUGUCGAGACCAGAAAUGAGCAAGAAAGAGGGAUGAUUCAUCAGGCUGGUGACCAGAUUUUCUGCAAUUUUUUCUUCCUUCUCUCUCUCAAUUUUCUCCCUCUCUCCUCUGUGUUUCUUGUUCACCGCUGCCUUUCCUCCUGUUCCCUCCUUGUUCCUCUCAAUUUUUCCUUUUCUUUCUUCCCCUUUCUUCCUUCUUUUCUCUCUCUUUCUCUCUUCCUUUUCUUUCCAGUUUUCCUCUCGUUGCCCUCUAUCUCUCUGUAGUUUCUUUCUACCUCUCUUGCUUCCCCAGAUUCUCUCCUCCUCCCUUGUUUCCUCCUUUGUUUCCUUCAGCCGCUACCCUCCCUCCAUCUCUCCUUCUCUUGGUUCUUUUUUUUCUCUUUUUUUUCCUCCCCCAAACCAUUUUUCCUUCCUUCUUUUUUGCCAUUGGUUUCUUGCCCGCAGCUUUCUUUUUUCUUUUCUUGUCCCAGAUUUUUCCUCAUCUUCCUACACCUAUCUUGCCACCUAGCCUCUUGCAUAUGUUGUGCAAAAUGCCAAAACCACAUGGCUAAUGCUCACCUAUCCCACUUAGCUACUAUAUAUGCAUGUCUUUCACCUAUCUUGUUUUUCUUUUUUUUUUUUCUUGUUUUUGUUUUCAAAACAUAUUUAGGGUAAACAAAAUGUUAAUUCCUAAUAAAGAUUGUCUUGCAAAAAUUUCAUUUUAUUUGGAAAAAAUUGAAUUUGAAAAAGAUUAAAAAUAAAUUUUUAUGAGAAUUUUCCUUUUUUUCAGAAAUUUAAUGCAAAAAAUGUUUGUUUUGUUGAUUAUUUUUUAAAAGAAGAUGAACCUAAUUCAAUAAAAUUAACUAUCAUUUUGCGAACUAAAAAUAAAAUAAAAUAAAUUAAAAUUAAAAUGGAAUUAAAUAGAAUUGAAAUUUUGGUGUCUACACCUUGCCCCUCUUUUUCUGAAAUUCGAAAAAACUCGAAACAAAGAUGUAGAUACCAAAUAGUUAUCUGUAGUUAUUCCACUGCGAACUGAAACAAGCAAACAUAUGAAGGUCAGUGGGAUAAAACCUAACCCUGCCGAAAAUUGGUCAGUGGGAUAAAACUCGAACCUACUAUGAAAUUGAUCAGUGGGAUAAAACCCGAAUCUACGUAAAAAUGGUCAGUGAGAUAAAAUCCGAGCUUGCCAUAAAAUUGUUGUAGAAUACCUUUUGUAGAACUUCGAAAAUUUUGAUGGAGAUAGAUGACUUCUUCUAAAAAGAUUUGCCCUAGUGUGAUGUUAUUGGACCUUUGGACCUGCAAAAGAGGAAUAAUGAUAAUGACAAGAUAAUGCCACCACUAUCCGAUCAACCUCACUUUCGAGAAAUGUGUAAACAUGAGUAUUUGAACGUUCUUCUCAACUGUAGCAAAAACUCAACUUUACUCUGCAAAGUGCAUCAAAUUUUCUUAACUUCCAAUGCUAAUCAAGUAUGUCAUUUCGUAUCCAGAUAUUUUUAAUAAAUCACAGGGAUUGCCAUUUGAUAAAUCCAAAGAGAUAAAUGAGGCCAUAAAACACAAGAAAAAAUAUUCUACUUACACAAAAAUGAUGCAAAUUCUAGUAACAUGAAAACAACCAUCUACUUUUAUUGAAAGAAAAUUGACUUUAGAGAAAUGAACUUGUAUACUCAGAAGUUUAUGUUUGACGAACCAAAAUACUUUGAUCUCACACAAAAUACCACAUUUGACCCUUUGGAUAUCGCCUCCGGAGUUCAAUGCUAGCAACAGAACCACAACUGUGAAGAGAAAUUCAACUGAAUUGAGUUACCAGUCAUUCAACUCCAAACUCAUUUUUUCUCAUAAAACCCUACCUUAGCGCCCUUUCGGGUUUUAACUAAGACUACCCCCACCUUUUAUUUUCUUUUUCUUUUAUUUUCAUUUUUUAUUAUUUAUUUUUUUUUGUUCUAUUUUUUCCUUUUUUUUUCUCUUUUGAAAAGGCGCCCUUUCGGAUUUUCACCUAAUGAACAAAUCUUGUCGAUAGCCUUUAUCAACUUAGAAAUGUAUUUUAAGAAAUGAUGGCAUUAAUGCAACAAUCAUUCCCUUGCAAACUUGGUGAAGGUGUAUUGACAUCAUUUGCCAUGUGAUUAGAAAAUUUCCUAAAUGAGGUGAUGCAAAGAAUGGAAGUCAGGACUUUCAAUUUUUUGUAAUGUGGUCAAGUGAGGUGCUAAGAAAAGGUUAAGAUUUGAAAGCAAAUUUUAUAAGUAUUUAAAUCACUUGAGAUCGCAUCCUCAUAUUAACCCUAUUUAGGAUUAAACUAAAAUUGCCCCAAAUUAUUCUCAACCGAGAUUCUUUUCUUUAAUUUUCUUUUCCUUUUGUUCCUUUAUCACUUUUCACCUCUUGAGGCUGUUCUUCUCUUUUCUUUCAACUCAAUCUUGCCCCAAUGUGGGGUUUGCGAUCCUCAAGGAUUGCCAAACGAAAUGAUUUAUUCUGAAGGUUCAGAAGGAAAAAAUAGGGAUAGAAUAUUUAAUUGGGAAGAAAGAAAGUCUGACUUUCAUUCCAUUCUUCGUAUUUACUCUCAAAAGAAACUUCUAUUUAUCAGAUGAAGAAUUUUUUACACAUAUCCAAAUUGAUCAGCCGAGGGAAAACUUGUCCAUCAAUUUCUGCAAGAACAAGUGCUCUACCAGGCAAUAUCUUCUUGACAAUAAAAGGGCACUGCUAAUUUGGUGCAAACUUGCCUUUGGCCUUCUCUUACACUGGCAAAAUUCAUUUCAGUACUUUGUCUCCUUUUUCGAAUAAUCAUGGUUUGACUUUCUUGUUGUAAGCACGGGUCAUUCUCUUUUUCUGUUUCUUAUUCAAAUGAAUACUAAUUUUUAUCUCCUUGACCUCGAUCUCAGUGACAAUAUUAAUGAUUUCUAUUUCUUCUAAGUCCGGUUCGGAUUUCUCUUCAUAUUGUUCAAGAUUCUUUAACAAAGACUCAAAUUCUUCCUCGUUAUCGUUCUCGUCUUGAAUUUCUGAUUCCAUAAUUUUGAAUUUGUGAGGGAUAUCGAGAUUGCAGUCAUCAAAUUCCGAAAUAUUGAUAUCCAAAGGGUCAAUGUGUUUUAUUACUGGCCAUCUGAAAAAGAAUGAGAUAGAUACAACAAUGUGUAAGUAAAACAAUUGGAAAAUGAACACUGUACAUUUUAGUGAAUUUCAAAUAAAGGACAAAAUGUCAUAAUACGCUACUUAACAUAAGACUUGUAUUGAAAAGACAAUUAAUUCAAAGCUAUUUACAAAACUGAAAGACCAAAGAUGAUCACUGCGAAUGGUUUCUUUCGUAGUUCUCAACCAAAGGCAAUCCCCUACAUUUACCAAAAUUUCCUUUUGGAGAGUUUGCAGUCCGGUUUUGGAUGGCUCCUUCGAGUACAAAAGGCUUCUGGACUAUUCCAAUUAUUUCAUUCUCCUCCACAAUAUUUUUGACAAACUCCUCAAACUCCUCGUCAGUGGUAAUUGCCCCUACAGUAUUUUUAUACUCAGGAAGAGGGUUCUUGUUGACAUUCAGCCCUGACUCACCUCUUUUCCUUAAAACUAUUAUGUCUUCAGCAUCAAUCAUGUCUUGGGUUUUAUACUUUAGUGCCCAACAAAUGACAGUAGAAUGGUCAGGACUUUCAGAGUGAUAUGCACAAAUGGCUUGAGGAUCAUAACCAGUAGGAAUGCCCCUAAGGUAAAUUUUAGGAGGCACCACGCUAAUUUUACCAGCAGCCUUAAGUUGCUCGUAUAAUUGGUCGAGGGGUCGGUCUAAAUUGGUAAAGCUGCGGUAUUGAAUUUGAUUUUGGAUUUUAUUGGUUUGAGAAUAAUUAUAGGUUUGGUUAUUUGGCUGAACAGGUCUUGAAUUAAAAGAAGGUCGAGGCCGAGUUUGCAAACUUGGUUGAGAAAUCUGGAAAGGUAGUGCAGGGACAUUUGUGUAGUUGGGUCGAUGGUGAGGAUGAUUGACAGUAGCGUGAUAGACAAGACGGGAAUUUGGGUAAUACGGGUAGGAGGAUGAGUACGUGGGUCAAUUCUGAACUCUAGGUCUAGUCAGGGGGCCCUGAUCUCAAACAAAAGCAUUCUCUCCUUCCUUCUUAUUGAACUGAGGUUUCUUGCUGCUACUACUCUGACCUUGCAAAGCUUCCAGUUGCAUUUUCAAGGUCAACACGUUGACUAUCUUUCCUGCUUUGACGAAUUCGUCAAAUUCUUCUAACUUAUUUACAAUAGCUGCAAACGAGCAUCCAGUAAUUCGAAAAAUUUCCUCAAAAUAUGGUGGGUCAUGAGCUUUGAUAAAUGUUCGAACAAUUUCGUCCUCGGACAUCGGGGGUUCCAUUUAGCAGCUAAUUUCCUCCAACGCUUGGCAUACGUCUUAUGAUCCUCCGAUGGUUUCCUCUUGGUCCCCUCAGCCAUGGUGGUUCUCGUCAAUGUAAGUUCACAAUUAUACUCAUAUUGUCUUACGAAAGCGGUUGACAAAUUCAACCAUGUCCUCAUCUCAUCAGGUUUCAAAUUGGAGUACCAAUCCAGUGCAUCACCUUCUAAACUUUCGGGAAACAAUAGAAUUGGCAAAUUCUCGUCAUCUACUGGAUUUCCUAGUUUGUUUGCAAACAUUCAGAGAUGUGUCUUAGGAUUGCCCGUUCUGUCGUACUUAUUAAAUUUGGGUGCUUUAAAACCCAUAUCAGGAAACAGGCACAAUUCGUUAUAGUCCAAACCUCUUUGUUUGCUCAAACCUUGGCUCUUCCUCAUGAACUUGUCAAACCGAUCCAACAUUUUUAACAGACUUUUGUCAAUUGGUGCGGAGAAUUCCCCUACUUCAAAUUUUCCUUGUACAGCGGUAUCUAGCGUGAAUGGUUCUACAGUGGAAUAAGAAUGUGGUUCUUGAGAUUCAAGUGGCAUGCUCAGACUAAUAGAGGUGGAUAAUUUUAAGGAACUUGAGUGUGAGGAGAAUUGAUCUAGAUAUUGGAUGCAUAGGUAUGUGGGAGGUCAUGAGUGGGAUAGGUGAAAGGUUCCUCAAGUGGAUUUACGACAUGUGGAGCGAAAGAGGUUUGAGUAUAAGGUAAGGGUAGUGGUCGCGGCUCAAGUUGACCAACAGGUAAGAGAUCUUGCUGGAUGCUGCUGCUACUGCCAGCAACCAACUGAUCAAUCACGCGUCAUUGUGCGGCCAUCUCCAUGUUUAAUUCACUGAAUUUGUUUAACACUUUGCUCAGUUGAGCUCCCAGAUUUGCAAGGUUGGGUGAUGACGUCGUUGCAGACCUAUCGGAUGAUUCAGAAUGUGUACUCAUGUUUACACUAUUUCUCAAAACUCGGCUACAUGAUCAUGUAAUGAUGGGGCUUCUUUACGUAGCUAUGUUUGCAAUUAUCUGAAAAUUUAGGAAAAACCCUAUUUAGAUUCCCCUCUUGAUUAACUGCGGAUAAAAAGAAAGAAAAAGAAAAAUACGUGAGUUAAUAAAAAUUUAAGUAAUUCGGAUGCAUGUCCUAUUGGGAAGUCCUUUUUAUGCCAAGGGUUGGCUUAGAAUGAAAAUGCAAUCCUCUAGGGUAGGCACCAUACAGUAACUGAUGAAUCCGAUCAACUUAUUGAUAUUCGAGUGAAAAAUGAUUUGAAAAUUUUAGUUAAUUAGAGUGGCAAGAGAAAUUUAUCCUAACAAAAUGAGAACAAAGUCCAAAUGGAUUGAUUACUUUGAUUAACACAUAAAAUGAUGUAUGAAAGAGCCUACUUUUGAAAGGAUUACAAUAUCUCGAUUAGCUUAUUUAGUGAACCUUAGAUUGAAACCCUAAAAGAGAAUAAACAGGUCAAAUGGAUUGGAUGAAAUUGAUGAUUUAUUCAAAAAUUGACUAGAUCGCCCUAAAAAUGGGUAAACUGGUCAAAUGAAAUAAAUAAAAUUGAUAAUUUAUUCAAAAUUGACUGAAUCACCCUAAAAAUGGGUAACCUGGUCAAAUGAUUUAAAUGAAAUUGAUUAUUUAUUCAAAAUUGACCGGAUUGUCCUAAAAAUGAGUAAACUAGUCAAAUGAAUUGAAUGAAAUAAAUUGAUCAAAUAGAUCGCAUGGAGUGAUGAUUUAUUAAAAAAUUGACUGAAUUACCCUAAAAAUGGUUAAACUGGUAAAAUGAAUUAAAUGAAAUUGAUGAUUUAUUCAAAAUUGAUCGGAUUGUCCUAAAAAUGAGUAAACUAGUCAAAUGAAUUGAAUGAAAUAAAUUGAUCAAAUAGAUCGGAUGCAGUGAUAAUUUAUUCAAAAAUUGAUUGGAUCACCCUAAAAAUGGGUAAACUAGUAAAAUGAAUUAAAUGAAAUUGAUGAUUUAUUCAAAAUUGAUCGGAUUGUCCUAAAAAUGAGUAAACUAGUCAAAUGAAUUGAAUGGAAUAAAUUGAUCAAACAGAUCGGAUGGAGUGGAUCGUUUAUCCAAAAAAAAUUGACUCGAUCAUCCUAAAAGUGAAUAAACUUGUAAAAUGGAAUGGCUGGAAUUGACAAUUUAUUUGAAAAUUGACUAGAUUGCCCUAAAAGUGAGUAAACUAAUAAAAUAGAUUGGAUGGAAUUGACGAUUUAUUUGAAAAUUGACUGAAUUGUCCAUCUAUUGGUAGUUUCAAAAUUUUACAAAUUUUGUUGCAAUGGUUAAUCUAUGAGCCUUCUAAAACCAGGAUUUGGUCUCGAUAUAUUUAUCAUCUCAAUAAUGAGGAAUUAUUUGUGAAUUUCUUCAACUUAAUGUUCUUUUCGCAAGGGAUUUUUAUCAAUUCUGAUAAAAUGCCCAAAAGAUGAUUGUUAGAUGCUCAUAUUCUAAUGUGCAAAAGUUACUCUAUUAUCAUGGAAAAGAUCAGAUCCUACCUUACAUCAUGCAUUAUCCUUUUGAACGGUACAAGAAAUAUAGACGUGCAAAUUUCAUUGAUUACAUAUCCGAGACACAAUGUGGCUUAUUCCUAACGUAGGAUUCCUUAUGCAGCAUUCCCUUCUAAGAUUGAUGCAUGAUGCCAGUUUAUCAAAACGAUUAAAUAUGCAAUUUGAAAUGAAAACAUGACCUAAGGGGCCCUUCGUAUACCAGAGUGGGCCUAAAAUAAUGUGCACUUAUUAACCUACGAAUGCAAUAUAUCGGAAUUUAAACGUGCAAUAACCUAUCUAAGAGGGUAGGUUCUAAAAGAGUAUCAUGUCAGAACUCUUAUUUUCUAGUGUUUAUGAAUGCAAAAGAUGAGAAAAUAAAGAAAUGUUAGUUCAACAAAAUAACACAUAACAUGUUAGGCAAUUAGAUGAUACCAAAAGCGAAAAGAAAGAAAAAUAAGGAAAGAGGGGUGGGAUCCCUCCCUUCGUGCCUAGUGUUCCUAGUUGGGUACGGUCGACUCUAUCCUAGGCGAUUUCUAAUAUGGAUGCAUGAGGUUGGACUCACUAAUGCAUCUAGACUCGAUAAAGUUUCAGGUCCCCAAACCUUCAGACCAAAGGUGAAGGGUCAUCAAUCCCAAGGGCUAAGAGUCGAUGGUUCGAGUGAUCCCUUGGACAUUGCUACACGCACGUCGUGCCACGGCUACAUAUCCAAGUGGAUCGAUCUUAAUCCUAAUAGGGUGAAGGGGCAUGACAACCGCUAAAAGUAAAAAGAAAUGAGAGGUUAUAAAGUAAAACGUAUGCAUGUAUGAAGUGCUCCUUUUGAAAUGAGGGAUUAAAUACCAUCGCACGUGGGUGAAGAUUCUGGGGUAGCUAUGUGAGAACUUGCAAAAUUCUUUAUAUUUUCUUAAAAUUUCCUAUUAUUUUGAAUAAAUUACUUUAUAAUAUCUUUACUACUCAUUUACUCCCUCAAUAGUUGCAAUAAAUCAUAGAAGCAAGAGUUUCAUCUUUAGUUUUAUAGUUACGGUAAAAUAGGGUUUCUGCAUAUUUUGGUAGUAUGAUUACUUGGUGAGGUGUGUGUAUUAAAUUUGGUGGUUAAGAGUGAGUUUUAGAUAAGAGAAAGUGUGUGAUUAGAAGUACUAAUAAUAAGUUAGUAAAUCAUAAGUAAAAACCCUAGUACGUGCGAGUUAAGGAAAAAUGGCUUGAACCGACGCGCACCGUUUGCUACUGAUUGAGUGCACCAUUUGGACACUACAUUAUUACCUUAAUCUCCUUGUUCUUACUUGAGGAAAAUCAGCCCUAAAUAUCUCCUUAUACCAGCUGAAAUUUUGGACUAAAAAACAAGAGAGAAAAGAAAAAAUUUGACCACCAAUCAAAGUGUGACACUUGUUGGAAAUUUAGUAAACUUUGAUUAAACCAAUUUCCUUUCGUCUUAUCUUUACCUUGGCUUCAUUUUUUCUUCAUUUUGCCUUGGUUGGCCGAGCUUUAGGAGAGAAAAAACAAGAGAGAAACUUACAGCUUCAACCCUUGAAUCAAGCUUGUUUGAGUGAAAUCAACAAAACCAAACCGAUUAAACUUACCUCUUGGUGAUUGGAAGGCUUGGUAUGCUGAAAUUUUGAGAAGAUUGUGGUUUGUUUCUCACUUACAAUGAGCUUUUGGAAGGUAUAAGGCUUGAACUUGCUUUUCUCUUAUUUAAUCUUGCUAAAGUUGGUAUAGAAGUUCUUAAUCUUGGCUUGUAAUGGUUAAUUUCCUAGUUUUUGAUGGUAAGGUGGAAUUUUCAGCUAAGGUUUGUAAUUUUCAGUUUUGGUUAAUGUUGUUUAUCUAGUAUAUGAUGGUAUUGAGUUAGGAUAUGAAUGUGGUGAAGUGCUUGGUUAUGAAUUUUUAAAGUAAAAGUUGAAUUUCCAGCAUAGAUAGUGAUUCUGCCCUGUUUAUGGAACCAAACUUACUUGCAUAUUUGUCCAUGAUAAAGGCCAAAUCAACUCUUGCUCAAAACAUGAAAGUUUUAGGGAAUUGAGUUAGCUAUCUACCUACAAAAUUUCAGCUCAAUCAGAGCACUGUAUCUUGUAAAAUGACUAAAAUAUCCCUUACUGCCCAAAUGCCCUAUUUAACCAACAGCUUUCAGUUUUCUCUAAAAUUUCAAAAUUUGACCUUUAAAAUACAAGAACUGGGUGUCGAUGUCUUCAUAGGAAGGUCUCUGUCUUAGCUUCAAAACGCCAUAAAAUUUGCCCCAAUCCGAUAAGCAUAGUUUCAAUUGUGACCAAAACGUCAAAAGAUGACAAACCUGUCACUUAGACAUUCUUCUUUAAUACUAGUUUCCAGCUUUGGUCUUGGUGGUUUCCUUGCUAGAAUUGACUUGUAUUUGGAUGAUAUUGAGCCUAGUUGAAGAGCUAUUGUGGUAAGAUUGCUUAUGUGUUGAAUUUGGGCUGAGUAGAGGAAAAUAAUGAAGCCAUAAGUGGCUGAAAAAUAGCUAAAUACAAAGGGCAUGCUACCCAAAUUUUUGCUCCAUGGUUAGACGAGUGAACUUGAGACUUAAGCAAUGACUCGAGGUUGAAGCAAACUUCGAUUGUUUAUGGUAUUUGAGUUUUCUUUAGUAAGAGGUACAUAAAUUGAAAAGUUUGCCAAAACUCGUACCCUUUAACAAGUAAAAGUAGCGACCCUUUAAAAGACGAUUUUCUCGAGUUUUUAUACUAAGUGUGACUUCAAGACUAUAACUCACUUCUCUAUCGAAACUAAAAGAGCAAGCAUGAGUUUUCUAGAGUUUGAUAAGCCAUAUGACUACCACUUAAACAAGUUUCAUUUAUUUGAUUUUCUUGAAGCGAAACUCCUAUGUUUCGAACUCUAGAGAGUUUUACAUUCUUAAACGAUAUUUAUCACAGAUUUGAGGUCCAACCAAGGAGUUGGACCUGAACGUGAUUUUGAAAAGCACUAGACCAUUGGUGAGUGCUUUCAAAUACAUGAAUUGAACUUGAUACUUGUUUUAAAUUCUUUACUAACGCAAUUGGAUAAUAUUUGUUUGGUUUGGUCGGGUAAGGGUGUAUUUUAUCGUACAUGCCCUAAUGUGAUAUAUAUUUGUUCAUUUGUUACAAUUGACUCUAUAUACUUGUGCUUGUAAGUGCUGAGCGGCCGCAUGUGCCACACUCAAUCGAGUGGGAGGUGCCUCUCAUUCCCGGUUCGUACUUUUCUCGUGAUUAAAUCGAUUAGAAACGUUAUCUCAUCGACUAUACUCACUUCUUGGGGACCCAAACCCCACUGGCUAGUUAAUCGAGUCGAGCCGGCAAGGGUUUGGUCGAUUAGAUAAUGAACCAUAGGUAUCUUGUUUUGUCGAGUAGAGUGAUAACUUCUCGACUAAUCGGUAUGCUCGAGUAUUACCACACAUGUUUAUCUUGGCGUCCGGGCCUAGUAAGGGGGUUGAAUGGUGGAUAUAAAUUGGCGUUAAGUGGGGCACUAUUGGAUUGGUUACUUUACUCGAAAGUUGACGGAGUGUCAACUACUACUUGAUCAAACUCUGGUAAAGUAAUGGGAAUUUGGCUCCUGAGAGCCAUCCGUAUCCUUAUACUUUGAAAUGAUUAUUACUUGUCAUGUUAUUGUUUCUUUUAUAAAAACUUUACACUCCCUCAUUUGAUAUUUGCUAUUUGAUGUGUUAUUACUCUUUUCUGUUAUGCUCGCUACUUUGCUACUUUGAUACUUUCACUUUUAAUUAAUGGGCAACUUACUAUUUGGAACUUCACUGAGUUUUAGCUCACUUUAUUAGAUUUGUUUUCCUUACAGGGGGUACGAGCGAGGCAUGAGACUGGUACAAGAUAGCAUAGUCCAGUUUUUGAAAUUUUUACGAUUAUACUCGCGCUAGUGCUCAAUUAGGGCUGAAUGUAUCUGGAACUCAUAUCUUUUAAUAUAUUUGGGAUUGUAUGGAUGAUUAAAAUAGAAAUUAAUGUAUUUGUAUGUUCCAAACUUAGGAACUGUUAUUUUUUUUACUCUCGAGAUUGCAACCUAUUUUCUUAAAGUGAGUGAGUGAGUCCUGGCGAGAACUGAGCAGGCGGUCUGCUAAACCCUGGGGUAAGCCCUAGGGGGAGAUGGGAUCGUCAUAGAUGGUAUCACGAGCUCUUAUCGAGCUCGUGCCGAGAGAGGAUUCUCGGACUGUGGGGAUUGGCUUGUUAAGUGUGGAACAAAUGUCUAUUGUUAAGAACAUUAGAUAUGUAUGUCGGGUAAGAAUCUCAAAAGUGGUUGAUUUCCUCUCGAGUGGUGAAUUAUUAUAUUUUUUUAUUCCUGUACCCGAGUGCCAAAGAGUGAUACCUUUGUGAUAAGUCGAUAUCUCGAGUAAUAUUAGGAUAAGUCUAGAUGGCGAAAGCCAAGGCACGGGGAAUGCGAAUAGUCCAGACUUGGGAGUUAUUGAAGAUAUUAGUGAAAUAUGGGACCCUUAUUAUUCAAGUGUACAUACCUAGCUGUACUUCUUUAAGUUUUGAUUAAGUGUAGUGUGUGAGCAAUGCCUGGGGUUAAUGUCCUAUAGGAUAUGUGAAUUGCUAUGAUAUGUAUAUAGAGAAAGUAUGUUAUUUUCAAUUUGUUCUAUUAUUUUUCAUUUCAUGAUUUGAAAAUGCUUUUAUUGAGAUUUAUAGCUACUUUAUUUUCCUCAUACCUAUGUCGUCUAUUUUCACAAGAGGUAUGAAGGGUAAGAGAAGUCGGGGCCGUGAAACUAGCCGAGGACACGGUUCUAGCCGUGGCCGUGGGACUAGACAGGCGCAAGAAUCAGUACGGGAAUCAAGAGAGGAGAAAGGUGAAAUGUUUGAACCACAACCUGGACCCCGAGUUGAAGGGGGAUCAAGUAGCAACAGCAAUUCAGCAAAUGACCAAUAUUCUUACUCGACUAGUAGAGCAGCAGGGUCAAGCCCCUGUUAAUCAAUCUAGGGACCCUGACAUGGGGCAAGACAGGGCCCUAGAGAGAUUCCAAAAGUUUUCUCCUCCUAAGUUUUUUGGAGGAUCGGACCCCGAAGUAGCUGAGAGGUGGUUAGAGAUGAUGAUCAACAUUUUCGCUGCUUUAAACUAUACGGAGGAUAGGCAGGUGACUUUUGUUGUAUUUCAGUUUGAGGGACCAACUAGAGCCUGGUAGAAUGUGAUAAGGGCUAAGUGAGAGAGAGAAGGGACAGUAUGGACCUGGUUGAACUUCAUGCGUGAGUUUAAUGAGAAAUAUCUCCCACCAAUAGUUCAUGAGAAAAGAGAGGACGAUUUCAUUAGGUUACAUCAGGGAAGUUUAAGUGUAUCUGAGUAUGAAACUUAGUUCACCAAAUUAUCAAAAUUUGCUCCUAAAUUGAUAGUUACGGAGCAAAUGAGGGUGAGACGGUUUGGGCAAGGGUUGAACGUAGAAAUACAGGAAGUCUUGGCAGCUGUGCAAAUUAAUACUUUCACCGAGGUUCUUGAGAAAGCCAAGAGGAUAGAGAUUGCAAGGGCACAAGUAAAGGCUUUUCAUGCAACAAAGAAAGGUGUGCUUAGUGGAGACCAAGGGCAGGAACAAGAUGAUCUAGGUAUGCCACCCUCUAAGGUGGGUCGAGGAGAUGGUGGUGAGAAAAUUUUGGGGACACCUAAGGAAGUUACUUCAAGAGGGGCCCCAGGUGGAAGGGGACAAGCAAGAGGUACGGCGCAGGGAGGUCAGACCUCAGCUCCUCGAGUAUCUUGUGGGUACUAUGGAAAAUCCAACCAUACGGAAGAUAAUUGUUGGCGAAAGGCUCGAAAGUAUUUACGGUGUGGAAGUACUGAGCACUAGAUCACCAAUUAUCCACUGAGUAGUGAUACCCAGCUAGCUAACAACUCAAACCUUAAACAACUAAAUGUGGGAAGGAACAGAUCCAGAGUGCCUGCUAGAGUGCAUACCAUAACUACCGGCAAGUACCUAAUCCAUUUAAAGUGGUAGAAGGUACGAUUCAUGUUUUCCAUUGUCUGGCUAAAAUUUCGACUAAUGAGGAGAUCUGAGAAUUAGAGACGGACAUGUAAAAAAAAUACCCUGAGCUAUUUACGAAUAAAUGUAUAAAUUUCGAGGUCGAAAUUCUUUUAAGGGGGAGAGAGUGUGAGGACUUGCAAAAUUCUUCAUAUUUUCUUAAAAUUCCCUUUUAUUUUGAAUAAAUUACUUUAUAAUAUCUUUACUACUCAUUUACUCUCUCAAUAGUUGCAAUAAAUCACAGAAUCAAGAGUUUUAUCUUUAGUUUAAUAGUUAGGGUAAAAUAGGGUUUCUGCGUAUUUUGUAGUGUGAUCAUUUAGUGAGGUGUGUGUAUUAAAUUUGGUGGUUAAGAGUGAGUUUUAGAUAAGAGAAAGUGUGUGAUUAGAAGUACUAAUAAUAAGUUAGUAAAUUAUAAGUGAAAACCCUAGUACGUGGGAGUUAAGGAAAAACGGCUCGAACCGACGCACGCCGUUUGCUACCGAUUGAGUGCACCAUUUGAACACUACUUUAUUACUUUAAUCUCCUUGUUCUUACUUGAGCAAAAUCAGCCCUAAAUAUCUCCUUAUACCAGCCAAAAUUUUGGACUAAAAACAAGAGAGAAGAAAAAAUUUGACCACCAAUCAAGGUGUGACACUUGUUAGAAAUUUAGUAAACUUUGACUAAACCAAUUUCCUUUCUUCUUAUAUUUACCUUGGCUUCAUUUUUUCUUCAUGUUUCCCUUGGUUGGCCGAGCUUUAGGAGAGAAAAAAAACAAGAGAGAAACUUGCAACUUUAACCCUUGAAUCAAGCUUGUUUGAGUGAAAUCAACAAAACCAAACUGAUUAAACUUACCUCUUGGUGAUUGGAAGGCUUGGUGUGCUGAAAUUUUGGAAAGAUAGUGGUUUGUUUCUCACUUACAAGGAGCUUUUGGAAGGUAUAAGGCUUGAACUUUCUUCUCUCUUGUUUAAUCUUGCUAAAGUUGGUAUAGAAGUUUUUAAUCUUGGCUUGUAAUGGUUAAUUUCCUAGUUUUUUAUGGUAAGGUGGAAUUUUCAGCUAGGGUUUGUAAUUUUCAGUUUUGGUUAAUGUUGUUUAUCUAGUAUAUGAUGGUAUUGAGUUAGGAUAUGAAUGUGGUGAAGUGCUUGGUUUUGAAUAUUUAGAGUAAAAGUUGAAUUUCUAGCAUAGAUAGUGAUUCUACCCUGUUUUUGGAAUCAAACUGGCCUGCAUAUUUGUCCAUGAUAAAUGCCAAAUCAGCUCUUUCUCAAAACAAGAAAGUUUUAGGAAAUUGAGUUAACUGUCUACCUGUAAAAUUUCAGCUCAAUCAGAAUAAUGUAUCUUAUGAAAUGACUAAAAUAAUCCUGACUGCCCAAAUUCCCUGUUUCACCGACAGCUUUCUGUUUUCUCUAAGAUUUCAAAUUUUGACCUUGAAAAUGCAAGAACUGGGUAUCAAUGUCUUUAUGGAAAACGUUUGUCUCUAUCUUAGCUUCGAAACGCCAUAACAUUUGCCCCAAUCUGAUAAGCGUAGCUUCAGUUGUGACCAAAAUGCCGAAAGAUGACAAACCUGUCACUUAGACAUUCUUCUUUAAUACUAGUUUCCAGAUUUGGUCUUGGUGGUUUCCUUGUUAGAAUUGACUUGUAUUUGGAUGAUAUUGAGCCUAUUUGAAGAGCUAUUGUGGUAAAAUUGCUUAUGUGUUGAAUUUGGGCUGAGUUGAGGAAAAUAAUGAAGCCAUAAGUGGCUGAAAAAUAGCUAAAUACAAAGGGCAUGCUACCCAAAUUUUUGCUCCAUGGUUAGACGAGUGAACUUGAGACUUGAGCGAUGACUCGAGGUUGAAGCGAACUUCGCUUGUUUAUGGUAUUUGAGUUUUCUUUAGUAAGAGGUACAUAAGUUGAAAAGUUUGUCGAAACUCGUACCCUUUAACAAGUAAAAGUAGCGACCCUUUAAAAGACGAUUUUCUCGAGUUUUUAUACUAAGUGUGACUUCAAGACUAUAACUCACUUCUCUUUCGAAACUAAAAGAGCGAGCAUGAGUUUUCUAGAGUUUGAUAAGCCAUAUGACCACCACUUAAAACAGGUUUCAUUUAUUUGAUUUUCUUGAAGCGAUACUUCGAUGUUUUGAAUUCUAGAGAGUUUUACAUUCUUAAAUGAUAUUUAUCGCAGAUUUGAGGUCCAACCAAGGAGUUGGACACUAGACCUUUUGGUGAGUACUUCCAAAUACAUGAAUUGAACUUGAUACUUGUUUUAAAUUCUUUACCAACGUGAUCGGAUAAUAUUUGCUUGGUUUGGUCGGGCAAGGGUGUACUUUAUCGCAUUUGCCCUAAUGUGAUAUAUACUUGUUCAUAUAUUGCAAUUGACUCGAUAUACUUGUGCUUGUAAGUGCUGAGUGGCCGCAUGUACCACACUCAAUCCAAGUGGGAGGUGCCUCUCAUUCCCGCUCUGUACUUUUCUCAUGAUCAAGUCAAUUGGAGAUGUUAUCUCAUCGACUAUACUCACUUCUUGGGAACCCAAACCCCACUGGCUAGUUAAUCAAACCAGCAAGGGUUUGGUCGAUUAGAUAACGAACCAUGGGUAUUUUGUUUUGUCGAAUAGAGUGAUACCUCCUCGACUAAUCGGUAUGCUCGAGUAUUACCACACGUGUUUCUCUUGGCGUUUGGGCCCGGUAAGGGGAUUGAAUGGUGGAUUAAAAUUGGCGUUAAGUGGGGCACUACUGGAUUGGUUACUUUACUCAAAAGUUGACGGAGUGUCAACUACUACUUGCUCAAACUCUGGUGAAUCAACGGGAAUUUGGCUCCUGAGAGCCAUCCAUAUCCUAUACUUUGAAAUGAUUAUUACUGAUCGUGUUAUUGUUUCUUUUUAAAAACUUUACACUUGCUCAUUUGAUAUUUGCUAUUUGAAGUGUUAUUACUCAUUUUCUUGACUUGUUAUGCUUGCUACUUUGCUACUUUGAUAUUUUCACUUUUAAUUAAUGGUCAACUUACUAUUUGGAACCUGACUGAGUUUUAACUUGCUCUAUUAGAUUUGUUUUCCUUACAGGGGGUACAAGCGAGGUGUGAGACUGGUACAGUCUGGCAUAGUCUAGUUUUUGAAAUUUUUGCGAUUGUACUCGCGCUAGUGCUCAUUUAGGGCUGAAUGUAUCUGGAACUCAUAUCUUUUGAUAUAUUUGGGAUUGUAUGGAUGAUUGAAAUAGAAAUGAAUAUAUUUAUACGUUCCAAACUUGGGAACUGUUAAUUCUUUUACUUUUGAGGUUGCAACCUAUUUUCUUGAAGUGAGUGAGUGAGUCUUGGCGAGAGUUGGUCAGACAGUCCACUAAACCUUGGGGUAAGCCCUAGGGGAAGAUGGGGUCGUCACAAGCUAUACCCCCCCAAAAUGCAGGCGCGAUAAACAUAAGUGAAUGAAAGAAAAUAAACACACUAUUCAUCACAUACAUGGAUAUCGAGACGAUUGUGCGAGUUAAAUGCAAGAAACCCUAAAAAGGAAAAAAUGCAACCUAAAACCUCCAAAUGUGAUAUAUAAAAAGUUUAGAAAAAAAAGGAUUGACUAAAUCAAAUGCUCGGACUCUCUAAAGUCCCCAGUGGAGUCGCCAAGCUAUCGCGUCCCAUUUUUGAAAAAAUAAAAUUUGCGGGUUUAUAAAAUGAAUUUUGAUUAAUUUUGAUUGAAAAAUGAGUUUUUGAUUUGUUAGAGAAUAAGGACCUAUAAUGGGAUUCAAAAAGUGCAAAGAUUUUGGCCUAAAAUAAUAGUUUGAAAAGGAUUUUUAAUAAAAAAAAUAGGAGUCGCCACUUGGUAUUGAGUUAAGGUGUACCAAGUCACCUAAAAUGAAUUUUAAAUAAAAAGUAGAGAAAACCCUUUUUAAAUGACUCCAAAUCUUCGAAAAUGAGAGAAAAGUGUAUAGGAGUUACGUUUGAGGGAAGGAAAGGCAAAAAUAAAAUCCAAGAUACACUUUCAACCUAACUAGAGCUAGUUGCGUAAUUUAGUCAGAAAAUUUUCUUAGUUUAACCUAUAAAACUUAUCACAUUUGGAUGUUACUAUAUGAAUGCAAAACUAGACCUAAUGGCUAUCAGAAGGGUCAGAUGUCUUUUCGAAUUUUAAUUGGUGCAAAUCGCAUUAAUUACGAUGCCCAAAAGUUAUUUUUUAAAGAAGUCACGAAUAUGCAACAAUGAAACUUAAAAAAAUAGAAAAAUUAUAAUAUACAAAUAUACGUGACCUAAAAGAGAGGGAUGCAACAUAACGGGUACAGGGGCUAAGAUUCGUGACUCAAUUUUUCCUUUUAUAGAGGGAAUACAAGUGUGCUAAGGUUAGAAAACCAUACUCGUCCAUCUCCCAUAUUCGAGGGGUAAUUUUCCUAAUUUAAUCAAGCAAAUGCACUAAUCUAUUCCUAAUUUCCUUAAAUGGAAUAAAAGUCUAAAUGUUAUAUGUCACACAUAGGGAUAGGAGAUAUAUAUAAGGGAAAUAUCAUGCAAAAUGGUAAGGAUCCUAAAAAGCAGAGAAAUACGCAUGAAAUGUAGUGAUUUGUCACACAAGCAUGAUCUAAUGCGCAGGAAUAGCCUAAGGGUCUAGCGUUGGACUAACCCAUGUCUAUAAGUUUUCACUAGCGUUGGACUAGUGAGAAAUCGGAAAAAAGGCCACAACUAGCGUUGGACUAGUGUGGUGAUAUCAUGCAUUUAUCAUAAUCAAAUAAAUCAUAUAAAACAUAGUAAAAGCAAGAAACAUAUAAAUCACAUAGAGCACAUAGCACGUAAGCAUGAUAUCUAGAUGCAAGACCCUAAAAAAGCAAGUAAACACGUAAACACACAAGCAUGCAAGCUCACAAAACAAAUAAGAGCAAAUAAAGACUUAACUAUUACAUUUGGGAACCCUAACUACAAUCUAAGGGAGAAAAGAAUAAGAGUAGAGUAAUUUGGCAUUUAAAUAACUACCUAACUAUUACAUAUUCUAUCUAAAUACAUGUUUUAAAUCCCCUAACUAUUACAAUUUGGCAUUUAAAUGCCUCUCAAAUAAUAAAAAAUUAAAUUAAAAAAAUAUUAAAAAACAAAUAAAGUGAAUAAAUAAAUAAAAUAAAAUAAAAUAAAAAAACAUUCAAAAAACAUGCAAUUACACACAUAAAUUCACAUAGAAUCAAGUAAAAUCAAAAUAAAGGAGUAGAGUGUACCUGUCUUGAAUUGGUGAUCUAAUGAAACGAAAUUUCUCUUAUUUACUCUCCAAAACAGAGAAAAUGGUCAAGACAUCAAUUUAUUGGACAAAUAAAUCAUAAGAAAAUGAAAAUAAAUAUGAAAUCUAUCAAUUUAGGCGUUCAAAUGGAAUAUAAUCAAUAAUUAAAAAAUAAAAGUAACUUCUAUCUAAGAAAUCAAAUAAACAAGGACUUAAUUGUAAACAUUGAAAAAAUUUUAGGGCUAAAUUAUUAUUAUUACAAAACUUGGGAGUCAAAAAUUAAAGAGAAAUAAAAUUAAGGGCUCAAAGAUAAAGCCUACCUAACCCAAUGCUAAAAUUCAUAAAAAUAAAUCAAAACCCACUUGCUAAAAUUAAACAACAAAAAGAAUCACCAAACUCUUUAAUUCUUUUGCUAAAACCCAAAUCAAAAGUAUAAAUUUAUCAAAAUUAUUAAACCUUAAAUUUCAUCCUAAAACUCACACAUAAUCUGUUCAAAAUUCAUAUUAAAGCAUGCUAAAGAAAAUUAACAUUUUAAAGGGACAAGAUUGAUUGAUUUUUUCAAUUUUCAGGGCCAUAUCAGAAUUACUUAGAAAACUAGGGGUUACAGUGUAAUUUAAAAAAAUCAUGAAGCCUGGUACGAAGAAGCUUUCUUCUUCAUCGCUGGUUUCUUUAUUCUGCAAUUUUUCCUUCUGCGACCUUCUUCCUUAUUCUACCAGGUAGAUUAAAUGCAAAACUCAAGCAAAACGCACUAGUUUAUCAACUAAAACCAACAAAACUUCAACCCAUUUAAUUAACAUCAUCCAAACACGAUUGACCAUUUCAAGAAGACCUAACGAUGCAUCUGUACAUGAAAACGCAGCAAAGAAAGAAAGAACGAAACUUGCAGAAAUUGAAAUUGGCUCCACCUAAAGUCAAUGUUUUUCUAGCCAACUCAUUGAAUCAUUAAAUAUCAAAUUACUCUGAAGCCUUUUGAACGUAUUUGAAUCAGCCAAACGAGUUUCUCUAAAGUAUCAGAGAUGAAACCACAAAGAGAAGAAAUAACAUGCGCGUGCAUAAGGAAGAAACCCAUGCGAUGAACUCAUCUUUACAAAAUUGCGUUAAAAUGACAGGAAGAAAAGCUAGAGUUACCUGCAAAUGUUGGUGAAAUCAAACGAACAUGAAAUCUCCCAAGAAACUGCAUACAGACUCCUGGAACGAAGCCAAGGAAACUUUGUCGCAGAAAUUGCAGUGAAGACGAACCCGCGACUUUGAGUCCCACUUUAGUUGAUUUAGAGGUGUUUUCAUUGAUAAUUACUGAACGAAAGUUGUUGCCAGAUAUCCAGAGAAGGUGCAGAAAGAAAACCCUCCUCAUAAUAAGUACUAUCGAGAACAGAAAUGAGCAAGAAACAGGGCUGAUUCAUCAGCCCGUGACCAGAUUUUCUGCAAUUUUUUCUUCCUCCUCUCUCUCAAUUUUCUCCCUCUUUCCUCUGUGUUCCUUGUUCACCGCUGCCUUCCCUCCUGUUCCCUCCUUGUUCCUCUCAAAUUUUCCUUUUCUUUCUUCCCCUUUCUCCUUUCUCUCUUUCUCUCUUCCUUUUCUUUCCAGUUUUCCUCUCGUUUCCCUCUAUCUCUCUGUAGUUUUUUUCUACCUCUCUUGCUUCCCCAGAUUCUCCCCUACUCCCUUGUUUCCUCCUUUGUUUCCUUCAGCUGCUACCCUCCCUCAAUCUCUCCUUCUCUCGGUUCUUUUUUUUUUUCUCUUUUUUUCCCACCCCCGAAACCCUUUUUCAUUCCCUUCUUUUUUGCCUUUGGUUUCUUGCCCGCAGCUUUCUUUUUUCCUUGCUUGUUCCAGAUUUUUCCUCAUCUUCCUACACCUGUCUUGCCACCUAGCCUCUUGCAUGUGUUGUGCAAAAUAUCAAAACCACAUGGUUAAUGCUCACUUAUCUCAUUUAGCUACUAUGCAUGCCUUCCACCUAUCUUGUUUUUCCAUUUUUUAUUUUUUUGUUUUUCAAAACAAAUUUAGGGUAAACAAAAUGUUAAUUCUUAAUUGAGAUUGCCUUGCAAAAAUUUCAUUUUAUUUGGAAGAAAUUGAAUUUGAAAAGAUUAAAAAUAAUUUUUUGUGAGAAUUUUCCUUUUUUCAGAAAUUUAAUGCAAAAAAACGUUUGUUUUGUUGAUUAUUUUUUAAAAGAAGAUGAACCUAAUUCAAUUAAAAUAGCUAACUAUCAUUUUGCGAACUAAAAAUAAAAUAAAAUUAAAUUAAAAUGGAAUUAAAUAGAACUGAAAUUUUGGUAUCUAUAGUGUUUUGCUUGGAUGUUUGUUUGAGGAACUUCACUGGGCAAUAGCUCACCCCCUUAGAUUUGUUUUCCUUGCAGGAGUGAAGGUUCGAAGCGGAUAAAUUUGAACUAGUAUGUACUAAUCCUCUUGCACAUGUGCUUUUAGUUUGUAAUUAAGUUUGAAUUUUUAUUGUAUUGUAGCAGUCAAAUAUUAUUUUGGAGGUUUGAACGGUUAUUUUGAUAAUUUUAUUGUAUUGAAUAUAGUGAGUCUUGGUGAGAGUUGGACUAGCGGUCCGCCAAAUUCUUGAGUACGCCUUAUGGGGAAGUAGGGUCGUCACACACAUAAACACAUAAAACCUAUAUAUUAUAAUGGAGUAUCUAACUACAAUCUAAAAUGGAAAAAUAUAAUAAAAUAAAUCUAUCUAUCCUAACUACAAUAUAAAAUGGGGAAAUGUAACAGAAUAAAUCUAUCUAUCUUAUCUAUUACAUUGGUCUAUCUAAUUACAAUUUUUGUAAAAAUAAAAAAAAUAUUACCUAUCUAUUACAUCUUGAGAUAUUUAAAUACCCUCCAAAUCAUUACAAAAUUUAAACUAACACCCAUAAAAGUUGAAUAGAAAUUUAAAUAAAUAAAUAAAAGAAAACAUAUAGAAAAAUUUGCCAAAUUGGUCCAUAACAUUUUAAAAAAAAACUUUUUUAGUCCCUAACAUUUAAAAUCAUCUAGAAUAGUCCCUAACAUUUAAAAUCAUCUAGAAUAGUCCUUAACAGAUAAAUUAUGAGCCAGUUUGGUGCUAAUGCUCGUAUUUACUCAUUUCUCCGACUAAAAGUAGCACGUCUCUCUCAUGUGGGCAUAAUUUUAAGGGCAAAACUGGAAAGCGUAUGUACAUGGAUAAAAAAGAAAAUAGACCUGUAUAUACUAAAAUCUAGGGUUAGGGUUCUAAAAUCGUUUCCUAUGGAAGACGAUGGAGAAACAUUUUCGUCCAAUAUAAAUAAACCCUCGCCUGAGCAAGCUAGUGAAAAGCAGAUAAUCGAAGAGAAAAAAUUGAUUUGUGAAGCAGAAAUUAAUGACGCUGAACAAUGUGAAUUUGUUCCUAAUUCAGAUAGCUCAAAUGUGCCAUUUAAAGAGAGCAAACUGUUGGCGCUAGCUAUCGAAUUGCUGAGCCAGGUGGUGGCAUAGGAGGUGGAGGCCUCCUUAGAAGGUAGACUCGAAGGGGCGGAGGUCAUGUAUAGAGUGGUGGCGGUGGAUGUUGAUGUGGAAGCCAAAGUGGAGGCCGAGGUGGUUGGUGGUGGAGAGAGAUUGGAAGCAGAGGAAGUUCUAGUGGCGGGGCUAAACGUGGAGGUUUUGGAGGAAAAGAUUGGUGGAGAGAACUCUAAUAUUCAUAGCGGCGAGAAAUCGGUGAUGGAUACGGAAGCCCACUUGCAGGUGCUGAUGGAGAAAACUCCUGUCUGGGACACUGCACUGAAUUGGAGAAGGUGGUGGGCGGGGAAAAUGUUUCUGCUAUCAUUAAUCAUAUGCUUUUCGAUUUUGCAGUGGUUGCGGCUGAGAAGGUCGAAGGAAUGAUUGAGCCAAUGGGCUUUCCAGAGAAUAGCGUUGCACUUAUGCAUCUGACCUCUCCAAAACAAACUUAAUGUUAAGUGUGAGAAUUGUUGUUGUAAUUGAAGGGGAAAGGUGAAAAAGGGUGGUGGUCUCGUGCACUUUUGCUUUUAGAGGAAAAUGAAGUGUACUUUCCAGUUUUGUCAUUAAAAUUAUGCCCACAUGAGAGGGACAUGCUACUUUUAGUCGGAGAAAUGAGCAAAUACGAGCAUCAGGACCAAACAGGCUCAUCAUUUAUAUGUUAGGGACUAUUCUGGAUGAUUUUAAAUGUUAGGGACUAAAAAAAAUUUUUUGAAAAAAAUGUUAGGGACCAAUUUGGCAAAUUUUCCAAACAUAUAAAUACAUGUAAGCACAUAGGCAUACAUAAGAUCACGUAAUUAGAAGUUAAAGGAUAGUAGGGGCACCUCCCUUUCGAAGUAAUGACUAAAUGAGGUAAGAUUGCCCUAUGUAUGAUCAAAAUUGACAAAAGGAUCACAACACCAAUUUUAUUGAAAAUAUAAAAAAAAACUAGAUUCUCAUUAUUAUAUUAAAAAAUGUAAACAAACUCAAAAUACUCAAAAUUUACAAUUUAAAUGCUUGCAAUAGAAGCACAAUUAACAAUCAAAAGGAGCGAACAAUUAUAAUUGAGAAAUAAAAAAAAUAUUGGGACUAAAUUGUAAAAAUUAGAAAGUUUUUGAGGUUAAAAUGAAAUUUUCAAAAGAUUAGGGGUCCAAAUUAAAUCAAAAUAAAGUUUAGGGGACAAAGUAUAAUUAAAUUGAGGACCUAAAUGAAAGAAAUUAAAAUUUUUGAGCUAUAAUAAAAUUACUUAAAAGAUCAGGGACCAAAUUGCAAAAACUCUUUUCUGAUUUGGGCAAAAUAUGAAGAAACAAAACUGGAGCACCAGUUUUUUAAGUAUUUGAGCUGGGUUAUUCCAGCUCAAAAGAAAAAUGCAGGCUAUUCCAUAAAAAAUAACAAACCCAAUUGAGAUUUACACAAAACUUAAAUAUAAUGGAAACAUUGGAGUUAACUCCAAAACCCAGUCACAAGCCCAACAAAUAAUAAAAUGCAAGUCCAAAAUAAAAAGCUCAUCUUCUUUUCUUUCUCUUGUUUUUUAAUCUUCUUCCUCCCUUUUCUUCUUCCUUACCACCGUCGGCGACUUCUUUGGUCAUAAAAUUUCACCAAAAUACAUUUCUCCACUCGAUUUUUUGCAUAGUCUAUUUCCGACCUUGAUUUUCAACAUAACAUACAAUGCACCAAAGAGGGUUACUGUUCACUUUUUGUCGUCAUCACAUGUUGCUCAUGUGACUUAUCUAAAUUGGUUCGUCUCGGUGCUCCAGCGUCAUCGUCAUGUGCUAUAAGCAUGUCUUCAGUAUUUUUUUUUUUGGCGUGAUGCGCGGGCUAUCGGCUUAGGGUUAGCUAUACAAAACACAUUUCUCUCCUGGCUUUCCUUUCCAAAACCUCGCUGCCGCCACUUCUUCUCUCCUACCUUUCCUUUCCAAGAUUAUAAUGCCAAAAUUUCCAGUACGCUUAAAGUCUCCUCGCUCUUUGCUUAUUUUCUUGUAAGUUUGCAGCUUCUUUACUCUUAGUUUCAACGCCAAAGAAGGAGAAAAUAAAAAAUUAGAUUAAAAGAAGGAGAUAGAGAUCUGAGAAGCUGGGGCUAGAAUCCUCCGAAGUGUGUGGCCAACAUUAUUUCGAGCUCAAGGUUUGUGACUUUGCUUUAGGGCUUUUCUUUAAUUUUCCUAGAUUUAUAACAUAUUUUUGGGACUUUGGUUUAGGGCUUUUCUUUGUUUUUCCCAAAUUUGUUCUCCUUUGCUGUCCUUGAUCCUCCGUUAAAAUCAGAUUAUUUUUUUAUAUUGUUGUUCCUUAUUUAUCUUACCCUUUUCAAAUUGAGUGACUUUUCUUUGAUGUGGUUGUUCUUCAUCUUAAAAAAAAAUCUACAACAUCUCCCUUUGUCCCCUCUGUUUAUUUUCCUAUAUGCGUAUCUUCUUUUUUCUUUUUAGAAUGCAUAGAAGCCCUUUGAAUUGGGAUGUGCGAAAGUAUUAAUGCAUUACUAAAGGACCUUUCAAAGAUUUAUUUCUAUGCAAGAAACUGAACAAUAUGAGGCAAAAAGAAAAUUUCCAAUAUAAAGUGCUUAAUUUCUAUGAUUUAUUUAUUUUUUCCUAUACUAUCUUUUUUUUAAUUUUCUUUUUGGUCAAUGACAUUUUUGGGUUUGGUGGAAGCAUUUGAAUAUGAUGGCGAGGCUUCUCCGAAAUGCUUCUUCUCUGAGAUGCGCUCUGUUUCUGCAACCUCUCUCUCAGGUAAUUUCCCUACCAAACCAGAAAUACAAGAAAGGUCACGUCAAAUAGGGAAGAUUUUGUUCUUAUUUUCUUUGUAUUUUUGGAGAACAAUUUGGUUAGGAUUAAUGAUAGGUAAUGGCCCGUUGUAGAAAUUUGAAGCUUUUUUUUUUAAAUUUCCAGCCUUUUCUCAAAUAUGUUUUCCACAGCUUUGUUGAGUUUCAAUGUUUUUACACUACCUACCUAUGUCUUGUUUGUACUAUUUUUUUGAAGUUAUAGGUGUAAUAUAGUGCUCAUACUUGUUAUUAGCAGUUGGAAGUUGCGAAUAAAUGAUUAUACUAUAAUUUCCUAUCAAUUAGGAAAGUCAAAUGCUUCACUUUGCUAGCUUGCAGAAGUUGGUCCUUUUUUUUUUAAAUUAUUGAACUUGCAUACUGUAUAAAGAAAAAGUCUUUUGUUUGAUUCGUUUUCUGACAUCGUUUUUCAAUUAGUACUGCUUUUCUUUUUUUAUUUUGUUUCCCACUUUCUUCAUGAGUCAUGACAUGAAUUUGUUGUUUGUUGAUGCAGACUUAUAGGAAAGGCUUGUUAGGGGCAUCCACUCAGCUCUCCUACUUUUCCUCCAAAAGGUGCCCCCCGAAGUUUAUUUUCCUGCUGAACUGGCCUGCAUUUGGUCUUCAUACCUUCUUUUUUUGGUGAUCAUUUUGAUGGGUUUCAAAAAUAGAUAAAGUAAAAACUUUUGCGUAUGAAGUCUAUCUUUUUAGGCUUUAACCCCUUGCUAGGACCAGUUAAGACUAAUACAUAUAUUUGCUUAGUGUUUGAAUGCUUCAGACAUCAUGUUUAUUUAACGUGACAGUUGCAUGUUUUUAUCCAUAUUUUGGAGUUUUCUGUUCACUAAAAAAUUAUAAAGCACCCAAGUAUGCAAGUUUAUUGCCAUAUUUUGGCCUUGUACCUCCCUCUUGGAGUAUUUUAACAUUGAGUGUAUCAUCCUUAAUGUAACAAUCACUCGACCCUUUUUCCCCCAUGUGAUUCUUUGAAUUAGAUGAGUUCCUUUAAGAAUAGCUCUUUUGCUGAAAUUUGUUGAGUUUGAUAUGUUUUACAUUUGGCUGGGAUUGUGUUAUUCCUGCUUAAGAGUACUUACUUUUUGCUCUUUCUGCAGUAAAUAUCAAUUUUUUUUUGGCUUCAUUAGUUCAUUAUGAACAUAAGUCAUUUUUCUAUGAAAGGUAGAAGAAAAUCCAAGUCAGAUGUCAAAGAAAGAUUUGGCACUCAAGCAGGCAAUGUACCAGAUCACUGCAUCAUUUGGAAAAAGGUUCUAUCAUGUGGCUUGGCUGCUCUGCCCCUGUCAAACAAGUUCCAGUUGUGUCUACAGGUUUAUUUGCUAUGGAUAUUGCACUUGGGAUUGGAGGACUUUCAAAGGUUGGACAUCUUAUGUGUUUCUUAUGCUACAAUGCUAGAUAUUGAUUUUGAAAUAUUGUUUCAAGUUCAAUAAACAUCUGUAAAUUUCUAAACAAUCAUAUUGACAUUGUUUUAGAGUGCAAAUAUGUGACGCCCCGAAAAAAAUGAGUUUGAGAACCCGGAAAUUUUCUAAUUUUCUAGGGUUUAUUUUUUUAACGCCCGCCUUUUCUACAUUUUCUUGAUUAGAAAAAUUCCCCAAAUAAAGUUUAUGAGCAAAAAUAGUUUUAAAAUGAUUUUUUCUAGUAUCGGUUAGUUUUUGAGAAAUUAAGAGCGUAUUUUGGACGUGGGACCCGCUAGUGCGGUAAAUGCAUUAUAUUUUUGACAACUUGUAGGAAUUUUGUAUUAAGUGAUAUUAUUUUACAAAGUGUUAAGAUAUUUGUAUUGGAGAGACAAAAAGAUAAGUUUUACACCUAAAGGUGACAAGUGUCACUAUCCUAUUCACUUUUGGACUUUUGACCAUCUUACCUUAACUUUACUAAAACCAAAAUUUGACCAAAAAUCAAGCCAUUUCUUCCUUCUCAUGGCUGAAACUUGGAGAGCAAGAGAGAGAGAAAAACCUUCAUCUUUCACUCCAAUUUCUUAUUUCAAUCUUGAGUUUUAACCGAUGGAAUUGCAAAUCACUCCAUAAAAGUUGGUUACUAAGGAGAUUCCAAGGUCUUGGUGGAGUUAUUUUGGAGAAGGAACCACUAAGCUACUAUCUUUUGUGAGGUAUCAAGGUAUGGUGUGUAAAGAUUCAUUGUUUGUUUCCAAUAAUGGUGAAUUAGUAACUUGUGAUGGCUAAAGAGAUGGUUUUAUGGAUUAUAUCUUGAUUUUGGUUGAAUUGGUGAAAUUUUAUAAUUAUUGUGGAUUUUUCUGUUUUAAUAUGAACAUGGUUGUGUGGUUAUAUAUGAUGAUUGAAAAUGAUGUUUAAUGACUCUAGGAGGUGGAAAAAGUGAUUAAUUGCAACCAAUUUCUGUUUUGGACCAAAAAUUGAAAAGUGAGGGUUUUGUGAUGAACAUUCUGUCCGAAUUUUUAGGUCCUAGAUAGAGGCCGAAUUGGCCUUUUCUUAAAACAUUAAAGUUGUAGGGAAUGACAUUUUAGAGGUGCCUACAAAAUUUCAGGUCAAUCGGAGUAGCGUAGUGUGAGAAAAGUCGAAAUUAGUAUUGCUGUUCUGGUUUACCCGAAAUUGGGAUUUGCGACUGUAAUUGGUUGUUUUGGCCGGAAUUGCUUCCGAAUUGGAUGUUGAGGCCUUAUGAUGAAAUUUAUCCCUGUUUCUUAGCUUUCAGCUGGUUUUGGAAUUUCUGGAUUUGGACUUGGAGAGCCUGAGUUAUGAUGUUUCCGCUAGAAUGCAUUCUGUGAAGCUGUUUUUGUGAUUCUGGUGUAGUUUCUUGUGUUUUUGACCUGGUUAUGCUCGAAACUGGGUUGAGUGACCUUCUGUAAUAUUGUAGCCCUAUCUCUUAGCUUCAAAACGGUGGGUCUUGUACCUUCAUCCGACAAUCAUAGUGCCUUUGGUACUAUUACCGCAAAAUAACGUCAAAACCUGUUUUUCUGGUUUUGAGCUUAACAUUCAUUUCCAGACUUUUUCCUAACUUGACUUGUCUUUGUACUACUUGGAGCUUGCUGAAUGGCUAUUGGAUGAACUUGUUGUUGUGUGUGUACCUUUGGGACUGGCUGAGGAAAUAAUGAAGCCAUGAUGGCUGGAAAAGUUAGCAAAUUCAGGGGAAGUGCUGUCCGAACUUUGAAGGGACUUGUUUGCAUUGAGUUUGUGAUCUAAGACUUGGAUUUGAGCAAGGCAAUGUUAUAUGAUGGAUGAUUUCUGAGCCGUGGAGGUGAGUGACCUCAAACUAUUUCUGAAGUUAUUUAUGAACCGUUUCCUGCAUUAUUUACUUUUGGAGCUGUUUCCAAAGUUACUUUUGUACCGUUUUCUUGCAUUAUUUACCUUUAAACUGUUUCCAAAGUUACUUUUGAACUGUUUUCUUGCAUAUCAUGCGUGCUUGCAUGUGAGUGUUCCUUAUGUGCUAUAUUUUCUUGAUUUCAUGACUUGUAUUAUUGAUUGAUAACGUGUUAAGUGCUUUGAAUGAUUUCCAAAACGAGCUUUCUAGGCGAGUGUGUACUUCAUCGCACUCGACCUAAAUAACUGUGCAAUUUUCAAGGAUUUAAUGAUUAAAUGCUAGUUGCGCAUGAAUGUAAGCCGUUUGGCUGAAUUGGGCACUGCCCUUCGUUACCGAUCGACUCGAGCUAGAAGCGGACUCGGUCGGGCGAUAUGGUGACCCUGGGUGAAUUUGGUAUACUCGAGUAUUACCUUGUAGUCCGGCUACGUCCGGAUGGGUGGAGACCGGCCAACGUCCGGAAAAAAAAAAGAUGAACGAAUAAAAAGAUGAACGAGGGAUUAUUUAAAAAAAAAUGAACGUAUCCUUUUCAUGAAUGUUACUAUCGCUUUCCAUUGUACAUGUUUCUUGAAUUAUUGAUACUCCAUAUUUAAUGUUUUGUAAAUGUUGUAAUCGUUUCUGGACUUAUCAUUUGAUUUAUGACAUCAUUGAUUUAUGACAUCAUUGAAAAGAAAUAUUGUUAAACCGAUUUGAUUACUGAUUUUCUGGUUACUCGCUGAGCUUCUAGCUCACCCCAAAAAUAUUUUAUUCCCCUCCACAGGGCUCGUGGCGAAGGAAGGACUUGUAGUACUUGUUCACGUGACUGGAUGGCAUAUAUUUUGUACAGUUUAGAUUUGGAAUUCCUCCUGUAUUAUAGCUGGUAUCAAGGAUCAGAGUGGCGCAGCGGAAGCGUGGACGCUUCGCUUAUGAUUUGUAAAUUUGUGGAACAUCUGAUGUAUAUUUGAGAUUUACAUUAUAAUUUGCUUGAGAACUGUAGUGAGUGACUGAGUCCCAGCGAGAGUUGGGCAGGCGACCCGCCGAACCCUGGGGUACGCCCUAGGGAGAGGUGGGGCCGUCACAAAAUAUACCACUGAAAGGACUUUUCUCUAACUAAUUGGGACUUCAACUAAGAACUGCUAUAAUUAUUCUUGAUUUGAAUAUUUCCAUUCUGAUUAAUCAGCAUUUGCAAUUUCCAGAUUGUAUAUCAAAAGAAAAGCUUCAUCUUGUUCUUGAAAACCUUCACUGAAAUGGAAGCUUUUAAAUUACUUUAUAUUACUAUUGGUUUCUGUUAGCCUUAUUACUUUGUAUCACUAUUUUAUCUGUUUGAUGUAAUUGGAGUAGUGCAUUUUGGCGUCAAGCAAUAUUAGUAGUUCCAUGUUUAUAGGAGAUGUUACCAUCCCCAAGCAAUUCAUUCAGACUGGCUUAUGGGAUUGGCUCAAAACUUCCAUUUCUUGCUUUUAACAUGAAUACAUGAAACUUUGUUAUACUCUAUUUUUGACUUAUUUACAUGAAUCUUUUUUCUGAGUAGAAACUUAAUGCGACAAUCUUGACAGGUGAUUUUACUAAAUUGGAUUUUGUAGACUACAAUGGGCCUUGCAGAGGAUAUAAUCAGUUGGGCAGCAUUGGAUACAGCACUGAGCAGUUCUUUUCAAAGUUAAGAAAGCCUAAUACUGCUUAAAGAAAGCUUUGGUUUCACGUAAGCACGAAUUGGCUUUGAUUAGCAUACAUUCAUCUUGAGGUAUAGUGUAACAGCCCCACUUUCCCCUAAGGCGAACCAAAGGGGCUAGCGGACUGUCUGCUCAGCUCUCGCCAGGACUACGGAUCAGUUCACGUCGAUCUAAUACGUUCCGGAACAUACCCACGCGUGUAAACAAGUCAAAAUCACAAAUAAAAACAAAUAAAAAAAAUGAAAAUCGAAGCCGAUGAUGAACAGUACCGGCCACGUCAGAAUCCAGAUACUAGGCCGAGAGUAGCCAAAAUUUUUCCUUCUCCGUUUGAAAUGCGUAUCGCUCCGAAAUCCAACCAAACAUAUAUAAACAUUAAAAUUCAACAUUUACAAGCCAAAACGGCAUACCAAAAUAUCCAAAAGUUCAUACAUGUGCAACUAGCCACUUACAAGCCAACCAUUGGUUGAAACCAAACACUUAGGGUUUUCACCCUCAAGGAGCUAUUCAAAAUAUACAUUUACAUGAGCUCAACUUGCUAGUACAACCUUUCCAAAAGUGAUCAUUUUCCUGUAAGGAAAACAAAUGGAACGGAAUGAGCUUAAGCCCAGUGAGUUACUACCACAUAAGCAACAAAGAUCACAUAAGCAUAAUCUUUCAUUUCAAGUACACAAUUAAGAAGUAAAACAAGUCGGUAAAAGGAUACGGACGGCUCUCAAGAGCCCAUUUCCACGCUUACAUUCUUGAUCCAAUCUCAUUGACCCUCCGUCAAUAUUUAAGAAUACCCGACCGUAGACCUCACUUCACUCCAUUCCUUCCACCAAACAUACCCCAACCGGGCCCGCACUCCAAUCAGUAACUUUUGGUAAUACUCGAGUAUACCGGAAUCAAGAGUCUCAUUACUACAAGAUUCCCCAGUACAGUCCCCGUGGCAUGACAAUUUUCAUGACCAAGCCCUCGCCGACUCGAUCCAAUUGACUACCAAACGGGGUUGAGCUCAGUGAUACAGUAAAGCCGUUGGACAUUCGUCCAAACGACACCAAAUCAGUUUUCCAUGAAUGGAAUUCAGUAUCUCAUAUAACAAGUGCAGUAUUUCAGUAAAACAGUAAGCAGUCAUGAAUGAAAUCACAAGGGGGUGAGGGCGGUCAAAUACACCCUCACCUCAAUCACUUCCAAUAGCCAAAUAAGCCUUCAAGGCAUCAAUUUCACAUAUAACAAAGCCACAUUGUAACAUUUAAGUGAGUAGUAUACUCACCAAUCACGUAAGUGAUACUUCAUGCAUCGCCGUUAAACGAACGUCGUGCACCAACGUCACUUCCUAGAACAUGCAAACAAAUGCAAUGAGACUCGAUAACGAGUCAUAUAGCCAUACCAAUUAUAACCCUAAUAGGGUUUCAUAUGCAUAAAUAAGCAUCAUAGGUAACCAGAAAUUAAGAAAUGGCAUUAGCUUAGGCCUUAACAAAAAAACAGUUUUCGUCAUACUUUUGCGGUAAUGGCACAAAGUCCACUACGAUUAUCGGAUGGGGGUGUAAGACCCACCGUUUCGAAGCUACGAAACAGGGCUACAACAAUGUAGAAGGCCACUCAAUCCAAAUCCUAGCACAACUAGGUCAAAUAGGCCAAAUACUACACCAGAACCACCAAAAACAGGUUUACAAAUCACACAAUGCUGUAAUCAGUACAACUCAGUCUAUACAAGUCCAAAUGCAUUGAUUCCAAGGGCAUAUGAUAGCUAAGACAUUCAGCUACAUUGCAUCAGAAGACACCAACAACAAAAUCCAAACCAAUUCCAGUCAAAAUGGCCAAUUACUAGUGCAGUUUUCGCAUUCUGAUCAACCCAGAACAGCAACAGUAACAUCGAUAUAUCUCACUCUACACUAAUCCAAAUGACCUGAAAUUUUGUAGACACUUCAAACUCAUCAAUACCUACAACUUUCAUGUUUUGAGCAAAGUCCAAUUCGGCCUCUAAACCUAUGAUCCAAAACCGGACAGAAUUAGGGGUUUAUGAACCCUAACUUUUCAUUUUUCAAUCCAAACCCAAAAUUGGUUGCAAUUAUCACUAAUUCACACCUACUAGAGUCAUUCCCCCUCAUCAUCAACCAUCAUAGAUGACCACAACAUCACAUUCAUAUUAAACCAGAAAAUUCACCAAUAAAAUAAAAACUUCACUAAAUCACUUCAAAUCAAGAAAUAAACCACAAAAGGCUUCACUAUCACUACCAUUAGGCACAAUUUAAGCAUCAUUAGGUGUAGUAGGAUGUUCAACCAUCACUUACCUAGGAAACAAGAGAAGAGGAGUUGUAGACCACCUCAGCUCUUCCAAAAACUUCACCAAACUCACCACUAACACAAAAAGGCAAGAUUGUAUGGAGUAGAAACUAAUUUAUGUGAUUGAUUUUGGAAGAUUGAGCUAGUUGGAAGCUUGAAAUGUUGAAGAGUUUUCUUCCUUCUUGCAAGAGAGAGGGCCGGCCAUCAAGGAGGAGAAAUGGUGAAUUUUUAGUGAUUUUUGAAGAUAUUUAAUUCAAAUGGGUCAAAAGUCAAAAAAAGUGAAUAGUAACUCUUAAGUCAAAACCAAUGUAGUGGUGACACUUGUCACCUUCAGAAAUGCAAUCUUAUCUUUCUUUUUCCUCUCACAUCAAUCAAAUCUCACUAUCUACUUAUCUCUUAACACCCGAUAAAUUUUACACAGUAUCCGGAAUUUAACCUAAUUGGCCGAAUUUUUCCGAACUUUUCGCACUAGUGGGUCCCACGUCCGUUAUUUAUCCUUAAUUUUUCAAAAACUCUCCAAUACUAGAAAAAUUAUCUAAAAACUAUAAUUGCUCAUAAAAUUUACCAGGAGAAUUUUCCUAAGCCAGAAAAUGCAAAAAAUGACGCCUUUAAAUGGGAAAACCCUAAGAAAAUUAUUAGGGAAAAUACGGGUUCUCACAUAUAGGUCUUGAUACAGUUCAUUCUCUUCUGUGUUUUUCUUUUUCUUUCUCAAUUGAAGAUUAGAAGUAUAGGACUUUUUUAUGAUCAAUUGCAUUUGUUCUGUGUUUCCGAAGUCUGAAAAACAUUAGCAAUUAUUAAGUGUCAAAUUUUAAGCUUCGAUUAUUAUAGCAUAGAAAAUUUCCCUAUAAAAGCUUUCUAUACAAACCUUGGUUUUGCUUUUAUAAGUUGAUAAGCAACCCUAGGGGAAGACCCUCCUAGACCCUCCCAACCUUGUAAUUAUCAGAGUUGGAUCGUUUCUCCCAAUGAAAAUUGAACUCGAUUCUUCUCAUGAACUCAAGACCUCUGACACACAAAGGCAUUCAGCAACCUUAAGCAAAUAAUGAUGGAUGAAGAGACACCACGAUUAGGGAACAAGCUAAUCGAUAAAGUCAGAUUUGAAUCCUAAGCAAUGAACUCAAGAAUUCAAGAGUAAGUUCGAUUAAGAACUUGAAGGAAAAUUCCUCACGAUUUCUGGUUGUAAUAAUCAGUCUUUCACUCAUACAAUAGGUGCCUUUUAUAGGCUAAAACUAGGGCAAAUCCGGCCCAAAUAAACCUGGAAUAGGAAUUCGGUUCGCAUAAAGAGCCAGCUCUUUAAGGCUUCCCGAUAAGGCCCAAUAAGUAAUAAAAUACUCAACGACUAACAACUACUAAACUAGGCAGUCUUAAGAUGUAAGUCCCAAAGACAACCAAGAGGGGGGGUGAAUUGGGUUGAUUAAAAUCUUAACCAAAUUUAUGCACUUUUUCUUUAAUAAAAAUUUACCUUCUUUUCUAGUAAUGAUCAACUAAGUAGAUUAGAAGACAAUAGCAAUAUUGAUCAGAAAAACAAGUAUAGAUAAUCAAUGAGAAUUUUAUUAAACAAAAAGUAAAAUAGGAAAUCAAACCAAUUGUCUACCAAGCUUUCCUCAAACCUGAAGACCAAUCACAAGGUUGAGCAACUUCUCUUUGAUGAAAGAUGAUCAACUAGAUGUACAAUGGAGGGAGCACUUCCUCCUUGCCCUAAGCCUCACUUAGUCAAGCUAAGAAGUUUUACAAACACUCAGAUAACCCUCAACAAAGCUACACUAAAGAAACUUUCAACCACAAGAGAAAAGCUAACCAGAAAUUCACACCACUUAGAGAACAAAUCUCACUUUGGAGACUAUUUUCUAGCUAAAAUAUCUCUUGAGAUCUUGUAAACAAAGUGUGCAAAAGUUCCUACUUCGUUCAGACCAGUUUGAUUUUAAAGGGAACCAGAAAUGAGCUUCAUCAAUGCUUCCAACGGAUAGAAAGCAGCUGAAGAGUCAACUAGCCGUUGGGGCUGUCGGACGUCCGACGAUCAAAUCAUCGUCCGAACCAAUCGUCCGAUGACAGCCAAGUUGAAGUUCGGACGUCCGAUGCGUUUGUUUCGUCCGACAGCACAGCGUCCGAUCGUAGGCAGAGAGUUGGCAAGUCAUCUUGGAAUUUUUCGGACGUCCGAUGCGGUUGAUGUGCGUCCGAUGGCAAGCGUCCGAUCCUUCCGGACGUCCGAUGCUUCCUUACGAGCGUCCGACAGAGAUUCCUUCUUGAUGUUCUUUAUCCUUUCGGACGUCCGACAGAUUCCUUUCGGCCGUCCGACAUGAUUGUCCUGUUUUUGCUUUUUCUUUUGGUUGUUUUGCAUUUCAUGACAUAUUCGUACCUGAUUCUUUGAUAGGUAAAAACACUUAUAUUUGGAGAAGGUUAGAUAAACAUUUCAAAGUACCGAGAAUAACAAAAUUGACAUACUUAAAAGACAGUAUCUUUGAUCGGAACAAAACAAUGACUAAAUUUGUUUAUAUUAUUCCAAUCUUGUUUGCCACAUCCAAAGCAUCGUAGUGAACAAAUGCUUUCUUUGUUCCAUCAGGCCUGAUCAAAGUGUUCACUUUCUUGGUCUGUAUAAACAUUUCAAAGAACUUUUGUGAUCAUCAAAACCAAGAAUAACAUAAGACAACUACCAACUAAGCUAACAAGUAUGAGAUCAUUCUUUCACUUCAAACGUACAAGUGAACAAGGUAACUUCAUGGUCCAUCAAAUCUUCAAACUUAGCUUGCUCCUUGCUUGUAUGGUGAAUGAUCAAGGCUUGUAAAGCUUCCUUCACCUUCUUGGAUCUUAAUCUUGUCAUUGGACCACCAAUGUUAACCAAAGGAUUCUUGACCCAAGAUUGAAGUUGCUGCACACCCGUAUUCGCAUCAUAAGUUUAGAAAUAUUCCUUCAUGAUUUUAUAGUUUCUUAAUACUUAUUAUCAUAUGCUAAACGAAGAAUUGAGCUAUCAAACCUUAAAUUUAAAAAUUUUCAGUCACAAAAGAUUUUAAAUUUUAGAUCUAGAAAACACAUUCUUAGAUGAGGAUAUCUCAAGCUUCUUCGGGGAUAAAAUCAACUAUGCAAUAUGGCUUACAUGUCAAUGCCUCUGACUUUUGGAAUGGAGUAUUGUUUUAACAUAAUAAAAAGAGUCCUCCCUAUGAUGAAUAAGUUUCCACUUUGUUUUUGCAUUUUAGGAUCAUUCCAUUGACUUUGUGUUAUGCCCCUUCCAUGGUCCCCCUAUAAAAAAAAUAAUAAUAUAGUUGCUAUUUCAAUGUUUCACUUUACGACAACAGAAUGAGUCUAAUAUUGGGAUAUUUUGGAGUUAGAACUUGUCGAAUUUAUUUUUUGGAUUAGGAUCAUUUGUUGCCAGUUAACUUAUUUCCAAUUCCUUCCUUUGGGUGAUAUACAUGGAUGACCAUAUUGCAAUAGAUUGCAUACUGAAUUCCUUUAACUUCAAUUUUUUGGAAAUAGUAGAAUAUCCAAUUUAUCUACUUUUGGUGAAAUUAUGAGUUACCAUGCAAGUUGCUCUAACUUUACAACUUAUAAGAUGCUUUAGAUCACUUUUCUUUGAUACUUAAUAAUAGACAAAAUAUUUAUCAUGCUCCUCUUUUGAGGGAAAAAUGUGGGUUAAGAUUUUGUAUGAAUAUUACAAGUUUUAAAGUUGUCGAGUUUAUCUUGUUUGCUUUGGGAUCAAUCAAUGUCUCCUGACCCAUUUCCAGUUUCCAUGUAUUGGUGCCGAGGUCUAUAGCUAACUGCAAUGGAAUAUAUACUAAGAUUUUAUCGUUAUAACUUCAUGAUUUGGUUGUUGCAGGAGAACUUAGCAAAUCUUGCCAUGGGCGGCAGCAGAAACAAAAUUGCUUUUGGAUAGGGGAAAGAUGCAUUGUGUGUGGGUGGCAGCAGAAACAUCAGUUCAUUUGUGAAAUCAAGGUCUUAUAACAUCUAAUAAGCAAUUGAUAGGUAAUUGACCCCAAAAUUUUCGAAACAAAACGUCCCAAACCAAACAUAACCAUUCGGCUAGUAAAAAGAGAAGGAUUUCUAGAUUUCCAGCUUUGUCACAGUUUGGAAAUUGAACCAUAUCUCACUCAAUACAACUUGAAAUUGAGAAUGGUUGGUGGAGUUGAAAACUAGAUUCAAAAGCUACACUUCAUCAGAGCAAGUCAUUUUCAAAAUCAGUUCACAAGUGAGAGAAAAUAGAGCCACAAGAUGCAGCUUCUACCUUUCUCUCAAACAAACCAUCAGAAUAGGAUAGUAAAUUUUGCGGAACCACUACGGCUCACUCAGUUCGAACUAGAGGGUGAUUUUUAUACCGUUAGAAAGCUACAAAUGUCUAGUUUCAAAUGCCAUAAAUGGCACUCGAUUUUGACCUUUGUACAGAGAGAUAUGUUCGAUCAAAGCACACUGUUUGGAUAGCCAGAACACGUUUUCCAGAUUUCUUCCAAUUCUGAAAUUUCAAGUUUUGCUUAACCAAAUCAAAUAAUUUUUGGUAGACAAUUUCUAUACACAAUAUACAACAUUUAUCAACCAAUUUAACAGUAAAACAAGUACCAAAAAUUCAAAAUAAUCAAUGAGCAACAAGGACAAAUUUUCGGCUAGUUUCAUGCACCAACUUCCUUCGAUUUUUCCUUCACUUUCUAACCAUGUUCACCUCAAAUAACAUAUAAAUAACCACAAUCAACUAAUUGCACCUCAAACUAACUACCUAUAGGCCACCACAAGACCGCUAGCCUAACAUUUAAAGCAAGAAAAAAAAUUUCCUCAAGUCCUCUACCUAGUUCAAGCUUUGGGCUACCAAACCCAUGAAAUCUAAGUUUAAUUCUUGAAGAAAAAUGGAAUGAUUGCAAGAGUUGUUAGUUACCUUCUUAGUUCUUGAAGAGACCAGAAAUUUCACCACAAAAACUCCAAGAAAUUUCCACUAAAUGAUGUCCUCUUCCAAGCUCAAGCUAAUCUCCAAGUGGUUUUGAAGUGGGUUGCAAAGUUAGAAGUGAAAUGGAGCAAGAAUGAACAAGAUGGGGUGGAGCUUUCUUUCCUUUGUAAGGCCCGAAGACAAUCUAAGUGGGGGGUGAAUUAGGUUGAUUAUAAAAUAAUCAAGUUAUGGGCACUUUUUGCUCAAUAUGAAAUUUAUCCUCUUUUCUAAGUGAUCACGCAAUGAAUCAAUCAAUGAAUCAAUAAUAUCACUUAAGAGAAGUAAAAGAUAUAAGAAAUUUAAAGAUCACAAAAUAACAAUAAAUAAAUAAGAAGGGAAGAAUUGCAAACCAAUUGACUAUCAAGCUCCUCUUGAACUUGUAGAUCAAUUCAAACAAGUUUCUUCAAAUUGAUAAAUACAACUAAUCUUGUGUACAAAGGAAGGUUCACUUCCUCCUUGCCCCAAUCUCCACUUGGUCAAGCUAGGAAGUUUUACUAUCCCUUAGGACAACCCUCAUAGAACUACACUAUUGAAAUAUUCACUCACAAAUGAAAAGCUUACAAUGAACUUCACACCACCAAAACUACAAAUCUUCCUUAGAGAGUGUUUUCUCACUAAAACUACUCUAUAUCUUUUGUAUCUUUAGUGUGCAAAAGUUGUUUGAAAUUUCUGACCAUACUUUAUUUAAAGGAGACCAAGAAAGUGCUUCAUUAAUGCUUCCAACGGAUAGAAAGUAGCUAAAGAGUCAACUAGCCGUUGGGAGUAUCGGACGUCCGGUACAUCCGAAACAUGCGUCCAAUAGCAGGAUGAAUUUGAAAAAUCUUUUUCAAUUCUAUUGGAUGUCUGGUGUUUGCGUCCGAAAGCAAACAAUGAGUUAGAAGGAAUAUCUCAAUUCUAUAGGACGUCCGGUAUUGUUUUUGUGAGCGUCCGACAGCUUUCGUUGAGUUUGAAGGAUCCUAUCGGACAUCCGAUACUUGCAUUCGAUCGAGGUCAGUGAGUUAGGGGGAAUGUCUUAAUUCCUUCGGACAUCUGGUGAUGGAAUUCUUCAUGCGUCCGAAGUUGCGCAAUGAUUAUCGGACGUCUGAUCCUGUUUUCACAAGCGUCCGACAGUUUUCAGCAACCUUUGUUUCUUUCAAUUGCACUUGAUCUUUGAAUCUGAUUUGCUUCAUAACUGAAAGUAUAUCUUGAAGAGAUAUUAGUAUCAUCCAUUUGUUUUGUAAACAUCAAAAGCUAGGGACUACGAUCAACAUCCUUUAUUUUUCUUGAGGUUCGCUGAGACUAUGGAGAAGAGAGAGAGAGGGUUUUGUUUUGUGAAGCUUCCUUUGGAAGCUUAAGGAAUUUUGUGGCAAAAAGGUGUUCAAAAGUCAACUAGGAAUAGUACGCGUAUAAUGUCCCGAACUACCACUUUUCUCUCUUAUUUGUUACACUUGUUCACUAAUCUUCAAAUAUAAUUCCUUUAACACUAUAAUUAUUGUAACGGCCCCACCUCCCCCUAAGGCGAACCAAAGGGUUUGGCGAGUCGCCUGCCCGGCUCUCGCCGGGACUCAGUCGUUCCUUAAUCAAAUCCAGAAUAAAUCACAAGAAUAAAUAGGGCAGCAAUCCAAACUUAAAGCGGAACUUAUAUAUAUUGCUAUCUCAAAAGGAAGUACAGCCAUCAAAUGUACAAAGGUUCUCACUUCACCAUACAACCAGCCCGUGCCAAGCACUAGGGCGAGAACCAUUACAAAAGAAACAAAAUACCUAGACUAGGCUAGUCUAUGCUCUCAUCCUGCUCGCUGUCCCCUGUUAAGGAAAACAAAACUAAAGGGGUGAGCUAAAAGCUCAGUGAGGUUCCGAACAGAUAAUCAACAAUCAAUUCAAUACAUUAAACAUGGAGUAUUAAUAAUUCAAGAAACAUUUACAAUGGAAAGCGAUAGUAACAUUCAUUAAAAGGAUACGGGCUCACAUGGAGCUAUUCGUUUGUUCGGUCGUUCCCCCUGACAUUUCCCCUUAUUCCUCCAAUCAUUUGAAAAUACAUUUUUUGUAAGUAGAAUCCCUCGUUCAUCCUUUUGUUCGUUCAUCCCCUUUUCCGGACGUUGACCGGACUCCACCCAUCCGGACAUUGGCCGGACUCCACCCAUCCGGACGUAGCCGGACUACAAGGUAAUACUCGAGUAUACCAAAUUCACCCAGGGUCACCAUAUCGCCCGACCGAGUCCGCUUCUGGCUCGAGUCGAUCGGUAACGAAGGGCAGGGCCCAAUUCAGCCAAAAGGCUUACAUCAUGCGCAACUAAUGUUUCCAUCAUUAAAUCAUUGAAAAUUUCACGUUUCAUUAAGGUCGAGCACGAUAAAGUACACGCUCGCCUAGAAAACUCGUUUUAGAAAUCCUUGAAAGCACUUAACACAUUAUCAAACAACAACAACAAGUCAUGAAGUCCGGGAGAAUAUAACAAACAAGGAACACUCACCUAGAUAUGCAAAAUAACGUGCAAAAUAUCCUUCCGAAUAUUGCCCUUAGUCACCAAUGAAACCUAAGGUUGAACAAGAGAACAUAUUACAGUUUAUCGAGCAAAACAUUUAAGGGAAACAAAGAAACCCGACUAAUUAGGAGUAAAACGUGUAAAAAUGACUUUCAAGUAAGAAGAGGGUUGUUUGAACCCCAGGAUGAAAAAUCAUGUUUUAAAAUGGAAAACCGGUCAUGGUAUUGGCCAAACAAAAGUAUACAAGUUCAAAUAGAAACCUAGCCCUCGAGCGAAAAUUUGGGCAGCACGCCCUUUGUGUUUACCUAAUUUUCCAGCCAUUUUGGCUUCAUUAUUUUUCCUCAACCACAACCCAACAUCACUCAUAAGCAAUUCAAGUCAAGAGCCGUUCCAUAGGCUCACAAUAUCAUAAGAAUAAGAAUUACCACAAUCACAAGUGCAGAAAUUCAACUUAGCACAAGACAGAUUCGACGUACGAAUGCGGAAAUAACAUAUCCGAAGUUACGCUUAUCGGAUUGAGACAAAACCUAUGCCGUUUCGAAGCUAAGACACAGAGUUACAACAUUCAUGAAGGUCACUUAGUCCAGUUCCUAAUGUAACUUAGUCAAAUUCUCAAAUUACUAAACCAGAAACCAAUUCGUCGGCUGUUUAAACGCAGAACACUGUAAUGGACAUAUCUCAGAGUACACAAGUCCGAAUCAGGUGUUCUUAGAGGCAUUUGAAAGCCAAUUCAGAAUACUACAACUUUCAUGUUUUGGCAAAAAGCUAAAUCAGAAUGGAUCCUAGUCGAAAAACGUGAUAAACUGGACUUAACUGAUCACACGGACUGCUUGGGAAAUACUUAAAACAGUAAGGGUAUUUUGGACUUUUCACGUCUUACGUUGCUCCGAUUGAGCUGAAAUUUUGUAGGAACCUAUAAAAUACCAUUCUAUACAACUUUCCUUCUUUGACCUAAGGCCAAUUCGGCCUCUAACAUAGGGAUUCAAAUUCGGACAGAAUAGGAUGAAAAUUUCCAGAAAUCUGAAAUCUUUUGGUUUCAAUGAUAGUUUUCUUAAUUUCUUGCUACAAUUGCUACCAAAACCCCCUAUAUAACCUUAUAUACAACAUAUACUAACUAUACAACAAGUUUAGGCAGAAAUUAAUCAAACUCUAACUUACAUAUUUCAUCCAAAAAUCACCACAACAACUUGCAUCACUUGUAAUCAAACCCAAAACAUGGACUAUUUAACAUCUUAAACAAGAAUAAAAGGAUCAAAGCCAUAGAUCAGAUUUUAUACCUCAAAAAGAAGGCUUGCAAGAGUGAUCCUCCACUAUUUCUUGAAGUUUUUGGUUCCCUUAGCUUCCCAAGCUUCCAAACUUACAAUCAAUCGGUUUAGAAUUCGAUUUUAGCACUUGGUUGGUGUAAAUCAAGAAAGAAUUUGUUUUCUCUUGCUCUCCCUUUCUCUCUCUCUUGCUUGGCCAAGACCAGAAAAAAUGAAGAAGAAAGAUGGCUGAAGUGAAGGAUAAAAAGGCAAGAAAAAAAAAUUAAUUAAGGAGCCAUGAGGUGGUGACACUUGGCGCCACCAAAGCCAUGCAAAUUUUUCUCUCUCUCCCUUACAUUUUUGGCCACAAAUUUCGGUCAAAGGCAGCUGGAAAUGAAGGAAUAUUUUGCUCAAAUAUCAAUAAGCUCAUGUGGUAAGAAAGUGGUGGUCCAGUGGUGUGUUCAAUCGGUAGUGUGCGGUACACGUCGGUUCACACCGUUUUUCUUUAAAACACCCGUACUAGGGUUUUUACUUCCUAUUCACUAACCUUAUAUCAUUGCUCCUAAUCACAUAUUAUUUCUCACUUAAAAGUCACUUUUAAUCACCAAAUUUGAUCCUCGCUCCGUACCGAAAAAUGAUCCGGCGAAAAUCGUGAAAACCCUAAUUUGCUCCAAUUUUGAAAACGAAGAGUGAAACCCUACUUUCUAGAUUCAUUUGCACUUAUUGGAGAAUGAUUGGGUAGUAGGGCUAUAAUAAAGGAAUAAUUUCUAAAUAAAAAGGCAUUUUUGAGAAAAAUAUAAGAAAUUUGCGAGUCCUCACAAUUAUUCACACUUUGUAGUCUAGUAUAUGUUCCUUAAAUUUCCAUUUAAUCGUUUGACGCGAAGUAUGCGAAUAUUCGAUUCGCGCGCGAUAAGGAGAAAUUUGAAAACGAUUCAUGUAAUGAUAAUGUAAGUCCCAACGACAACCAAGAGGGGGGGUGAAUUGGGUUGAUUAAAAUCUUAACCAAAUUUAUGCACUUUUUCUUUAAUAAAAAUUUACCUUCUUUUCUAGUAAUGAUCAACCAAGUAGAUUAGAAUACAAUAGCAAUAUUGAUCAGAAAAACUAGUAUAGAUAAGCAAUGAGAAUUUUAUUAAACAAAAAGUAAAAUAGGAAAUCAAACCAAUUGUCUACCAAACUUUCCUCAAACUUGAAGACCAAUCACAAGGUUGAGCAACUUCUCUUUGAUGAAAGAUGAUCAACUAGAUGUACAAUGGAGGGAGCACUUCCUCCUUGCCCUAAGCCUCACUUAGUCAAGCUAAGAAGUUUUACAAACACUCAGAUAACCCUCAACAAAGCUACACUAAAGAAACUUUCAACCACAAGAGAAAAGCUAACCAGAAAUUCACACCACUUAGAGAACAAAUCUCACUUAGGAGACUAUUUUCUAGCUAAAAUAUCUCUUGAGACCUUAUAAACAAAGUGUGCAAAAGUUCCUACUUCGUUCAGACCAGUUUGAUUUUAAAGGGAACCAGAAAUGAGCUUCAUCAAUGCUUCCAACGGAUAGAAGCAGCUGAAGAGUCAACUAGCCGUUGGGGCUGUCGGACGUCCGACGAUCAAAUCAUCGUCCGAACCAAUCGUCCGAUGACAGCCAAGUUGAAGUUCGGACGUCCGAUGCGUUUGUUUCGUCCGACAGCACAGCGUCCGAUCGUAGGCAGAGAGUUGGCAAGUCAUCUUGGAAUUUUUCGGACGUCCGAUGCGGUUGAUGUGCGUCCGAUGGCAAGCGUCCGAUCCUUCCGGACGUCCGAUGCUUCCUUACGAGCGUCCGACAGAGCUUCCUUCUUGAUGUUCUUUAUCCUUUCGGACGUCCGACAGAUUCCUUUCGGCCGUCCGACAUGAUUGUCCUGUUUUUGCUUCUUCUUUUGAUUGUUUUGCAUUUCAUGACAUAUUCGUACCUGAUUUUUUGAUAGACAAAAACACUUAUAUUUGGAGAAGGUUAGAUAAACAUUUCAAAGUACCGAGAAUAACAAAAUUGACAUACUUAAAAGACAGUAUCUUUGAUCGGAACAAAACAAUGACUAAAUUUGUUUAUAUUAUUCCAAUCUUGUUUGCCACAUCCAAAGCAUCGUAGUGAACAAAUGCUUUCUUUGUUCCAUCAGGCCUGAUCAAAGUGUUCAUUUUCUUGGUCUGUAUAAACAUUUCAAAGAACUUUUGUGAUCAUCAAAACCAAGAAUAACAUUCUCCCCCUUUUUGAUGAUGACAAAACAAAAGUUUGAAAUGAAAUUUGAUGAUUGCAGUAUAAGCUCCCCCUUUCUCAAGAACUCCCCCUUACUUAGUGGAUCAUAAAAUUUUGAAAAUUUUGAAAAACUCCCCCUCACUUGGCUACCCAACCGAUUUAAACAAUUUUCCAAAAAUAUGACAGCCAAUCCAAAAAUAUCAGCCAAUCCGAAUUUAAACAAUCAAUCCAAAAAUAUGACAAUCAACCGAUUUAAACAAUUUUCCAAAAAUAUGACAGCCAAUCCAAAAAUAUCAGUCAAUCCGAAUUUAAACAAUCAAUCCAACAUAUCCAACAUCACCAAUCAUCAAUCAUCAAUCAAUCCAGUCCUCUCCCCCUUUUUGUCAUCACAAAAGGGCAACCAAUCACAUCCAACACAUCCACAAACACAUUCAUCAAUGCAAACCAAAUUCAUUGCACCAAAAUACUUAAACAUCCAUAAACACAGUCAUCAUUCAAAAUACUUAACAUAAAUAUACAGUACCAACAAGAAAAACAUUACAAAUGUUGAACAUUACAAACACAUAAAAUAGACAAACAGAAUGCAAAUGUCCUAAAUAGUGAACUAUGUGGAUCCAGGUGUCCUCCGAGAGAGCUGAUAUUGGUCGAGAUCCUCCUCUUCAGUUUCUUCAUCAUCUUCAGCAGCCUUUUCAACUGGUGCCUUGCCUUUAUUUGAUGUGGAAGUGCCAUGAGGAGUCACAGGGGUUGAUGAACCAGGGUCUGGAAUUGAUGAACUCGGAUCAGUGGGGCGUGACUCUUUGUCAUGGGAAACUUCCUCAACCACAGGGGGGGAAACAGGAGGUUCUUUUUGUCUAGGAAGGCAGUUUGUUGCUCAGAGGACAUAGUGAGCAUUAAACCAUGUUCUAGAAGAAGAACAUGCUGUUUGAGUUCACGAAAAAGCUCAAUUACUUCAUCACUGGAAAAGGAAGAUGCUUUAGUGGCAGACUUCCUAGGGUGAAUGGGAGUGAGUGAGAUGAAUGAAGGAUCAUGUAUAGUCUUAGACCUCUGUUCACUAGAUGAUGCCCCCUUAUAUGCCCACAGAUUAUCUUUAAAAACAAGAAUUUUCCUUUCAAAAUAUGCUUUGGUAAAGGCAUAAGAAGAUGCUUCUUUGGGACAAACACCUAGAAUGGGAACUUUGUAAAACUCAAAUAUUUUUUGAAGAAACUUUCCAUAAGAUAAUUUUCUACGAGAAUCAGUGGCGUAGCGAAGUAAAAACUUGCACAUGACAAAACCAAAAUCAAUACGAAUUUUUUCUCGAAAACAAUAAAUGAGAUACAACUCCAUUUUGUUUGCAUCAGUUCUGUGGCCAUCAGUGGGUACAAGCAGGUUUGAAAUGAUUGAAAAAGCGAUUAAAUUCACAGGUGCAAGAUCAUUCAGUUUAGCAUCAGUAGGGGAGGAAAAACUUCUUUUAAAAUAAGUCAACAUUUUAGCCCCAUCAAAAUAGUUAUCAGCAGUAGGGAGUUCUUCAUAGGAAAAGAAAUUGGCAAUUUUAUCUUUGCAUGAACGUUCAAUGGUGGUAUUUAAAAUGGAAUUCACAGUUUCAGAAUCAAAGAUUAGGUCUAUCCCAUUUACCCUGGACAUGAUCUCAGUUUGGUCAGUUCCUUUCCUAAGAUUGGCAAAAAAUUGAUGCAGCAUAUCAGGGUAAUAGACAUUGGGCAUAGAAAUGAGAUGUGACCAUUUCUGGAAAGCAAAUAGACUCAGAAUGGAUUCUAAACCUAUGGAGCGAAAUUCAGAAGGGUUUACAGUUCGCUGAGGGAUGACACCUUUCUGGGAUAUCCAGGAGUAUUUGUCUUUCGCAGCAUCAUCAAAGAAUGGAGGGAGAGGGGCUGAUUUAGGAGGCGGUUGAGAAGAGGUCCCCUGUCCAGAUUCUGGUUGAGAAGUGGGUUGUGGAGUAGGUCGUGACAUUUGACCCUUUAUGGCUUCUCUCUUGAAGCGCUUGGAUGAUCGUUUGACUGUAGGGAGAUCCUCAUCCUCAUCCCUGAGUGAAAGCUUGCGUCCGGCAGUAACCUUUCCUCCUCUAAGAUUCACCAUUGUGCGAAAUGUGUGGAAUGAAAGAUGCAAAUGAUGCACACAGCAGUAGGGAAGUGAAUCGCACAGAAAUUUUGGGACAAAAAGGCCUUGAUCAAGAGUUGCCAGAGCAGUUAUGAAAGAGUAGGGUUUUGAGGAAAAUUUGGGAAUGUGCGAAGUGAUAGAUGAUUCUGUGAAAUGAUCAGGAAAAAUGACUCGCAAUUGAUCAGGAACUGUUUUGGUUGAGUCAAUUUGGGAAUGGGGGCUUCAGAAUGAUAUGAAUUUGAGAGUGAGAGACAAGAGGGUUUUCAUCCGAGAGGAAAUAAAAUGGGAAGAGUCUGAAGCAAAUGAGGAAGAAAGUUGUUUUUAAAAAAUGAGCCGUUGCACUGUCGGACGGCCGAACGAAGUUGUGCGUCCGACAGUUGCGUCCGAACAGGUGCAAUCUGGAAAAUGGCUGAAGAACAUCAUCGGACGUCCGUUCAUCCUCUUUCGGACGUCCGAAAGAAAGAAAGACUUAAGCUGAUUUUUCAAUUAUCCCUAAUUUUGAUCUUAGAUGAAUGAACUGAUCUAAUGGCAAAGCUUUUGUAAAUAUAUCAGCAAAUUGAUCUUUAGAACAAACAUAAUUUACACAAAUUUCGCCUUUUUGAACAAGAUCACGAAUAAAGUGGUGCUUUAUAUCUAUAUGCUUAGUCCUAGAAUGUUGAAUGAGAUUUUUGGUCAGAUUUAUGGCACUAGUAUUAUCACAGAAUACAGGCAUGCAGUCAUACAACAAUCCAAAAUCAUUCAAAGUAUGCUUCAUCCAUAAAAGUUGAGCACAACAUGCACUAGCGGCAAUAUAUUCCGCUUCGGUUGUAGACAAAGAGAUUGCAUUUUGUUUCUUGCUAAACCAAGAGACUAAACAAUUUCCAAGAAAAUGACAAGUUCCACUAGUACUCUUUCUAUCCACACGACACCCUCCAAAAUCAGCAUCCGAAUAACCAUAUAGUGCAAACUCAUUAGAUCUAGCAUACCAAAGACCAUAGUCUAAUGUACCUUUCAAAUACCUAAAAAUUCUUUUUACAGCAUUCAAAUGUGAUUCUUUUGGACAAGAUUGAAAUCUAGCACAUAAGCAAACAGCAAACAUAAUAUCAGGUCUACUCGCGGUUAAAUAGAGUAGGCUUCCGAUCAUACCUCUAUAAUGCUUUUCAUCCACAUGAUUACCUUCUUCAUCUUUGUCAAGCUUUGUAGAAGUGCACAUUGGAGUUCCAACUUGCUUUGAGUCCUCCAUUCCAAACCUUUUCAGCAAUUCCUUGGUAUAUUUUGCUUGAUUUAUAAAAAUUCCCUCAAGAGCUUGAUGUAUUUGAAGUCCAAGGAAGAAAUUUAAUUCUCCCAUCAUACUCAUUUCAAAUUCACUUUGCAUAGUGGUGGAAAACUCCUUACAUAGAUACUCAUUAGUAGCACCAAAAAUAAUAUCAUCAACAUAUAUUUGCACAAUAAGAAGGUCAUUCAACACUUGCUUAGUAAAAAGUGUGGUGUCCACAACACCCCUUUUGAAACCAUUUUCAAUCAAAAAACCACUUAGUCUUUCAUACCAAGCUCUUGGAGCCUGUUUUAGACCAUAUAAAGCUUUAGAUAGUUUAAACACAUGACUUGGAAAUUUUGUAUUUUCAAAACCGGGGGGUUGAUCCACAUAUACUUCUUGAUCAAUAAAACCAUUUAAAAAAGCACUUUUAACAUCCAUUUGAAACAAUUUGAAGCCUUUAAAGCAUGCAAAAGCAAGAAGCAUUCUAAUAGAUUCUAAUCUUGCUACGGGAGCAAAUGUUUCAUCAAAAUCAAUUCCUUCUUCUUGUGCAUAUCCUUUAUCAACUAAUCUGGCUUUAUUUCUUACAACAACACCUUUAUCAUCCAACUUAUUUCUAAAAAUCCACUUUGUGCCAAUGAUAGGUUGAUUUUGAGGUCUAUCAACAAGUGUCCAAACUUCAUUUCUCUCAAAUUGAUUAAGUUCCUCUUGCAUAGCCAAAAUCCAGUUUUCAUCCUUUAAAGCAUCAUUGAUAUUUUUGGGUUCAAAAAGAGAAACUAAAGCAAAAUUGUCAAUCAAUUUUCUAGAUGUGGAACGAGUGUUUACCUUCUCGAAUGGAUCACCAAUUAUAAGCUCUUUUGGAUGAUUUUGGCUGAAUUUCCAAGCCUUGGGAAGAUCUUUGAGUGGAUCAUAAUUUUUGUCUUCAUCUUCCUCUUCUUGAUCAUUAUGAACUUCAUUUUCCAUUUCAGUUGCUGCUGGUUUAGAGCUUCCUUCAUUUCCAAUUGAUAGCUUUUCCAUUCCUUCUCGAACACCUACAUCAUCAUCCUCACACGAACUUUUGGAAUUAUCAUCAUUGGUUUCAUCAAAUGUUAUAUGUAUAGCUUCUUCAAUCACAAGAGUCCUUCUAUUAAAAACUCUAUAUCCUCUUUUAUUCUCACAAUACCCCAAAAAUAUUCCUUCAUCAGAUUUUUUAUCAAACUUACCAAGAUGUUCCUUCAGAUUCAAAAUAAAGCAUUUACAACAAAAUACUUUGAAAUAACCAACCGUAGGUUUCUUAUCAAAAAUCAGCUCAUAAGGAGUUUUCUUUAAAAUAGGUCUCAAGAGUAUUCUAUUCAUCACAUAACAUACAGUGUUUACCGCUUCAGCCCAAAGAUAUUUAGGCAACCUACAUUCAUUCAACAUAGUUCUAGCAGCCUCUUGGAGAGUCCUAUUUUUCCUUCCAUAAAUAGGUAACAACUAAUAAAAUAUGACAAAUAAUAACAAAUAAAAGACAAAUAAAAAGGUAACAACUAAAAUGCAGACAAUCUAAAACAAAAUCAUGAAUUAGAUGCAACAUACAAAUUAUUUAAAAAUUUGGUGUCUACAGUUUGCCCCUCUUUGUUUGAGUUUUGAAAAAACUUGAGACAAAGAAGUAGACACCAAAUACUUACCUGUGUUAUUCGGCUGCAAAAUGAUUUGAACGGACAGGAAUUUUAAAAACGGGACUGACCCGAACAUGAAACUAAACGGGACUGACCCAAAUAAAAAUUUAAAAAAACGGGACUGACCCGAACAGGAAUUUAAAACGGGACUGACCCGAACAGGAAUUUAAAACGGGACUGACCCGAACAGGAAAUUUAAAACGGGACUGACCCGAACAGAAAUUUAAACGGGAUUGACCCGAACAGGAAAUUUAAAACGGGACUGACCCGAAAUUUGAAUUUAAAACGGGACUGACCGAACAAGACUGACCCGAACAGGAAUUUAAAACGGGACUGGACAGAAAUUUAAACGGGCCCGAACAGGAAUUUAAAACGGGACUGACCCGAACAAGAAUUUAAAACGGACUGGCCCGAACAGAAAUUUAAACGAACGGGAAAUUUGACCCGAACAGGAAAUUUAAAACGGGACUGGCCCGAACAAGAAUUUAAAACGGGACUGGCCCGAACAGGAAUUUAAAACGGGAUUGGCCCAAACAGAAAUUUAAACGGGAUUGACCCGAACAGGAAAUUUAAAACGGGACUGACCCGAACAAGAAUUUAAAAACUGGCCCGAACAGAAAUUUAAACGGGAUUGACCCGAACAGGAAAUUUAAAACGGGACUGACCGAACGAACAGGAAAUUUAAAACGGGACUGACCCGAACAAGAAUUUAAAACGGGACUGGCCCGAACAGGAAUUUAAAACGGGACUUCACUGGGGAAGUUUAAACAAUGAAUUGAGUUUUUUUUUUACCUGAGAAUAGUUCAACUUUUGUACCAAGAGGGAAAUUUGGAUUUCUGUGACUGAAACGAUAGCUGAUGCUGUUUCUUAUGAUCGAGUCUUGCAAAUAACAUCUAUCCUUGUUUACUGGGAAGCUUUGUCUGACAUCAGUUUAGGUGCCAAAAAGAGAGUGACUGCUUUUGUUUGUGAAUGCAACAUUCCUGCAAGAAAAGAAGAAAUAAUGGACUUGCCACCAUUGUUUGAUCCGGUUUGCCUUGAGAAUCGUGUAAACAUGAGUCUUGUGAUGCUUUUAUUUCGGCUCGGCGGCGUCUGCCUUAGUCGAACUUGAAACCUUUCAAUUUCUGAGACUGAUAAAAUACGGAUUUACCACGUCACCCAAUCCAGGUGGUAGCUUUGUUGUAUGUUACUCCCUGUAACUGAUGAUUGAAUCCCCUAUCUUUGCACAAACCUUAGGGUUUAUCAUUCAUUUGAAUUCAAUGGUGCAAGAAUGAUGCAUGAAAAUUAGUCAUAUAAAAUCAACGUAUAUGCAAGAUGAUUUCCUAUGUUAAGCAAAAAUGAGCAUGCAAAAGAAUGUAUACAAUCAUAAGCAUUCAUACACAAAUAAUUGAGAACAACCAAGAGGUUUAUAAAGAUACAUUUUGCAAAAGAAUAUUUGUAAAGAAUAAUACAAAUUUAGCCGAUGAAUAUCAUAUUCAAGACUUUGGAUAUUUUCUCUUUGGAACCCGAUAUUGGCAGAAGUAUCACAAAUAUGAGGAAAACCCUAAAUGCACCAGGUCACCAGCUGUUCCUUCUUGAGCUUGUCUGUUGAGAAAACCUACCUUGGCGCCCUUUCGGGUUUUCACCAAGGUUGCCCCCACCCUUUUUGUUGUUUUUUCCUUUUUUUUUUCUUUUCUUUUUUCUUUCUUUUUUUCUUUUCUUCUUCUUUUUUUCUUUUCGAGGCGCCCUUUCGGGUUUUCACCUAGAGAACCAUGAAAUAUCUCGACCAUUAUCGACUCAGAAAUAUGAAUUGAAGAUUUCUGGCAUCAGUAGAAUGCAUUCCCCUUGUGAGAUUAGGCGAAAGCAUUAUAGACAUCACCUGCCAGUUGAUUAACAAAUUUCCUAAUAGAGAUGCAGCAAGUGACGAAAAUCAGGACUUUGGGCUUUUGUAAUGAGGUCCGGUGGGGUGUUUUUCAAGAAAGGUUGAGGCUUGAAAGCAGAUUUGAUACGAGGGGUGAAAUAACUUGAGAUUGCACCCUUUUGAAAACAACUCCGAAACUGAGGAAAAUUUGCCCCAGUUUGAUCAGUUUUUCUCGCUUUGCGUUUUUCAUUGUAUUUUCCUCACUUUUUGCAUUUUUCUUUGAAAACUAAAUUUGCCCCAGUAUAGGGUUUUCUUUUUUCUUUUUCUUUCUUCUUUUUUUUUUUUCUCAAAAAUAAAUUUGCCCCAGUGUGGGGUUUGCAAUUCUCAAGGGUUAUGGUUAUCAAAUGAAAUUUGUCAAUUCUGAUGGCUCAAAGGGGACAAGUAGAGAUAAAAAUGUUUUUAGUGUAAAAGAAGAUGGCCUGACUUGCAUUUCGCCAUUUGCAUGAAUUUCUAAAGAAAAUUUGCAUGAUCAAAUGAAAAACUUUUUGCACAUAUCUGAGUUGAUGGGUUGAGGGAAAACCCGUCCAUCCAUUUCCGCCAAAAUAAGAGCUCCGCCAGGUAAUACCUUUUGGAUAAUGAACGGCCCUUGCCAAUUUGGAGCGAACUUGCCUUUAGCUUCAUCUUGCAUUGACAAAAUUCGCUUCAGUACCUUAUCACCUUCUUCAAAUGCCCGCCGAUGGACUUUUUUAUUGUAAGCUCGGGCCACACGUUUUUGAUAGCAUUGCCCAUGACAGAUAGCAUUGAAUCGUUUCUCAUCUAUCAAAGUCAAUUGCUCAUGGCGCUGCUUGAUCCAAUCGGCCUCCUCCAAUUUAGCUUCCAUAAGGAUUCGUAGUGACGGAAUUUCAACCUCAGCUGGUAAUACAGCUUCCAUCCCAUACAUAAGUGAAUAUGGCGUUGCCCCAGUCGAUGUCCGAAUAGAAGUCCGGUACGCCAUCAAUGCAUAAGGCAACUUUUCAUGCCAAUCGCGAUGCUUUUCUGUCAUUUUGCGAAUGAUUUUCUUCAAAUUCUUAUUUGCGGCUUCUACAGCUCCAUUCAUCUGAGGCCUAUAAAUGGCAGAAUUGCGGUGUUUGAUUUUGAACUGCUCACAUAGUCCAUCUACCAUGUCAUUGUUCAGAUUCUUGGCAUUGUCCGUGAUAAGCGUUUCGGGUACUCCAAAGCGACAGAUGAUGUGAUCUCUCAGGAAAUUGGCCACUACCUUCUUCGUGACAUGUUUGAAUGACUCUGCUUCAACCCAUUUGGUAAAGUACUCGAUUGCCACCAAUAUAAAUCGAUGUCCAUUUGAAGCAGGAGGAUCGAUUGUACCAAUCAUGUCCAUACCCCACAUUGAACAAGGCCACGGGGCGGUCAUGCUAUGCAACUCAGUGGGUGGAGCGCGUAUAAUGUCACCGUGCAUUUGGCAUUUUAUACAUCUCCGGACAAAGUCUAUACAAUCAUGCUCCAUAGUAAGCCAGAAGUAUCCGGUUCUCAUGAUUUUCUUUGCUAGCAAAUGGCCAUUCAUGUGAGGUCCACAAACGCCACUAUGCACUUCUUUCAUCAUAUAUUGAGCUUCAUCUUCAUCAAUGCACCUUAAAAGGUUCAAAUCCGAGGUUCUUUUGUACAACACUUCUCCAUUUAAGAAAAAUUUUGAAACCAUUCUGCGCAGAAAGCUCCUGUCUUUCGAACUAGCAUGCUGAGGGUAGGACCCAGUUUUGAGAAACUCUUUAAGAUCAUUAAACCAAGGAGUAGUAUCCGAGGACUCGUCUGCAGCCCAGCAGUGGGCUGGCUUGUUUUGAAGUUGAAUUUGGAUUGGUUCGAUCUUCAAUUCAUCAGGAUACUGGAUCAUAGAAGCUAAAGUAGCCAAAGCAUCGGCGAAUGCAUUCCUGGCUCUCGGGAGAUGUCUAAACUCCAAAUUUUGAAACUGCUUGGCCAAAGUGAGCAGACUACAAUGGUAGGGUAGAAUUUUCGAAUCUUUGGUUAUCCACUGUUUCAAAGUUUGAUGCACGAGCAAAUCUGAAUCACUGAAAGCUAUCAAUUCUUUGAUUUCUAUUUCCAACGCCAUUUUGAGACCAAAAAUGCAAGCUUCAUAUUCAGCCAUGUUAUUCGUGCAAGCGAAUUGCAAUUUGGCAGCGGCAGGGUAGUGCUUCCCUUCGGGUGACACCAAAACAGCUCCAAUUCCAGCUCCGAGAGAAUUCGAAGCUCCAUCGAAGAAAAGCCUCCAUUCAGGACUUUGUUCACUUACAUCAUCUGUAGCGCCUACAAAUAGGACCCUCUCGUCAGGGAAAUAAGUACGGAGUGGUUGAUAAUCAUCAUCCCUUGGAUUUUCCGCCAAAUGAUCAGCUAUAGCUUGCCCCUUGACCGCCUUUUGUGAGGUGAAAACAAUGUCGAACUCUGAUAGAAUUAUCUGCCAUUUCGCCAAACGCCCAGUCAGCAUCGGCUUCUCCAAAAGAUACUUCAAAGGAUCAGACGGGGAAAUAAGAUAAGUGGUAUGGCUCAACAGGUAGUGUCUCAACUUUUGGGCUGCCCAGGCCAAUGCACAGCAGCUUUUUUCAAUGAAUGAAUAAUUAGCCUCGUACUGCGUGAACUUCUUGCUUAGAUAGUAAAUGGCUUGUUCUUUCCUUCCGGAUUCAUCGUGCUGACCUAGAACACACCCUACUGCUCCAUCAAGUACAGAUAAAUACAUAAUCAAAGGUCGGCCCGGUUUGGGCGGCACUAAAACUGGUGGAUGCAACAAAUAAUCUUUAAUCUUGUCGAAAGCCUGUUGACACUCCUCAUUCCAAUACAACGGCACAUUCUUUCUCAAUAAUUUGAACAACGGCUCGCAUGUGGCAGUUAGUUGGCCGAUGAACCUCCCAAUAAAAUUAAUCUUCCCUAAGAAGCUUUUCACGUCCUUCUGAGUUUUUGGCACUGGCAUAUCUCGAAUUACUUUGAUUUUAGCUGGAUCUAUCUCUAUGCCCUUCUUGCUGACAAUGAAACCCAACAGCUUACCCGCAGGUGCUCCGAAGGCGCAUUUUGCAGGAUUUAGCUUCAAAUUGUACUUCCGCAAUCUUUCGAACAAUUUCUUCAGAUCAACCAAGUGGUCCUCUGCCCUUUUAGACUUGAUUAUAAUAUCAUCCACGUAGACCUCCAUCUCCCGGUGAAUCAUAUCAUGAAAUAGGGUUGUCAUGGUCCUCUGAUACGUUGCUCCAGCAUUCUUUAAAGCGAAAGGCAUGACUCGGUAGCAAAAGGUACCCCAAGGGGUAAUGAAAGCAGUUUUCUCCCUAUCCUCUUCUGCCAUCAAAAUUUGGUGGUAGCCAGCAAAACAAUCGCAAAAGGUUUCAAUCUCAUGUCCGGCAGUAUUGUCUAAGAGAAUGUGAAUGUUUGGUAGAGGGAAAUCAUCUUUAGGACUGGCUUUAUUAAGGUCUCUAUAGUCAAUACAAACUCUUACUUCUCCACUCUUUUUUGGAACAGGGACAGGAUUUGAAAGCCAAAUUGGGUAAUGGGAAACAAUGAUAAUGUUGGUUUUGAGUUGUUUUUCAAUUUGCUCUUUUAUUUUGAGGCUUAUAUCUGGUUUGAAUUUUCUGGGUUUUUGUUUUACGGGUGGAAAAGAAGGGUCUGUGGGUAACCUAUGCACCACCACAUCAGUUGAAAUACCAGUCAUAUCAUCAUAGGACCAUGCAAAUACAUCCUGGAACAUGGUCAAGAAUUCAAGCAUCUCCUUUUUCUGCCUUUCAUUCAAAUGAAUACUAAUUUGCACCUCCUUAACCUCAUCCUCAGUGCCAAUGUUAACCUUUUCUGUUUCUUCCAGGUUCGGUUUUGGUUUUUCCUCAUAUUGUUCAAAGUCCUUUGCAAAAGAAUCGAAUACCUCCUCAUUAUCACUCUCGCUUUGGAGCUCGGAUUCACAGACCUCCAAGUCAUGAGUGAUAUAGAGAUUGCCGUUAUUGAAUUCCAGAAUUGUGAUAUCCAAAGGGUCAAAUAAUUUUAUUUUUGGCCAUCUGAAAGAAUUAACGAAUGUGGGAUAAUAAGCAAAUAAGCAUACAACAAACAAAUGGUCAAGCAAUAUAAAUAUAAACAAGCGAAUAAACAACACAACAUGACAAGAAAAACUUGUGCACUUUCCAUAAAGCCUUUGAUUGAAAGCAAAUGGAAAUGAAAACUUAACAAUAUUUACAUGCGCAAAUGUUAGUCAAAAGUAAAAUUGUUUUCAUUGGCUAUUUACAGAUGCAAAAGUAUUUUCAUGAAUUCACAUGAAUGAUAAACCCCUUUCAGUUUACCGAAACUCCUUUCGAAUGGGCAGAGCCUCGGCUGUCCAGUUGGGAAUUGAUCCAUCGAGGAUGUCAGGAAAUUCAGCUUCGCCUGGAACACUAUCUUCAAAUGUUGCCCCAACGAACAAUUGGGCCAAACUUGCUUCAAUUUCGUCAACUGGGUUGAUUUCUGACAUGAUCAUCUCGGCUGGUCGUGGGAAAGUAUAAUGCAGGGGUGGAAUGUCAAGAGCCCUUUGCCUUCCUUCCUUCUCCGCUUUCUUGCGCUCCUUCAUCUCUCUAAUGUCCUUAGUAGUUGGUCGGAAACCCAAACCAAACGAAUCAUUUUUCUCCACAAUCUCCACUGGCUUUAAAAUUCCUUGCAGAUCUCGUCCCAGCCCUUUGUCAAAUUCAUAGCCUCCACGGAUCAUCUCCUUAGCCAUCAUGACACUGGCCUUUGAUAAAGCUCGCUCCUCGUUUGUGAUCCAACUUACAGAUACGAUAUCAGCUGUGCUAUGAGGAGUCAUGGUGACAUUGCGGCUUCCAUCUUCUUUUGACCCAGAAUCGGUGAUUACAAGGCAAUCUUCUUCGGCAAAUAUAGUUAUCAGCUUGUCAUUUACUACAAACUUCAGCAAUUGAUGCAAUGAAGAAGGCACCGCCCCAGACUUGUGAAUCCAUGGCCUGCCAAGCAAAACGUUGUAAACACUAGGAAAGUGCAUGACUUGGCAGGUUAUUUGAAAUUGUGCGGGUCCCAUCUCGAUCACUAAGUCUACUUCUCCUAUUGGCUCUCUUUGUGCUCCAUCAAAACCUCGGACUAUGGUCCCUGAAGGCCUCAGCUUGACAUUUUGGAAUCCUAGCUUUUCCAAAGUGCUCCAGGGACAGAUAUUAAGAGCGGAUCCAUUGUCAAUCAACACCUUCGGCAGCAUUUUUCCGUUGCACCUUACAACUAUGUACAGGGCCUUAUUAUGUCCAAUGCCCUCCGCCGGCAAUUCCUCGUCAGAGAAAGUGAUUUGCUUGGUAAAUAACACAUUUCCAACUACAUGAGAAAAAUUAUUAACUGAAAUGUCCUUAGGGAUUUGAGCUUUGGUCAACACCUCAAUCAGCGCGUCCCUAUGCAUGUCUGAAGAGAAGAGUAGAUCCAACAUGGAUAUCUGGGCAGGCGAUUUACUCAGCUUCUCAACUACAUUGUACUCACUUCUCUGAAGUCUCUUAAGGAAAUCCAAGGCUUCUUUCUCGGUGAUUGUUGGUUUGACGAGCGGCUCGGAGUUAUUUGCUUGAAUCGGAAUGGUAUUUUCAAAUGGACUCGCAACCUUUCCUGAUCUGGUGACCACUGACACUUCCUUUUUUGCAAUUGACUUUUCCCCAAUCUGUACGUCAGGUUCAUCAUAAUUCCAUGGCACUUGUUGCAGGCUUAAAACAGGCUCUUGCUUCGGGAAUUCAAUAACCACUGGCUCCAAAGCCUCACUUUCGGCUGGCGUGAGAUCCAAAAUAAAGGGCUUUUCGUCCUCUUCAAAUGGCAAUUCUAUGACAAAGGGUUGGUCUGUGACCCCAAACACUUCAGCUUCCCUUGUCAAUUCUUUGACCGGUUCCACAUACUCCGUAUCAUCCAGAAUAAUUCCAAUGAUAUUGGCGUGUUCCGGUAAAGGGUUCCUAUUUACGUUCGGCCCUUGCGCCUCCCUUUUCCGGAUUACAAUCUCCCCGGCUUCAACCAUAUCUUGGAUUUUAUGCUUAAGCGCCUUGCAAUCAAAGGUGGCAUGUCCGGGGGCCCCAGAAUGAUAAGCACAGAUAGCUUGUGGAUUAUACCACGCGGGCAUGCCAUAUGGGUAGGUAGGAGGGGGUACUGUACCAAUUUUCCCGGCGGCCUUCAACUGGUCAUACAAUUGGUCCAGAGGCCUGCCUAAAUUGGUGAAUGUACGGCUAGGUGGUCGGUUGUAAGGUUCAGGAGGUUGAGGAUGGUUGUAAACAGGUCUAUUUGGUAGAGGAAAUCUUAGGUUAUAUGGAGGGCGAGGUCGGUUUUGAGGUGGAUUUGGUUGGGAAAUUUGAAAAGGGGCUGAAGGUGGGUUUGGAUAGCUUGGGCGAGGUCGAGGGUGGUGGAUGUUGGUAGUAUAUACAGGAUGCGGAUUUGAGUAGUAAGGGUAAUGGGGUUGGUAGAUUGGGCUGUGUUGGUAUCGGGGUCUGGGUGAAAGGUUUUGGUUCCAAAUAAAUGUUGCAUCCCCCUCUUUCUUUUUGAACGGCGGCUUUUUCACAUUGCUUCCUUGACCUUGUAAAGCAUCCAACUGAGAUUUCAGGGCAGAGACAUUGACAAUCUUCCCGGCUCUCACAAAGUCAUCAAACUCCUCAAGUUUAUUUACAAUUGCAGCAAACGAACAUCCAGUCAUACGGAAAAUCUCUUCAAAAUAUGGAGGAUCAUGCGCCUUUAUGAAUGUGCGAAUAAUUUCAUCCUCAGUCAUCGGUGGCUCCACCUUCGCAGCUAUCUUUCUCCAUCUCUUGGCAUAUGUCUUAUGAUCUUCAGAUGGUCGCCUUUUCGUUCCUUCCAGAGUAGUCCGAGUUGGCGCUAGCUCACAGUUAUACUCAUAUUGUCUAAUGAAGGCAUUGGACAGAUCGAGCCAGGUCUUCACUUCCUCCGACUUUAGGUUGGAAUACCAGUCAAGCGCAUCCCCUUCUAAGCUUUCUGGAAAUAAUCUCAACGGCAAAUUCUCGUCAUCCACUGGCUUGCCCAACUUGUUAGCAAACAAGCGCAGGUGCGUUUUAGGGUUGCUUGUUCCAUCAUAUUUGUUGAAUUUAGGGGUCUUGAACCCCACCGGCAAUUGCACGUUCGGAAACAGGCACAAAUCAUCAUAAUCCAACACCCCUUGUUUGCUUAAACCUUGGCUUUUUCGGAUGAAUUCAUCAAAACGAUCCAAGCGUUUAAGUAGCUUCAUAUCAAUCUGGGUAGACGACUCUCCCAUUUCUGGCUUAUUUUGAAAAGUGUGCUCCGGUAUCACGGGUUCUGCGGUGGUUUGAUAAAAAGCUGGUGGGUUCUGAUGCAUGUUUGGGUCGCUUUGAGGCUGAAAUCCUUGACCAUAAGGAGGGUAGAAAGGCGGAUUUUGAGUAAAAGCAUAUUGUGGGUUAAAAGUUCCCUCACAGGUGGUUUGAAAUGGAGGAAUAACAAAUGGUAACGUGGUCUGACUGGGAGGAAUAACAAAUGGUUCAGAUUGUGGUUGUGUGGCGGGCACAGGCUCAGGUUGCACUCCGCUACUAACGAGUUCGUCGAUCAACCUCUUUUGAGCGGCCAUUUCGGAUGCCAUUUCCCCAAAUUUUGCGAGUAAUUCAGUCAACUGAACCCCAAGACUUGCAGCUUCCGGCUGGGUAGUGGCAACGGCCUUAUCGGAUGAUUCUGGUUGAGUACUCAUGUCUACACGAUUCCUUUGGGCUUUACUUCGGGAUCGCGUAAUAAUGGGGCUUUUCCGAAAAGCUAUUUUGAAAUUUACCUGAAAAUGCAAAAGACUUCUUUAGAUAAACCAAUGAUUACUGAAUUUCUGCAAUUUAAAGAGAGAAAAAAAAAGAGAAAAGAAAGAAAAAAAAAACAUGAGUUAGUAAUUAUUCAAACAAUUCGGAUGCAUGUCCUAUUUUGGGGGCCCUUUUUGUGCCAAGGGUAGGCCUAGCAUGAUGCAACACCUUCGAAAUGGGACCCGUAACACAAACCUGUUUUUGACAAUAAUUCCAAAUGAGGGCAAAAGAAAAAUCAUUUUCAUUGAUAAACUUGCCAAUAUUUACAUCAUAUCACGAAGACGAUUCCGUACAAGAUUACCAAAACUUCUGAACCUAUCUAAUACAGAGUCCUUUGUUUCCCUAGCAUAUGGAAUUCUAACACAUUCAGUUUGGUCAUAUAAUUCUGCACAUUUCCUUUUCAGCUCUUGACGCCUUCCUCGUUCCUUUUCAUACAAUUGCUUGCUUUGCUCGGCCAUCCCUUUGUAUGCUUCGACAGACUUACUUAACUGCAGAAUCUCCUUAUCCCUUGCUUCAAUAAUGGCUUUUAACCUUUCCACCUCCUUGGCUGGCUCAUCUUGUGUUUCUUGUAUGGCGGACCUUCCUAUCCAGUCUUCAUAUUGCGGAGUGGUUAAUCCCCUUUGUUUGAGUUCCGGAAUGUACUUGACGCGUUCGUCAUCGGAUAACGUUUCCCAGGCCUCAUCAAUAAGAGUCUUCAUUGGAAUUUCCUUCGGACAUAUCCCUUUGUCGAAAACGAUGACAAAUGGAGUCAGAUCAACUGCGGGUGGUACAUCUUGGACUCGCCCUAAUUGUCGGAGAAACCUCCUCGGAUUGUAUGCCAUGAUACCCUGAGUACCCCAUAAAGGAACAAAUUCGGAUGCCUUGGUAUGAAGAAUAGGUUUGGUACAAUUGGUCCAAUCCAAUACCCAUCUAACAUUUUGAUUGGUCAUAUUCGUCAAGAAAUCCACAAAUUCGGACGCAUUACACGGCAAAUUGCUGCUAUCAAUCCUCUUAUGAUGUGUGAUUACCCAGUUAUAUCCGGACAUUGGUAGACUCUCGGGAAUAGCCGGUCGUCUCAUGAAGUGUUCCAUCCCCCACACAUGUAAGAUUAAAUUUGAUCCACAAAAGAACUUUCCCCCUCUCUGACAGGUAGAGCAGGCUAUGAAAAUAUCGGCUAGAAUGGUUGGAAUAAUAGAACAGGGCUUAUUAUUGAUUCCUAAAAACAGGUCAUACAUGAUUUUGGUGAGCUUGAAGGCUAUCUUUUUGUCUUUCCUGGGAAAAAGAUAAGUUCCCGCCAUGACUAAUCCAUACACCCAAAGUCUCUUUCUAUACCACAUUUCCUUAGAAGUAAACAAGAAGUCCCCUCGAUGUCUUUCGAAACCAUCCCUUAACGCGAAUCGGUCAAACAAGAAUUUUGCCUCUAUAUUCUGGUCUGACUCUUGUACUACUGACUCCUUUAAACCGGUAAAACGACAAAACUCCACCCUGUCAGAUGCUAAUGGGAAUAUUACAGCGGUUCCCUGAACCGGCAAAUUGAGAAAUCCAGCGAUCUCCUCAAUUGUUAUGGUCAUUUCUUCUUUCCCUAGCCUAAAAGUAGAACAAAUGGGAUCCCAUAAGUGCACCAAAGCCUCUACCAAAUAUCCAUCGGACUUAAUGUCUUUAAAAUCCCCGAUAGGUCCCAAUCGAGUGGAUACUUGAUUAAUCUCGCUUGGCGAAAGUAAUGUGGGCCAUUUUUGCACCUCAACUGGUAUUGCUAACAUCUGUUGGACGCGGCGAGGAUUUCCCAUCUAAGAACGAAAACCGAUGUCAAAUACCUUACCUACGGGUCCCACCCCUCUAGUUAAACAUGAAUUUAAACGUGCAAUUCCCAAAAUAGGGUUAGAUACCCACGGGAAAAAAAAAUUGGCUUAUCCCUAAUAUAGGAUUCCCUAUAUGGCAUUCCCUUUCUAGGGUUUAUGCAUGAUGCCAUUUAUUAAAGCAGUAAAAUAUGCAAUAUGACCUAAAGGACCCUUGAUUUGCCAGGGUAGGCCUAAAAUGACAUGACAUUAUUAUUUAUGCACAAAAAUAUACAAAAACUUCUUAAACGUGCCAUAUCCUAUCUACACGGGUAGGAUUCUUAAAAGAAGGUCAUGCCAGACCUCUUAUUUGCUAGGGUUGUGAAUGCAAAAACAAGAAACAAGGAAAGUUAGUUCCACAUAUAAUCACAUAACACGUUAGAUAAUUAAAUGAUAAAAAACAGGAAAAGUAAAUAAGGAAAAGGAUGGGAUCCCUCCCCUCGUGAAUGGUGUCCCUAAUAGGGUAAUGCAGACUCUACCCUAGGUGAACUAUAUGGAUGCAUGAGGUUGGGGUUCACUAAUGCAUCUAACUCGAUAAGCUCAAGUCCCCAAGCCUUCAGACUUAGGGCCAAGGGUCAUCAAUUCCAUGGCCCUUUGUCGGUGGCUCGAGCGAUUCCCCAAACACCGCUACGCACACGUCGUGUCACGGCCGCAUGUUUGAGUGAAUCUAUAAAAAACCUCAACCUUCGACUAAAAACUAAGGAUAUUAACCCAAAGUUUAAAGCGGAAGAGUGAGUGACCCAUUGGAUCGUGCUACGCACACGUCGUGUCACGAUCACACGUCCAAGUGGGUCUCCUAAUCCUAAUAGGGUGGAGUGGCGUGACAAGCCACUAAAAAGAAAAAUAAAGGGGGAUGAAUAUAAAGCGUAUGCGCGUAUGAUAGUGCACGUUUUGGAGGGGAGGGAUCGAGAACCAAUGCGUGGCUCUAAGGGUGACACACACCCCCCCAAGUGCAAUGACAAGCGCGGUAUAAACAAUUAAACAUUCAUUCAAACAUCCAAUCAUACAUACGUGAGUGAGGGAGCUUGAUACGUGAGCGAAUCAAAAAGUCCUAAAAAAUGAAAAAUGCAACCCUAAUAUCCAAAUGCAAUUCAUAAAAGGGGUAGAAAAAAGGAAAAAGAAUGGUUAAAUAAAAAAUGCUCGGACCCACUUAGGAAGUCCCCAGUGGAGUCGCCAACUGUCGCGCCCCAUUUUUUUGGAAAAAUAAAAUGAUUGUUUUUUGUGAAUUUAUUGAUUUGGGAAAAAUAAAUUUUGUUGAUAAAAAACAAAAAUGGGUCUAAAUGGGACUUUUGAAAAUGCGACGAUUUGACCCAAGAAAAAUAGUUCAAAAAGGGUUUUUAUAUGAAAAAUGGAGUCGCCACUUGGUAUAGAGUUAGGGUGUACCAAGUCACCCAAAAAAAAUGAAUUUUUUAAAGAAAAAAGUAAGAAAACCCUUUUUAAACGACUCCUAGUCCACGUAAAACAAAGAAAAAGGUUCGGGAGUCACAUUUGACGAAGGGAAAGGCAAGGAUAAAAAUCCAAGGCACCCCUUCGACCUAGCCAAGGCUAGUUGCGUGAUUUAACCCUUAUUUUCCUAAUUUUUCUACCCAAAGUAUGUAUUUGCAUUUUGGACAAAGACUAAUGAAUGAGAAAUGCAAUCCUAAAUUCUACGAUGUCUCUCGUGAGGUUUUUGGUCCCAAACCACAUGAAUUGUGGCGGCCAAUAAAGGGAAACCUCAUAGAGGUCGAUUGAUGCAAAUGGUGACUCAAGUGCAAGUGUGCAAGUGUAUGAAAAUCAAAGUGUUUGUGUGUGCAAAUGAAUGAAGAUAGAAUAGUACAUAUAUAAGUGAAACUUGAAUUUCAUUUGUGAAGUAAAGUAAAUAAAUGAUAAAAAUGUAGUGAAAAAUAUGGAUUGAGAAAUGUAAGAAAAAUGUGAUUAAAAGAGUAUGGAAGUGAUAAAAACGAAAGUAUGACCCUAGGGGAAUGCAACAAGUCGGGUACGGGGGUUGACUUCUAACUUUUUGAGGUUUUAAUUUUCCCUUUGAUUAGAAGGAAAAACUAGCGUGCUAAGGCUAUUUUGAAGCCACACUCGCUCGUUUCCCUUACCCAAGGGGGUUUUCACGCAAAUGAACUCUAACUAGCAUGAGAUGCAAGUCCUAAAGUGAAGGGGAAGGGGUUUGAGGAACAUACCAAAUGAUAAACUAAGGAAAAAUGCGUGAUAUGUGGUGAUCAUGCACUUCGUGAAAAAGGAGAAAAAACCUAUUGGGUCUAGCAUUGGACUAGCCCCUCCUAUGAAUUCCGACUAGCGUUGGACUAGUGGAAACGAUAAAAGAAACCACAACUAGCGUUAGACUAGUGUGGUGACGUACAUUCAUCCAUUCCAUUCAUCUAUACUUAAAAAAAACGAGUAGACAUGCAAAUCACUUAAAUCAUGUAGCACUUAUCAUGCUCGACUAAAUGCCAGAUCCUAAUAAAGCAUUUAACAUAUAACACAUAGGCAUGCAACCAUUACAUUUACUAACUAAAACAAAGGGGAAAGGGAAAAUGGACCAAAUUACUUGCUACGCCCUAUCUAUUACAAGCCAAGAGGUGUACACAUACCCCAUUGAUAGAAAUCGAAAGUAAAUGAAAUAAAUGAAAUGAAAUAAGGAGUGGCUAGAAAAGCAAGUAGACAUGCAAAUUUCAAUUAGCACAUUAGUCCACAUAGGAGAGAAACAAAAGAUAAAAGAAAGUUAUACCUCCCCUGUUCGUGAAGCUAAUAAGUGGAAAAGGUUCUAAUUUGAGCUAAAAACCAUUAAACAAAAGAUUAAUGUACCAAUUUAAUAGUAAAUCAAUCAACACAAAUUAUUCAAAAACAAAAGUUAAGGAACCACUAAUAGAUACGAAAUUGAACCAUUGAAGCCUUUCAAAUAAUCAAACAAAUCCAUAUUCGUCAAAUAGGGAUCCAAAUGAAAAAUGAAAAAGACAUUUGAAGGAUCAAAUUGAUGGAUAUUUCAAUUUCUAGAGCCAUAGUGCAACAAAAAGGAACUUGAGGGGUCAAAAUGCAAAUCUUAAAAAAUUAUUUCAUGCAAACUCAUGCAAAUGAACGUGAGAUUGUUUGCAACAAGAAAACAUUUCUGCAAUCAAACUAUCAACCGCAACUUGCAUUCUCACAAGCAAAUAUCAACCUUAAUGCCAAAACUUGAUCAAAACCAUUCAACCAAAAAAAAACAUCCAAACAUACAAUGCAAUUUCAACAUUCAACAAGACAAACCAGAGAAGGAAAAUUGCGCAAAGUGCUAGAAGGUAGCUCGGCAAAAAACUGUUUCGUUCAUUUUUCAAAACUGUCUGGUAAUGGUUCAAGUAUUCAAAACCCAAAAGUGCAAACUCAACACCACUCACCCACUUCCCCUUUAACAUCGGAUUAGGCUAGUAAAAGAUAAAAUAGAAAGAUCAAAACUAGCUUAUGUGGGUUGUUGUGGGAAGAAAAAGAAAGCAGCAAAUUAUGAGGAUGAAAACGCAGCAAAACAAAAAAAAAAAUGCAGCAAGAGUUUCUGAAAAACAAACAAGCAGGUUGCUACAUUUUCCUUCUCAAACUCAGAUUUCUUAAUCACAGCCUUAAGCUAAGCAAGAGACUUCAUGACUUCCAACCACAACAAGCAAGAAACAAUAAAGGAACUGAUGCAAAAGAAAAUUCUGGACAAAGCAUUCAUGCACAAAAAGCUAGGUAGCCUGAUUGAAUUCUUUCCCAGCAGAUACUCAAACCCAAUUCAAACAUUUCAGAUUCAAUCAUGCAAACUCAUCUUCCCCUGCCCCUUUUCACACAAGACAUAAUAACCAACUAGAAGAAAACGAAGUAUGGACAAGAAACGCAGGAAAAGCAAAUGCGACAACACCUAUUCUGCUGCAAUUUUUCUGCUGCCAUUUUGCAGCUUCAGGAAAAAUCUUUCCACAACCAUUCUCAUGCAAUCUCUUCUUGCACUUAGGCAUAUUCAUGCAAACAACCAAUAAAAGGCUUGAUUGAACUGUCAUCUAAAUAAGAUACCAGCCUGGAACCGAAAUGAAAGAAUAAACAAAAGACUAAAACCGUAAGACAUGAAGAUUCGGCCAGCUAUGUACAUUUUCCAGCAAUGUAGUAGUUUAUUUAUAGAGCUUUUGUCCCUAAUUUUCUUCAAUUUUUACUUCAACUCAACAUGCAAAAGGUGAUUAGCAAUCUACAAACUAGUCUUAACAUCCAACAUAAGAAUCUUAGCUAAAAUUCGAAGGAAAACUAGUCAAGUGCUCAACUCCUUUCUCUCGGCCAUGCUGAAAAAUAUUUUCCUUCCAUAAUUACUUCAGUUCAUGGUCCAAUUCACCAGCUUUUCAAGUGUUAAAAAAUCAAUAAGAUAAACAUGAAAACUAGAACAAGAUGUUAUAAGACAUUUUACUUAGGAUUAUAGCCAAUGAUCAUGGAAUUUUCCAAAUUAACAAGAGUGUUUCAACCUACUCUCUCUCGGCCAACAAAACAGAUUUUCCAGCAAGUUAUUUCGAAAUUUUCAACAAGGUUUCCAUCCAGAAAAUUCAACAUGCAAUACUAGAUAUAGGUCAUAUAGGGCAUACAACGGGAUUUUCCAGCUUCAAUCACCAAAACAUCCAUUAAUACUCAAAAGAACCACCAUCGGCUAAGCUGAAACUUUUCCAGCGGCCAUGUAGUCCUCCAAACAAGAAUUCCAGCAACAAAACUCAAGCUUGUCACCAUAAAACUUACAUGCAUCACCAAAUAAAGAGCAAUCUAUCAGGUUUGAUCCAAAACCAAGUUCGAACAAACAUCAAAAACACUAACCAACCAGAAAUUCAUUCAGUUCCUCUCGGUUGACUUGCAUGCAACCAGAUUUUGUUUUCCUUAAAUUUUCUUGCUUUCUCACAGCUAAUUAACUUCAUGCAAAGCUUGAUCAUCCAGUUUUUAGUUAAUUAACUACACAAUUAAACUCAGAUUAUCACAAAUUGGCCAAUUAAGGCUGUAAAUUUCCAGCUUACUCAUUCAGCACUCCAAUUCUUUCGAAACCAGUUUUCUUGUGACUUAAUCUAUCAUCCAACCACAUAACCACCACAUGCAAGCUUAUAAUCAACAUCAUCUAUCCCUAAACAACUAGUUUAGGUCCAGAAAUUACCUCAGCUUGGAGUUCACACACACGGCUAGCAACAGAAAUAUUUUUCUUCCUCUCGACAGUCCAGAAAUUGCAGCCCGCUAGCUCUCCCUCUCCCUUGCUCAAGCUUGCGACUAGGAUGGAGGAAAUUUGGCUCUCAAUUUCUUCACUAGCUCACGGAUGGAAGGAAGAAUGAACAGCAAGUCUCUCUCUUCCCUCCCUAGUUUACGGACAGAAAGGAAAAGAAUAAAAGGCUCGGCUCUUUCUCUCCCUCACACACUCUCGGCUCACGGCAGAAAAGAAAAAAAUGGAAGUGCAAUGUUGUGGUGGAUUGGAAAUCAUAUCCCCCCCGUGGAGUGUGUAGGUAGUGGAAUGUAUAUAUUGAAGUGUUUGGAGUGGAGCUAAGUCGGCACUUGGAAUGGAAGGUGCUGGAAUGUGAAGUGGAAAUGGAACCGGCAGAAGUGGAGUUGUGAUUUUUUUUGAUUUUUUGAUUUUUUUUUUUUUUUGAAAUUAACUAAAUAAAACUGAUAAUAAAAAUAGAUAACAAACAACAAAAACAACAAAAACAAAAAAAAAUAAUAAUAAUUUAAUUAACAUUGGAUAGAAACUAAAUAAACUAGAAUCAACAAAGCACAAUUUUCCAUUUUUCAUCAAUUUCCUCUUUUCUCUUUUCUUUUUUUUUUCACAAAUUUUACGUUAAAACUUAAAACUAAAACUAAAACUAAAACGUGAACAAAAUUAAUAUGACAAAUAAUAACAAAUAAAAGACAAAUAAAAAGGUAACAACUAAAAUGCAGACAAUCUAAAACAAAAUCAUGAAUUAGAUGCAACAUACAAAUUAUUUAAAAAUUUGGUGUCUACAAUGCUAUUAAUAAGAUAUUAUUGUUAAAUCAAAAUCAAAGAAAAUUUAGUGAUGACAUAAUGUUAUCACUAAUUUAUUCAAGAUUAUAAUGACAAGAAAAGUCGUCACUAAUUAAAUUGCUAGUUUUUAAUAUUGUCAAUUGCUAGUUUUUAAUACUUUUGUGAAAAUAUUGAUAAUGGUUGAGAAAAUUUUGUUACAUUACCGCAAGUGAUAAAUGUACUUUUGUUCUUUUUCAAACAUUUAUUUUAAUGUUUAAUUUUGUUUAAAACUAUUGUACUAGUAUAGAUUUGCAAGACAAAACUUAAGUUCUCAAUAGUUAAAAAAUUCAUUACAGAGAAAACACAAAGUAGUAGUUGCAAAAUGUGUAUAAAUUACAGAUAUUUUAAUGUGUAUAAAUUACAGUUUAUUUUAACGUUUAAUUUUGUUUGAAACUAUUUUACUAGUAUAGAUUUGCAAGACAUAGAUUUAUGGGUAAUUUCUUUUUUUUUUUUUUUGCUUUCACAUAUUUAAUUUAUGUUAAAUAUAAAACCUACCAGUUUCCCUUUCAUAAAAAUAUUAGUGCAACACUUUUUGAAUUUUACUUACAAACAUUUAUGUAUUUAACAUAAAUUAAAUGAUUCAGAGUGAAAUGCCUAUAAAGAGCAGAAUAUUUGUUCAUGUAAUGGAGGAAACCCACAAAGAGUUGGUACUUUAUGGGCCAUUUCUUUUUUUAAAAAAAAAUUAAUUUAUGUUGAAAAGAUAACCUGCCAGUUUUCGUUUUAUAAGAAAUCAGUGUAACACUUUUUGAAUUUUACUUACAAAUAUUUAUAAAUUUAUCUUAAAUUAUAUGUUUGAGAGUAAAAUGCCCAUAAAAAGUUGGUACUUUGAAUAGAUAAUGCUUAUUUGCCCAUAAACUACACUCCCUGAAGGCUAUUUUGUUAAUUACUUUGUAGUACUUUGUUAUUCCUUUGCUAAUACUACUUGGCAUGUAGUACAAAGGAUAAAUCUGGCAUAAAUUUCUUAUUCCAUUGAUAAAAAGACAUGCUUGCCUUAUAACUAUUGUAAUGAAAGAUAUAUCUUUAGAGUUCAUAACAAAUUAUUACUUAAAUUUGAGAAAAUUAUAAAAUAUUUAUGCAUAGUUUAUCAAGAUACCAUUCGCAAUUUCCUAAUAACAAAAUAGGGGCUAAAUUGUAAAAGCUAGGGUGCCAUAAUAGAAAUAAUAAAAUUUGUGUAUUACAUAUGGGGGUUAAAUUGCAAAAGUUAGAGUGCCAUAGUAGAAUUACUGAAAUUGGUGAAUUACACAUGGGGCUAAAUUACAAAAGUUAGGGAGUAAUAAUAGAAUUAAAGAAAUCGGUGUACUACAUAUGAGGCUAAAUUGUAAAAGUUAAGGUAUCAUAAUGGAAUCAAUGGAAUUUUUUACAACAUUUGGGGCUAAAUUACAAAAGUUAGGGUGGCACAGUAGAAUUAAUGAAAGUGACUUAGAAAUAAGUACUUUAAACAGUGACGAUUAAUUCUUGUCACUAAAUCCGAAUCGGUAGAGUGACAGUGACGAUAUUAGAAGUUGUCACUAUAUAGAUCAUUUUAGUGACAACUUUUUCAAGGUCGUCACUGAAGACUUAGUUGCUUUGAGCAAUUAUGACAACUCUCCUUGUCGUCACUAAACAACCACGUUUUGUGACGACUUUUGUCGUCACUCAAAAAUGUUGUCACUAAUAACCAUAUUUCUUGCAGUGUAGUUUGUGACGAAAAUAACGGGUCGUCACUAAACAUUUAGUUGCUUUGAUGCAAUUGUGACAACUUUAGGUAUCGCGACUAAAGAAAUUCCUUUUGUGACAACUUAUUGUCAUCACUACAAAAUAUUGUCACUAAUAACCUUUUUUUUAGUGAUCAGUGACGACAACAAAAACUCGUUCGUAAAUAGGCCAAGCAAUAGUGAUGAUACUCUUAAUGUCGUCACUAUUGUGUGUUCUAAACACUCCCGCGCUCUUGCUAAAUUUUAGCGGGAAUUUACUAGUGACGACUUUUCUAAGUCGUCACAAAUGAGUUGGCUCCCAUUAGAGGUUUGUGACGAGUUAGAAAGUCGUCAAUAAAGGAUCCACUUUUGUGACAACUUUUUUUCGUCACAGAGAAAAGUUGUCACUGAUGACCAAUUUUCUUGUAGUGUCUAACAUAUGCCAAACAACCCCAAACACGAAGAUAGUUUAUGAUAAGUUACAUUUGUGUCAUUAAUUUUAUAAUUAUUUCCCUAUUUUAUCUUACCAAAUAUUGUGUUAAUUUGCAGAUUCUAUUUACUUUUGGUAAUUUGUGCUGGUUGCAGAGAUUUGGAUAAAGAGAAAAAAAAAGAUGUGAGUUUUUUUGCUAAAUUUGCUGAUCGGUAUGGUCACGUCAAAGUUAAACUCUGCACAUCCUAAGGAGGCUCAGGAGUGAACACAUAUUAUCCAACUGUGCAUUUAAGUCUCGAAAGUGGGGUCACAGAUGUUUAAUCAGAUGAUUGUUAUAGACUUUCUAAUUUGAUUUGAAUUAGUAAUAGUAGUUUUGUGAGGACCAGAAAACUUAUUUUAUAUUGUAUCUUAUUUUCUUGGAUACAUUUUUUUUACUUUAUUUUAUUUGCCUUAAUUUCCUGGAUACUUUAUAAGUGAGUCAAGAUUUUAUUAUUUGUCUUUUAUAAGUUAGAGCAUUUAUGAAAAUGGGACCCACUAGUGAGGUAUGUAUGAUAAAUUUGGAAGAUUAGGAGGAGUUGGAUACAAAGGGAUAUUAUUUAUAAGGAGUGAAGAGAUCAUUAGAAGUUUGCUAGAUAUUUUAGUGCUUGAAAGAUAAUUAGAUAAGGAUUAGCUCUUGAUUUACCAUUUGUCAUAAAACCAUAAAAUCUUAACUUUGACUAAGACUAAAUUUUCUUCUUAUCCAACCAAGAUAAUUAGGUCAUUAAUUAGACACUAAUCAUUGCCUUACCAAGUGUCACUUUCUUGCCCUGCCAAGUGUCACUUUCUUGCCUUGCCAAGUGUCACUCAUUUAUGGAACUUUGACCAAGACUUCUCUUGAACUUUCUCUUAGAAGUUGGGUCAAAAUUCCCUUCCUUUCUUUCUACUUCUUGGCCGAACUUCCUAGCAAGAAAAGAGAGGGAAAAACACUAAAAUUUCAACUUGGUCCCUUGCUUGAAUCCUUGAACAAUUUAUUCUAGAAUCUUACUUCAAUCCAUAGAAAGUUGUGACAAGGAAGGAAGAAAAGCUCUUGUGGAGAGAUUUAGGGAAAAAGGAAGCUCUUGAUUGCAUUUCUUCCUAGGGUUUGAAGGUAUCAAGUUAAGAAACCUUCUUUUCUUUCUUAUCUUUCCUUUUUUGAUGGAUAUAUGACUUGAUUAUGGAAGGUUUGAGAAAGAUUUCAUGAUUUUGUGAGGUUGAUUGAAUUUUCCAGCUUUGAGUUAUAAUUUUCCAGCCUUGAAAUGAAAACUUCUAGUUUUGAUAUGACUUGUGGGCUUGGAUAUCUUGUUGGAGAAGCAUUUUUAGCUUUGUUAUACGAAUUUUCAGCUCUAGAAGUUAAUUUUCAGCCUUGUUAUGCUAAUUUUCAGUCUUGGAAUGUGAUUUUCAGCUUUGUAUGCCUUUUAGGUCUUGACAUGGGAAUUUUGAGCUUUAGUAUGAAUUUUUAGCUUUGCUAUAGAAUUUUCCAACUUAGGUUGUAAUUCUAGUUUAAGGCAAAAAUUUUCAGCCUUCACAUAGUUAGUUUUGUAAGCAAUUUCUUUGUUAGAAAUUGACAUUAUAUGUCUUAUAACAUGUCGGUUAGUUUAAAUUGUGGAUUUGUUAUAUAAACAUGAAAGAAAGUUGGGGAGUUUGGCUAGAGGAGAGUUUGGAAAAAACAUUCUUUGGCUUGUUGAAAAUUUCCGCAGAGAGCUCUGCACAGCUUUAGGAAAUUGGUUAUAACUUCAUGUAGAAAAGUCAGAAUUGAGUUCCGUCUAUUGCCUUUGAAACUAAAUUCAGAGUACCUUCUACUGUAUAAAUUUUAGAAAUUUUCUCAAUUUCUAUGAAUAUCUGUUAUUUUUCAAAAUUGACCGAAUUUCCACACCUGUUCUGUUUUUCUACCGAAUGAAGCAGCAACUUGAGACUAUAAUUUGAUUGAAUUGUGGAUAGAAUCUUAGAAAUGUGUCUUCUGAGAAAUUGUAACCCUUUGAGUCAAUUUUCUAAAGAUAUAAAGUUUAUAAAUUUUGGAUUUAAGAAGCUUGAAAUAUGAUUUUUCAAAUAGUAUCACACAAAACUGGAGAAAAUUCUGUUCUUCAAAAGCUGUUCUUGCUCUCAUUUCCAAAUUCAAGUUGGAGUUGUAGAACCAUUUUGAGUUUGGUUUUAUGAUUGGAGUUGCGAUAACUUGGUUGGUUUGAAAGUGUUUUCCUUUAAAUAUUAUAGUUUGGAGUAGUGGAUCUCAUGGCACUUCACAUACUUGAUUUUAGGACUUGAAGGUGAUGCCGGAAGUGCUCCUAAAGCAAACACUUAAGCUUGUUGCCGUGGUGAGUGUUCCAAUUACAUGUUCCAUGUUACCUGACUGAAUAUGACUUGUUGCUAGAAAUUGCUCGGCACUUGAAUUGUUACUCCAUAGGUGAGCGUGUACUUUAUCGUAUUCGAAUUAAUUUAACUAAAUACUUGACAUCUUGUUUAUGCAUGAACAAGUGACUUGAUAUAUAUGUGACUUGUGACUUAAUCUUGUCUAGGCGAGUGUGUCUUUAAUUGCACUAGAGCUCCGUGAACUUGAAAUACUUGACUUUUGCAUGCGAACUUGCAUGUACCUGUGUAUGUUUGUAGGUCGUCUGCAUCUCUUCUUGCAGCGGUUGAACUGGGCCCUUGGACACUUAUCCAAGACAUAGUGUAAAUUGGAACUUGGGUUACUCAUGCGUAUGCAUGCAUGUAGGUCGGUAAUGGCUGAACUGAACUCUCGUUGAAUCUCUUGCUUGAGACCAGCCCUAGAGCGGUUAGAUAAGUUAGCAACCUUGGGGUAAAGGAAGAAUUUCCUAACCUGUUUUCUCUUGACUUGAACUCAUGACUUGCUUGAUACGGAGCGUUAGGUGACCGCUAACAGCUUCAAUCAUUACCUGCGUAAGCGUUGGGUAAUAACCAACGACUCUACUCAUGAAUUCUUGAAUACCUGGAGUUUUAAGCCAUAUUAUGAAUACUUGAUUCUUGAAUACUUGGGGCCAUAAGCCCAACCCCAUGACUAGUUGGUAGAAUCGAGCCGGUAAAAGGUUUGGUCAAGAGACUGAUGAACAAUGGGUACUUGAUUGGCGUUCGAGUCUGGUAGAGGGAUGAUCGGUGGACAGAGAUUGACGUUUAGUGGUGAUCUACGGACAUUAUAAUGCCAUGGUUGACAGAGAGUCAAUGGAUCCCAGACAAGUUACAGUGGAACCUGCUCCUGAGAGUAGCCUAUAUCCUUUUGGCAUAAAUGUGUUUUUUAUUUCCGUACGCUAUUGCAUGACCGAUCUGGUUACCUGCUUUACUAUACCUUAUAUCCUGGUCUGAUUGAGUCUGACUUGUUUCCUGAUAUCCUGUGCAUAGCAUCAUGUAUGCUAAUUCACUUGCCUAUUUUCUUGGAAUCUCACUAGGUUUGUAGUUUAUUCCAUGAAUUUGUUUUCCUUACAAGAUGAGAACAUGAGAGUGGAAAUUGGAAAAGGCAUCGACUUUGUCUAAGUUUUGUUAGUUGCUUGCAUGAGCACUCCAUAGGUUUCUAGCUAGCUUGCUUGGUUUGAUCUUUGUAAGGUUGACUAUUUGACUAUAUUUAUCGAUUGUAUGGGCAUUUGAGGUCCAGGAGUAUAUACAUGGCAUAUUGUAACUGUUAUUGCUCUUAAUAUUAAAGUUAUUUUCUUGUAAAUUUCAUGGUACGUGAGUGAGUUCUUAUGAGAGUUGAGCAAGCGGUCCACCAAACCCUUGUGUACGCCCUAGGUGGAGGUGGGGUCGUCACAAGUUUAGUAAGCAUAGGAGACUAGUAAAAAAGGUAGUUUCCUUUCUUUUCGGCUGAGAAUGACUAGUCACUUAGAAUAGGUUUUUAUCUUGGCUUUUGUUGGCCGCACGGGGUGUAACUUUAGCACUUAAUAAAUAUGACCUGAAUUUUUCUAAAACAAAAAUUAUAGUUAGAAGCUCCUUUUCAAUGGUGGUGUAAUUGAGCUGAACUCCAUUUAAGGCCUCGAUGUACAGUAAAUGGCACCAGCAAUGUUUCCUACUCUUUGACCCAACACUGCUCCCACUGCAUAGUCAUUGACAUCACAUAUAAUUUCAAAUGGAAGGCUCCAAUUAGGGGUUGGAUGAUCGGUGGUGAAAUUAAGAACUCUUUCAACUAGUUAAAUGCCGAUUUACACUCGUAAUCGAGCUCAAAUGUCAUCUCUUUUUGCAAAAGUUUGAAUAGAGGAGUUCCAAUUUUCGAGAAGUCUUUGAUAAACUUGUGAUAGAAGCCUACAUGUCCAAAAAAGGCGUACUUCCUACACACUUGCAGGGUAAGAUAAAGUAGACACGAUAUCUAUCUUGGCUUUAUCAAUUUCAAUACCUCCGGAUGACACUGCAUGACCUAAAGCUAUCUCGUACUCAACCAUAAAAUGACAUUUUUUUUUAAUUGAGCACUAGAUUAGUUUCUAUACACCUUGUCAAAAUUAACUUCAAAUUAUCAAGACAGUUAUAAAAAACUAUCACCAUAUACGCUAAAGUCAUCCAUAAACACCUCUUUAAUUUUCUCCACAUAUUCAGAAAAGAUAUUUACCAUACAUUUCUGAAAAGUGACGGGGGCAUUACAUAAUCUGAAAGACAUUCACCUAUAUGCAAAGGUUCCAAACGGGCACGUAAAGGUGGUUUUCUCCUGAUCUUCUGGUGCAAUUGCAAACUAGAAGUAAUCUGAAAAAUUGUCCAAAAAAUAUUAAUAAACUCGACAAGCUAACCUCUCAAUCAUUUGAUCAAUAAAAGGGAGAGGAAAAUUAUUCUUUUUCAUAACGGCGUUUAGUUUUCAAUGGUCGAUGCAUUGGCGCUAUCCCGUAGGUUUUGAACUGGAUAGCAUUUUUGUCAUUAAUUUUAUAAUUAUUUUCCUCUUUUAUCUUACCAAAUAUUGCGUUAAUUAAUGGAUUCUAUUUACUUUUGGUAAUUGGUGUUGGUUGUAGAGAUUUGGAUAAAAAGAAAGAAAAGACAUGAGUUUUGCACUAAAUUUACAGAUCGGCAUGGUUACGUCAAAGUUAAACUCUGCACAUCCUAAGAAGGCUCGAGAAUGGAUGUGUAUUAUCCAGUCAUGCAUUGAAGUCUCGAAAGUGAGGUCACAGAUGUUUUGUCAAAUGAUUGUCAUAGACUUUCCAAUUUGAUUUAAAUUAGUAAUAGUAGUUUGGUAAGAAUAAGAGACUAGUCAAUUAGAUAGUUUCCUUUAUUUUCGGCCGAGAAUGACUAGUCACGAGACUAGUCACUUAGAUUAGGUUUCUAUCUUGGCUUUUGUCGGCUGCACGAGUAGGUAGACAUCUUCUUCCUUUUUCCUUUCCUUCAGAUAUUUUUCAUCUCUAAUUUGGAGAAUGUUUUUGUUUACUAGUUCUACAAUUUCGUGUGGGAUAUUCUCAAUGGAGAUGAACCAAAUAUCUAUUUCUAAUCAAGGAACAAUGAAGGACUUGGUUCAUCUGAAAUUAUAAGAUCGAAUUAAUUUUAUUUGUUUCUUUUAUUUACUGGUAUUCACAUAUUCUCUGAUUUCAUGUCUUACGAUUGUUAUAUUAAUUGAAUAUCCAGAGUCCGGAAUUUAGAUUAAUCUAACAACCUAAAGUCAAUUAAAGCAUUAAAUCCGUAAUUGUUUAAUUGUUUUAAAAUAAUGGCAAUUGACAUGAUUGGGUUUGUGUUAGGGGAAUGAACGGGUUAACUUAAAAUAACUUUCGUAGCGUGUUAUUUCAUUAGAAUAUGGUUUCUCUAGUUUGUAAGGCAAUUGAAAAUUGAAUUCUAAAAUCGUACCUAGGAUUAUAUCGCGAUUAAAGUAGUGAUUAACGGUUGUACCUUAAUCAUCGAUACAGUAAGGAGAGGUUGACUGUCAUUGCUUGUUUAUCAGUUAAUAAUUGAAAUUAUCAUUACAUCGAUGAUCAAUUAAAUUAUCCAUUUCAAAGUUAUUCCUUGGUUAGAUCUUAUUUAUUAUUGAUUCAAUUAUAAUAAAUUGUCACUUAGUUUUUAUUUAUUUUUAUUUCUAUUUGAGUUGUUUAAUUAUCUCCAUUUCCAUAAAAAUUUUCCCAUACUUUGAACUCAAGAGAAAACGAAUUUCCCCAGUCCUUAUGGCUUCGAACCUACUUACCACUAUAUACAAAAUCUAUAUAUUAUUUAAGCAGGUAUUUAUUAUUGUAUAGUCUCGAUACCUGUUAGUUUAAAUCUGGUUUUCUUUUAUUCUAUAAGUCAUAAUAUAUAAAUUGAGUUUGUUUUCUUGGCACUUUAUUCAUUAUGUAAUUAGCUAUCAAAGCUAUUUCUCCCCAAAAAUUCUUUGGUGCAUUUACAUUGAUCAUUAUUGCAUUUGUUAAAUUUAUUAAAGUUCUAUUUUUACGCUCUGCUACACUAUUAGAUGCAGAUGAAUAAGGCAGAGUAGUUUGAUGAACAAUUUCUAAAGAUUUAAUACAAUCAAUUAGUCCCAAAGAUUCAUAUUCAUUUCUUUUCCUCUAUCACUUCUAAACUUUUUAAUUUUCUUGUCAAAAUGAUUUUCAAUUUCUUGUACAUAUGCUACAAGUUUUUCAUGUGCUUCACUCUUAUGUUUCAUAAGAUAUACAUAAGUGUAUCUAGAAAGAUCGUCUAUAAAAGUUAUAAAAUAUCUUUUACUACCACGUGUAAGAAUGUCUUCAAAUUCACAAAUAUCAACAUGUAUUAAUUCAAGUAAAUCACUACUCCUUUCUACUUUUACAUGUGGUUAUUUUGUGAUUUUUGUCAAGCUAUAAUACUCACAUUUUUCAAAUAUCAUUUUGAAGUUUAGGCAACAAUCCAAUCUAACUCAUAUUCUUUAUGUAUUUAGAAUUAACAUGACAAAAUCGCACAUGCCAUAAAUUAGUACUAGAAGCAAUAUAAACAGAACUAGGAGAUACUUUAUUCAUUUCAAUAUUUAAUUUGAACAUACCAUCAUAUGCAUAACCUUUUCCAACAAAUACAUUAUUUUUUGUAAUCACAUAUUAAUCAGAAUCUAUAGUUUGCUUGAAACUAGCUUUAUUGAGAAGAUAACUUGAAACCAAAUUCUUUCUGAUUUGGGGAGUAUGAAGAACAUCUUUCAAAGUUAAAGUAUAGCCAAAGGUGAAUUUUAGAUUCACAUCACUAACACCUACAACCUUAAUGGUAUGUGAGUCACUAAUCUUCAACAGGAGUGUAGUUUUUGAACCAAUCUUUAUUAUGGCAAAUGUACCUAGGAACACUCGAAUAUGCCCACCACCCUUCAUGAUUCUCUAGCAUGUUCACCUCAGUUACCAUAGUCACUAGAGGCUCUUCAGCUGUAUGAGUUUGAGGUUUAUCACCAUACUUUUUGGGUUGUCCACGUUUUCUAAAAUAACAAUCUUUGGCUUGGUGGACAAGCUUUCCACAAACAAAACAUGGACCCCUCAAAGCUUUAUAAUUACUAUUAGAGGGGGUUUCCUGGUGCUUUUUGGGUCCUUUAUUUUGAUAUGGUGCUUUAUUCUUAUUUUUUCAUAUUUUUUUCUUCUAGAUCUCAAGUUUGCAUUAUUUUUAGAAUUCUGACCUCUAGAGACAUUAUCAGUAGAAGCAAUAAAGUGUACCUUAUUAGUUUGACCAUUACCAUUGGUCUCCUCGGAUUUAUCCAGCAUCCUUGCCUCCUCCUCAAUUCUAAGUCGAGCCAUGACGUUGACGUUGACUAGUGUGAUCUUCGACUACUUGAGGCGUAGUCCCUUUUAAAUAUCUUUUCAAGAAUUUGGUAAUUUGCCAAUUAUAACAGUCACUUGCAUUUGUUGAUCCACUUUGAUGCCUUUAGAUUGAAUUACAUGAACUAUGUUGUAGUUCAUGUACUUGAGGGAGGACAGAUUUGUUUUCUGCCAUUUGAUACUUGCAAUAGUGGCUACAAGCAUACUUCUUGGCUCCAACUUCUUCAGUGUCAUAUUUCUUUUGCAAAGCUUUCCAAAUCAUUUUACCUGUGGAAUAAGAAGUGGAGUAGUAGUCAUAAAACUCAUCAGAUAAGCAAUUAAGAAGAUAGUUUUUACAAUCUGCUUCAUCACUUCUCCAUUUUUGAAUGCUUUGUUUGUACUCUUGCUCAUCCAUGUCAUCAACACGGGUUUUGGUUGGAUUCUUGGCUGUAAGUACCCAAGCUAUGUUUAAGAGUUUUAGGUAGAAAAGUACAUUUUUAGCCCAUCUUUGAAGUGUUCGCCAUUGAACUUGAAAGGCUUGUUGAGGUUUGUAGAGCUUUUGACAGGUGUAGGGACAAUAGAAUUAGUUUUGCCCUCCAUUUGAAUAACGUCUUAAAAUUGUUGGAGGAGAGUACAUGAACAAUUUCUGAUCUUCAAGUUAACCACCUUAAAUUUGACAACUAUUAAGAAGUCCGAUAGGGUUGAGGUGUGUAAACCACUCUCUUUAAGAUGAUACGUACCCCUACAGUAUUUUUUUUAAUCGAUGCAGAAGAUCUAGCGCACCGCUUCCAAGAUACAAUAACCUAACUCUAUGAUUGGUUACUUCCCUUUAAUCUACACAACCAAGAGAAGCAGAAACUUCCCAAUAUCUUACUUUGUCCAAAGAAAAUUAGAAUGGGGGAGAAAGAAAUGAGUGUAGAGAAAAUAGUAUUUAGAAUAAUCUUUUGUUAAGAGAAAUAUCUAAGAAAUUUUCCAAAGAAUUUCACUAUUUAUAGGCUACAAAAACCUUUAGAAAAUAGGUUGAAUAUCCACGCUCAAUGUAUAAUGGUUUGUUUGUCAUAUUAAAUUGUAGUUAAUUUGUAGAAUUUGUAACCUAAAAAUUGAUUCAUAUUUGAAUGGCUUAUAAUGACUCAAUAAUUCUUCAUUUGACCAAAUAAUUCAUUUAUAGCUCCUAUUCAAAUAAUUGUAUAAUAACUUCAUUCAUCCUAACAUUAAAAUUCCCAUAACUCCCAAAUAAAUUAUAUUAUAACUCAUUGUAAAGAUUUGGUCAAGGAAAAUUUAAAAUUUUAUUAAAAUACACUAACAAUUUACUAAUUCAAGAAGCUGUAAUUAAGAAAUAGAGAAGACAACUCGGAUAAUUAGGGACUAUUAUUGAUGAUGAAUAAUUAGGGACUAUUAUUGAUGGAAGAGUACAGAUGAAGAUGACGAUCAGUCAAGGAAGAGAAAUUGGAAAUCCAAGAAUUGCCUUCAACCAACCUCCCUUCUCUCUUUUAUUUGGCGACUACUGAUCCAAGUUACAACUAACGAGAUGGCAUACACGAAUUUAUUCACUAAGUCCCUAUCAUACUUGCUUUAUUACAAAAGAACCCUUGUCAAUAAAAGUAACACAACAGUGAAAUUGAAAGAAGAAAAGGAAAAGUAAAUUGAUUACAAAAUUUCACACGACUAGAAUUAGAAAAUUAUCAGAAAAAGAAAUGGUUUGAACUUACUUGAAACUUCAUGUGGACAAAACUGAAAUUCUUGAAUCGUGAUGGAAGCACUAAAUGGGGAUCAGAAUCAACAAAUCAAAGAUUUGAAGGGGAAUACAAAAAAAAAAGAAUAAGGGAGAAUAUGCGUGUUUGAGUGAGAAAUGAAUUUGAGAUAAAAAUCUUCAUUUACGAAUGCAGGGCUAUAUAUAGGCAUGGAUACGGGGCAGGAGCGGUCGUCAGACGACUGUUCCUGAACGGUCUCCUCACAAUAAAAAAUGUGAGGAGACGAAUGAGCCAAGUCAGCAAGGCUGAAGCAGGGCACAAAAACGACGCCGUUCCAAAUAAAAAAAUGUUGACUUCCAAACGGGAGCAGACGGAGCAAAUGGAAGAGAAGUAGAUUUUGAAAUUCAAGUUGAAAUUUUGAAUUAGCCGCAGAAAACAAAAAUGAGAGAAGAGUCUUGGCGUGCUUCUGAAAGAGCUCUACUCUGACCGACCGCUUAUUGAAGGUAGAAAGCUGAAGUUAGGGUGGGAUUCGACCUACUGGCUCUUUCUAGGUGAAGUGGGUGUAGUCUACUCUGAUGAAAGUAGCAAUUGACAGAAAAGUGGGUGGAGAGGCAGGUGGCAAGGUAGAAGCAAACAGAAACGAAGCCAAAGUUUGGACGGAAAACUGAAUAGCUGAAGCAGCUGUGGUCUUCAACUGGGUAUAAGAGUGUUGUGUCUAUUUUGAAUGCGCGCAAGGCAGGCGAUAAGGUAGAAGCAAACAGAGGAAGGACAAAAUCUCAUGAAGCCAGAUUUUGUCCUUCAACUUAAUAGCAGAAGCAGCUAAGCUCUCCGACUUCGGUGAAACGUGAAGCAUAUUAGCAGACCAAGGUAACAUAACUGAACCAUGUCAGUAACUGUGGCCAAUAAUUUGUCACCCAAAUAUACAUCUGUUAAAUGAAGGAUGAAAUUAGAGUCACUGAAGACAUAAUAUGAAGAUGAUAGAAGAAUAGUGAAGUUAUACUGUAUUUGCAUGUGUGUACCGUAUCUGUGUGUGUGUGAGCAUUCAACUUUUCAGUGAUAGACUAUAAUGGGAUAGUAAUUUUUGGAAAACCUAGGGGCAUGUAUUCAAGUAAACCGUCGAACGGAAUUAGGGAAAGAUGAGAGAAACAAAGUCACAUUUAACAAGUGAAUGAAUGUACAUCCUAUUAUAAAUUAGUUACAUGUUAUAGCUACUGUAUUACAAUUGAUAUGAAUCAUUGUACAUCUAGUAAUUGGUCCAUGCUCAUGGAGCAAUAUUAGUUUGCUCCUCUCCUGACCAUGCAGUAUGUAUAAAAUGGAAGCGUAGAGUUGAAUGGGGUGAAGCAGAGGAAAAGACAUAUAUGUGAAUAAUAAAUGGGUGAAUCUUGUGUUGUAAGUAAAUUACAUGAUGUAAAAAAUAUAUUACAAUGAGUAGAAAGUACUUGUUUGGCCCUCAAAAUGUAGAAAUAGUAGAAAAUGCGGAAUUGGCUUAUGCGGUUGUCAUUAACGAAUGACAUAAGGUCCAGUGAGUUAAAAAAUCUAGAAUCAAAAUAUAAUCACUAGCGUGGAUGUACAUACAAUUAAAAUAGAUGUACAUUGUGUAACCAAUACAUUACAAUCCGUAUAAGUUAGUGUACAUGGAGUUGUAUUUGUACAUAGAUUGCCUUAGAGUAAAAGUAAGGUGAUGUGAAUCAUUAAUCAUAUUGAUAAGCGUAAUAAUAGAAUUUGGUAUACGAGUAAUGUAUGAUUCAUAACACAUUAUAAAGGGUAAUAUACAUUUAUGUUGUCAUUUAUGUACAUACUAUUCAUGAAGUGUUGCAAAUUAGGGUGUUUGAUGCAUAAUUGACAGGAGUAGAAGUAAUGGAUUGCACCAAAUUGGCAGAGGAUGGGAUCCCUGAGUUAAGAAUGGAGUUCAACAAUGAAGAGGAUACGUACAAGUUUUACAACAAGUAUGUUUUUAGAAUGGGUUUUAGUGUACGUAAAGACUAUCUGAAUAAAGACAAAGACGGCGUGGUCACAUCUAGGAGAUAUAGUUGUUGCAAGGAAGGUGUGAAGUGCAAGUACGAAGGUGAUGUGAUGCCAAAGAGGAUAUGAGCGUCGACGAAAAUAGGGUGUGGAGCUAAAAUGGUUAUCGUGUUGUUUAGAAGAACAAUGAAGUACCGUGUGCAUGACCUUGUCUUAGAGCAUAACCAUGAGUUGCACAUUACUCAACGUGCGCACAUGAUGCCAUCACAAAGAAAAGUGAGUGAGACUCAAGAAUUCCAAACUAAAAUAAGCGAAGACGCUGGACUUUCAUUGAAACAGAGUCAUGAGCUUAUGGGAAAGGAGGCAGGUGGGAUGGAAAAUGUGGGAUAUACUCGGGAAGAUCUGAAACGAUAUCUUCGUACUCGACGGGAAAGGAGUUUGAAAUAUGGAGAAGCAGGUAGCAUGCUGAAUUAUUUUUAAAAGCAAACACUCGAGAAUCCAUCGUUUUUUCGUGCUGUAUAGCUGGACUGUGAAGAGCAGAAACGAAUAUCUUUUGGGCUGAUGCAGGAUUGUUAAUUGACUACAAUUUUUUUGGAGACAUAGUCACAUUCGACACAACCUACAAAACAAAUAAAGAAUACUGACCACUUGAAGUGUUUGUGGGUUUUAACCAAUAUAGGUAAAUUGUGAUAUUUGGUGCUGCUCUUAUGUAUGAUGAGAUUAUAGAUUCUUUCAAAUGGGUGUUUGGUACAUUUCUUAAAAUAAUGUGCGGAAAGCAUCCAAGUACCAUACUAACGGACCAAGAUCACGCCAUGGCAACCGCUUUUUCAAUUGUUAUGUUUAAAACAUUUCACGGUCUAUGUACAUUUCACAUAAGGUGUAAUUUUAUGAAACAUCUUGGUAAUCACUAUAAGGAAAAUAGUGAUCUUUCAUACAUGUUUGGUGCAUGCAUGUAUGAGUUUGAAGAAAUGGAACAAUUCAAUAGGGUGUGGGAGGCGAUGAUGAAGAAACACAAUCUUGAAAAUAAUGAAUGAUUUUUCGGGUUGUAUAUAAUUCGUGAUAAAUAGGCAAGGUGCAUGAUGAAAGAAAGAUGGACCGGAGGAAUGCGAAGCACCCAACUUAGCGAAAGACUAAAUGCAGCAAUUAAAAAUCAUUUGAAACUGGAUCAUGACCUUGUGCAGUUCUUUAGACAUUUCAAUCGGGUGGUUGAUGAAAAGAGACACAAUGAACUGAUUGCAGAAUAUGAAAUGAGACAAAAGCUCCCCAUAAUAGGGUUAAGACAAACACCAAUACUUGUGCAUGCAUCAGAGACGUAUUCACCGACCGUAUUUGUUGUAUUCCAAAAUGAAUAUGGCGAGUCAACAGCUAUGGUUUUAUUGAGACAACAAGAUGCAGCGAUGAUUGUGGAGUUUGCGGUCAUGAGGUAUGAUGGAGGAUCUGAAAGAAUAGUGGUAUUCAAUCGAAAUAAUCUAAAUGUACGUUAUAGUUGCAAAAAAUACAAGAAUGAAUGCAUUUUAUGUGGGCACACGUUGAUGGUGUUUGAUACCGUGGGCAUAAAAAUAAUUCCUCCUGAAUACGUUAAGAGGCAAUGGACAAAAAGAGCUCGGUCUGGAGACUGUUUUGAUCGGCGAGGAUGGGAAGUUGUGGCUGAUCCUAAAAUAAUGAUUUCAACUCGUUAUCGGGAGCUCGCUUCAGCCAUGAUUAAGGUCGCAACUCGAACAGCAAUAUCGGAGAAUACCAACAAAGUAGCAAUCACUAUCAUAUCCGAUUUAGCAAAGAGAGUUGAGUUCCUCCUCUCAGAAAGCGAAGAGCAACCUUUGCAAAAUCAAAAAAAUCUGAAUAUGGAGCAACGGGAUAAAAUUGAAAUUGUAAAUGAAAUGGGGGAGGCAGUAGUCGCAAGAGGCAUUAAAAAACAAGGCGGUGGGAAGAAAAGUAGAGUGAUGCGAAGUUGUGUCGAUAAAUUUGACAGAGUAAAAAGAAAAUUUAGAUUAUCAAGAACUACACAGACUACGGUAUGGAUCAAAUUUUGGUACUUGGAGAACAUUUAUGCUAAAACUAAGUUAUUGUUAUACUAUUAACUAAAGUUUAGGUACCAUUCAUUAUGAAAUAAUAUUAUUGCCGUGUCAAUACUGUAGGUCUCAGAAUCGGAGCCAACAUCGAUUUUAUUUGUGAAAUACAUGUUUAUGGGAUGCCGUUCAUCUACUGACUCUGUUUCGGUUAGUAUAAAAUAGACAUGACUCUUGUUUUUAUUUGGAUGUUUCUAACAGUAUAAAUAGUUACAUUGAUGUUAUAUUGUGUGAUAAUGUUGUUACGGCCGUCAUCCCUCCUGAUAUACCUAUUUUAUUUGUCUUAUACAAUGAUUUGGCCCAUACAAAACUCGUAGACGCAUUCAAUGAGUCAGACAGUGAAUGACCCUCCAAAUGCUGUUGCUCCCGAUAUCGAUGAAAGUGAAACGGUAUGCAUACAUUUAGUAGUUAAAAUAAAGAUCUUCUUGUUCGUGUAGUAGAGCUACCUUUUUUUCUUUAAUUGUAAUGGUGGGCACCCGAACACUGUCAAAUCAUGCAAAUUAUGUAGUUAACGUAUGCUCGCUUUAAUAACAUAUUAUUUUUUAUUAUUCGAAGGUCCACCGUUUGACUAAUCAGGGGCCUCCUGCAAGUGUCCCUACAGAAUGGAUGCAUCCCAGCUUUUCUAUUUUUUCCAAGCAUAACUCCAUCAGAGAUGUCUUAAUGGUCUGAUAUAUCAUUUUUAUUAUAAUGUCUAGUCCAAUUUAACUUUAUAAGUGAGCAAUAUAGGCACUGGCAAUGAUUUGUUGACAGUCAAUUACUUAUACUAUGUAAUGUAGGAGGAGCGUGCAACAAUUUCAAAAUACUGUGAUGUUGAUACAUAUCAUGUAUUUGCACCUUCACCCCAGAUGAUAAACUUUUAUCGUUACAGCACAUAUUUAUGUAAUGUUGUUAAUUAGAGACUUGGACAUCGUAUAUUAUUAAUCGUAUGUUUCAUUAAUAAUAUUUGCUGAUUUGUCAUCGUUACACAUUUCAGGGAAGAAAUAACACCCAGAAAUUGCAACUACGCGUUAACGUCGCCUCCCCCGAGAAUGAGGUUGAUGAAUGAUGUGUAACUAUACUUUUUGAAAGAGACAUUAAGUGGUUGUCCCAACCUGAGAAUGCUGCAUAUGUGCAUUACAAGCAGUUAAUAAGUUGUUACAACUUAUUGACGAGAUUGUAUAGGCAUCAUUAAUGUUUCACUCUUUUCAAAUUUAGACAAGUGGAUUAUAAUUAUAAUCGCAUCUAGUGGUAGUAGUCAUCAAUAGUUUGUAUUGGGUUGUAUAAAAUUGUUAAAAAAUUAUAAAGUUGGUAGAAAAUUGAAGUAACAAUUUUACAAUAGAAUUGAACAUGUUUUUUGCAAUCGGAUAUUUUUCACUAAAUCGACCAUAACAGUUGAAUGGCUGUCGUGAUAUAUAUACCAUUCUACUACAUUUAAUUACAUACCUUAAUAACAUAUUUAUUGGCAUAGAUAGUACCGCCAAAGGUACGAUGUAUAAGAUAACACAAUUUAAAGUAUAAAUUGUCUUGAUUUUGUUACGAUGCUAAAUUCGAAUUAUUAUUGGGUUAUUUUUAUAAAAACAUUAUCAUUUAGGCCAUUUAUUUUGCAUUGCUUGACGAAUUUAGCGCACCAUUGACAUGAUGUAUCAUAGGCACAUCAAUUGAUAUUUCAAGUUUUUAGGUUAAUUGAAUUAUAGUCAAGUCAGGUCACGACCACAUGUUGGUAAUAGGUGGUGCGCAUAAGAAAAUGAUUCCUUAGAGAACUAAUUUGUAACGUUAAAACGAAGUUUUACAAUGCAACAAAAAGAAAGAACGAACAGUACACAAUGGGUUACAACCAGUAAGGGAUAUGUUACUGUUGCGUUACAACUAGUUACGAUUGUUUAACAGGCAUGACUAAUAUCCAAAUAUGGUAAGCAAUUUGUUUGAAUAGAGAUUAUAAUGAGUAUAGUUUUAUCGCUACCCUGAUGAACAUUGGACUACAUCUCUUGUUAUCAGUUGUAUCCCAUACAACACCUAAGAACGCCGUCAUGCAUUAGACAAUGGGGUAUGUACCUUUGAAAGUUAUCAUCGCUUGAUUCAGUAAAGUCAGAUAGGUCCGGGUCCGAUAUAAGCAUGGCUAUGCUAAAAUAUGCUGAACAUCAAAAUGUUUUCCAAUACCAUGUCUUUUUGCGGCCUGGAUCUCGUGGAACCUGUGAAGCCUACGCUCCAUUUACAUAACUUCUCGCUGUAGUCUAUGUAAUACGCUUGCAUCAUUGGCUUGUGGUCCUAUAACAAGAUCCGCUAACCUUGUUCUCGGGAUGCGGAGGCCAUGCCAGCGACAAAAUACCUCCAAUUCCAUUCUUCGUUGACGAACAGGCUCCCAUAUGUGUUCAUGGUCCAUAACGAAAUAGCCAGACGGUAGAUGAUCGUUGACGGUAUUUUUAAGAAUGUGACCAGCUAGUCCCAGAGAGUUAUUGGUGUUAAGUGGAGCGUUUCUAAACUCGCAUUUGGUAUCAUAUAAAAUCCUCCCGUCUGGUGUUUCGUACCUGCUUAUGGAAUUUGUUGGAUCCAACGAUACUUUUCAUCUUUUUUGCCGAACAUUUGAUGGUGAGCUUGUAUGAGAUCCUUCAUUUGUGAAUUGCAUAACUAUGCUAAUACCUACUACUUUUUGGUUGGAUGAAAGGAAAGAUCUACUGAUAAAGAAUUAGGUGGGAGAAAAAAAGAGGCAUCAAUUUUUUAACGGAGCACCUGUUUCAGACCAUGCAUAGUAAAUGAUUUCUUCUGGCAACUUGACCAACUGCUUGCUGUAUCAUUUCAUACUGUUCUCCACGGGAUAGUACUCCUGGGUGAGUAGUUGAAAGCAUGGCAACCACCUAUUAAUGAGAGAAUAGACUCAAUGUUUAGUCGAAUGUAUAGUGUGUGGAUGAAAUAAUGGUUCAAUUCGAUUGGGUCAUGACCUGUACUCCAACAACAAUUGGGUCAAGUGAAUACCCAGUUAUACGUCAGUCACCUUACUUUUCAAGUGUAACAAGAAGUUACAACCAGCAUAUGUACGUUACAAGAAGUUAAUAAGUUGUUACCGCUAAUUGAUGUGCUUGUACAGGCACCUUGUCAUUUGCCUGUAUGUUAAAACUUAGACAAUUUGUUUACAAUUGUACUAACGAUGAGUAUUACAGAUAGUAUUACAGGCACUUCAAUAGGUAUUACUCAUUCAGUAUAUAAAUGAACUUACAAUUGGCGGCUCGGUUUGGUUCCACAUGACCACAUAAUAAGUAACAGUUUCGCAGAAGAACAUGAUACUUCGUUGGGACAAGUAAUUUGAAAAUAGGGUAACUAAUAUUUAAAAUGCAACAAAUUUUGAUUACGCCAUGUACAUGUUGAGUUACAACCAGUUAUAUAUAUGUUACAAUUCAUUACAACUAAUGAAUUUGCAAUCGACAGUUUUUCAUCUUAUCUAGUUAAAACUAAUGAUAUUACAAUUAGAAAUUCCCUGAUAUUACAACUAGUGAUACUACAACUAGUUGAUAUCUGAUGAACCUUUCCUCUUCUCUUGUUUGUGCAAUUGCGCUUGGCACAAACAAUAAGUCCUCCCCCAACACAUAAAAUUUCUUAGACACUUUAGUAAGUGUCUAAUGAGAACAUAAAGAUGGUCGAUUCGAACCCCAAAAUAAUUGAUGUAGUGAGGCCUUCUCGAACAUCUCAUUAAAUUAACAAGAUCUUCUCGAACAUCAUGCAACCUAUUGGCUACUAUUUGGCACCCAAGAACUUGAUUUCUGUGUGAGGAGAAUUGAAGAAUACUAAUAAUAAAUUUCAGGCACGGGUUCAUUGCCAGAACGGUGCUCUUCUUUGUUGCACGUCUAGACUUGUGCUUUAUCUCAACGUCAGGGCCUCCUAAAAAGCAAAGAACAUGCAUUUCAUGAGCAAUUUAUUUGUUGUUGUGUAACAAAUUGUAAAGCAUUUUGUAACAGUCUUCAAACACAGUAUAACUAACAGUCUAAAAACACCAAUCAAUUAAUUUUUAAACACACUGUAACUGUCCCAAUAACUAUUUUAUUUUCAAACACACCGUCACUUGUCACAAUAACUAUUUUGUAACAAGCUACAAACACACUGUAACAUGCAAUCAUCAAACAUGGAGUUUUGUAUUAAUUUUCACACUCUAACUUCCCAAUGAAGCAUUUUGUAACAGUCUUCAAUAACAUUCAACUUCCCAAUAACUAUUUUGUAGCAACCUAUAAACACUUCGUAACUAACAGUCUUCGAAUAUGGAGUUUUGUAGUAAUUUUCAAACUAUACUCUCCCAAUAACUGUUUUAUAACAAUUUUUGAACAUACUGUAACUUUUCAAUAACUAUUUUGUAAGAACUUACAAACACUUCGUAACCAACAGACUUCAAAUAUGGAGUUUUGUAUUAAUUUUCAAACUGCAACUUCCCAACUAACUAUUUUAUAACAGUCUACGAACACACUAUAACUUCCCAAAAACUAUUUUGUAACAACUUACAAACACUUCGUAACUAACAGUUUUCAAAUAUGAAGUUUUGUAUUAAUUUUCAAACUGUAACUUCCUGAAUAACUAUUUUGUAAUAGUCUUUGAACACACUGUAACUUUUCAAUAAUUAUUUUGUAACAACCUACAAACACUUUGUAACUAACAGCUUUCAUGUAUGGAGUUUUGUAUUAAUUUUCAAACUGUAACAUUCCAAUAACUAAUUUUGCAACAAACUACAAAUUCACUGUAAAAUGUCUUCAAAUACGGAGUUUUGUAUUAAUUUUUAAUUUGUAACUUCCCAAAUAAUUUUUUUGUAACAAUCUUUAAACACACUGUAACUUCCCAAUAACUAUUUUAUAACAAUCUUCAAACACGAUGUAACUAACAGUUUUUCAAACACACUAUAGCUUCCCAAUUGGCUUAAUAUGACAUUAGGCUUAUCUGGAUGUGGUUGGAAUAAAGUCAUACUUAAUUAUUAUACUCAAUUCAGUUUGUCAGGUCCGCUUUAUAUGCAGCUGACAUUGGUGUGUUAUGACAAUAUGCCUACAAGUUUUCGAUGAUGACUAGCGAGAAUUCAAACCCAUAUAGAUAGCAGCAUGAUGGUAUAAACAGAGUUACCGUGUGUGUAUAUAGCUAUUACAGUCAUGUUUCUUGAAUUAGAACCUUAUGAAUAAUAUAACUGUACCAACCUUUCCGCGUUCGAUCAUAUGACCGCAACCUACAUGGUAUUUCUGGCUCAUGUAGAUGUGACGUCGAUGCACUGACGUUCAAAGGUGGUUGCAUCGUUGAUUCACCUUUUUCGGCAGGUUCUAUGACAUUUGACCUAUAUUGCUCCUGCUCUUGCUCUUGAAGAUGUAUAAUGCUUCCUUGUUUAGUUGUUGUCAUGGUGGCCCCUUGUUGCAAUCCCUGACUGAUGUUAUCGGGCACGACUGAUGAGGUAGGAAUUGGAUUUUUCAUACCCAUUACAUCUUCAUUCAACUCUGGGGUUUGGGAUGGUUUCAAUAUUUGUCCUCGUAUUAGCAUCCUCUUCUUCACUCUGCACUGCAUUAUGCUCGUCUUCUUCAGACUCUUCCGCAUCAGAUUCAUCAGCAUCAUCAUCCUCAUCGUUGCCCCCUUCUUCGGUAGAUUGACAUUUCAGCUCUUCUUCGGUAUCAGGACUCUUGUGCAUUGUAUAGUCCUCAUGCAUAGGUUUUUUUUCCUUUGUCCAGUGCUUCAAGCCCAGAACUAGAAGCUUUUGCUCUUGACUGAGAAGCGAGCAUUUCUGUAAUCUUUAAUAUCCUUCGUUGGCUAUUAACAGCAAUGUUAUACAUCUCAUUUAGCUCAGCCUGCAGUUAUAUGACGACUUUACCAAUCCAUAUAUGACCCACAUGCUCUUAAGAAUGGAAUACAAUAUAGGCAUAUACAAUAGUAUAUUUAAGUGAAAGUUCUUAAUUUAACAUUUGUACUGCUGGCAUAGGUUCUAUAACUUUAAAUUCUAUGGUAAUAAAUAAAAUGGUCACCGCGAACAUUGAAUUUUUAUUUAUUUAUAACAUGAUUAUCCAAAAGAUCACUACAUUUAUGUAUUUACACUCAUCUGACUUAAUUCAAGAUAACUUAUUUGUUCAAUGUAAUAUUGGGAUUGGUUUCAUAUAUUAACAUGUAACUGUAUGUAGAAUGAAGCUGAUAGGCCUAUCAAUGACCCGUAACGUUGACAAUAAUAUGCAGUAAUUACGUCGAAUCAAACAAUAAAUUUCGUUAACCAUGGAACAGACCCACUUACAUCGAUAUCGGCAUGCCCGCUGUUCAUCAGCAUCCCUACCAAAUCGGGGGGUAGUUCAGCAAUCUAGGCACCAUAUUCAUUUUCUUCCGGAUCAUCUCGUCCAACCUUUAUCAUCAAAUUAAACCAAUCUUUUCAAUAGCAAAGCCAUGCAAUACAUACACCAAUACUUUUUAUAUGAAAUGAGGUAAACAAUAAAUAACUUGUUACCAGUUUUCCUUUUUCAUAAGCUCCAAGAUUCUUAAUCUCCAAUGCAUCCCUUUCAGAGAUCAGAGCAUCUGUCCAUGCCUUUGCUCGUGGAGUAGUCCUUGGCACUUUAUGCUUCAGUAUUUGCACUCGGUCAAGAUAAUGAAUCUGCAAUACAAUAGAGCAAUUAAUUCAACUACAGAUAAACUUGACUCCACUUGAACAUCGUUGUAGACGCACUCAUUUGAGCAUAAUCUAAUCAAUCCGUCACACUGAAUUCGACAGAACGUGGAAAUACAGACAGUAGUUUACAUACACGCAAACAUGAUUACUCUCUAGUGCAUUAUCUAACCAUUAAAGCAUACUUCAAUCAUGAUUACAACUACCUAAUCUUAACAACAGAACGAAGAUACAACCGCCAAUGUAUUGGUGCUGCUUUUCACUUUUCUUUUGCACCUCUAGUACCUUAUUGCAUAGUACAAUCCUCACAUACUCUGCCUAGUUCAAUAUAGCCACCCUAUUAACCAAUUGUGUACAGGUCCAAAGCUUUAUUUUGUGCUCGACUCUAGUGCUUGGAGCCAGUAGACAUCCACAAGAAAAUGCCACAAACAGUCGUAUGAAUUCUUCCCCUGCAUUCAUGGCUACCAACUCAUUCGGCAGCUCUUUCCAUUGGUAUGCGACUUCGUCCGGUUCCCCUAACCUUGGUUGUAUCGAUGUCUUCAACUGGAACGGGACCUUCAUUUGGGAUCCCCAGGAUUAAACUAAUAUCCUUGGAUAUUAAAGGCAGCACACCAUCUCCAUGUACAUUCAAAUUGCUCAAUGUCGGAUUAAAAUUAUCGACGAGCCAGGUAGCUAUGCCACUAGGUAUCCAGUGACACUGUAUGUCUAGCAGCCCUCCAAACCCUAUGUCUCUAAUCUGCUGUUUCUUAGUUUCAUCGAUUCGUGAAACUAAGUUUGACAUUUGCUUUGGUGAGCAACGGAUAGUGUACUUCUGAUUCUGCACCAUUUUUUAGAUAUAUGCAUUAGAAAAAUAUAUAGUUUCAUUAAGUGUUUGACGAAUCAUGACGUGUAUUUACCUUGAUCUGAACCCGUGCUUUUCGCACUAUCGGCUUUCCUAAACGUUCCAUUUCUUUCUCGUACUCUUCUAUCUCUUUCAAAUACUCCUCCUUUCGCUUCCUCAAUUCUUCCUCACUCAACUUAUUAUAUGCUGCUCGGACAAUAUCAUUAUACUGCAUUGAAUAAACAAAGUCAAUAGACACGUUAAACUAAACACAGAAUAAUUGCUCAUUUCACUAUUUUUUCGUUAAGCAGCCCAUCAAUUCAAUGAUUGCAGUGUUUAUUUUGUUAGGACAUCAUACCUCUGUCAACUUAACACCCUUCGCCGAAACCGUGCGUUGAUACUCUUUCCUGUCCACAUUCAAAGCUCCAAAGGUAUUUGUGCUAUUUAGUAGCAUUAUUUUUUCCUCAAAUUCAAUAAUCUUACCUGAACUUCAUCCAUGGAUUCAAUGGUGGGACUGGUUCUGCUACCUCGCUUGUUCCCACUGUAACCAUUUUUUCGUCUCCAUCUAAACGAUCAUUCCUUUUAUUGCUUCUUUACCUUCCCAUCCGGCCCCUGAAUAAUUAACAUUGUAAUGCAUUAUAAUGAUGACAAAUCUAACCUGCCACGACCAUACACAAACACUGGCCACUUACCUAUGUGUUCUGUACUACCACUUGUUUCGACGAGUUUUUCUCUGUCUGCUUCCUGAAGUGUGCUUCCUACUCGCAUUCUUGCCAUGUAAACUAAUGUUUUUAACAAAUAAAUUGCACUUCAAUUCCAAAAUUUUAUUUCUAGCCACAGGCAUAAUAUACCAUGAAGUAAUGUUAAACAUAAUAUAUGAGUAUCAAAUAUUAGUCAUACUAGUUAUAGUACAACUUGUAACAUUUUUUUCACACUGAGUAAGUCAUUCUUCACAGUUUGUUAUUUAUUCCAACUACCACUAAUCUACAUAAUCUGUUGUUCUACCUAUCAGAUUGUACUUGGGAUCAACUUCUUCUUCUACUUAUCAUGCUAUUGUACAAUACCAAUGCAGUAGAAAUAGGAGGCAACCAAUUUAUAAUAUUUUCAUGGAAUUUUACAGACCAGUUCUAUUACUGUAACUUCUGACCUACUAUGUGUAACAACUAUCAAAGAUGAUGUCCAACCACAACAAUUACUGUACUAGUAAUCUUCCUUUUCACAAUUUGUUUGCCUCAAUACCAAAGUUUCUGGUUAAUUAUACCCCAUUUAGUUAUUUCAUAAUCUAUUCUCCUACCCAUCAAGUUCGAUGCAAUCACCUUCUCCUUUACUUAUCACCCUAUUCAACAAUACGAAUGAAGUAACAAACCCGUGGAAUAAUUUUAAAGUAUGUUCAGCCAAUUUUACAGAACACUUCUAUUACUGUCACUACUAAAUGACUGCGUGUAACAAUUAUCCAACAUGAUGUGCACCUACAAUAAAUAGCAAGAUUCGUAACUGUUUUUCCACACUGACUAUGUCACACUUCACCAUUUGUUAUUCCUUCUGCCUCAUAUUGUCAACUUAUAAUCUACUCUCAUACUUAUUCACUUCCAACCCAGAAACUUGUCUCUCUUUAUGCAACUAAACCAAUAAUCAUACACCAAUAUAGUACAAAAUAUGAGACGCACAACUGAGUACAAAACAUUUGAACUCUGUUAUUUCUCUGUACCUGUUAAACCACAACAUGUAACAAUUAUCCAACACUGUGUUCAUGCACACGAACUAAUACAAUAAACAUACACCAAUGAAGACCCAAAUACGACAUCCCAAUUUCAAACUAACAUUUCUAUUCUGUUUCUGUUCUGUUCUUGUUAAUCCAUAACAUGCAUUAGUUCUCCAUGUUUUAUGUUUAUGCAUAACAACGAAUGUAGCAGUGUAUGAUACACUCAACACGUUGUACUAUCUACUUACCACAUACUAAUUAUAAUCUACACCCAUGUUUUACACCUACGAACUCCCAAACCCAUGCACACAUUUUCUCAAGCAGUUGUGCCACAAGAAUUUCCCUCCUUUCCUACUCUCCUAUUUCGAUGCUCAAAGACUAACACAUAAUACUCCUAUUACGCUGUACUUAUUAAUUACUAUACACAAAAUCGUGAAGUAGUGAUAUCCCUCUAAGCAACAUCAUACUGUAUGCCAACAACAUUCACAAGUAAGGUCCUUCCAUUUUUUUGUCAAAUUACAUGCAUAGUACUACAUCAUCCUAGGACUCAAAAUUGUUUUACCUAACUGAUUUGCAGUCGUUCACUACUCUGGAUCCCACGAUCUUCCACUCUUCAAACUUGGGUUCACAUUUCUUCUUCUUUAAAUAAACCCGAAUCACCAAAAAAGUUGUCCACGGCUCCACCACUUCUUACUUCUCCUUGCUGUGAUUUUCCUUCAACAAUGCGCACUUCCACAACUUUUCGCAAUGUCACGUUGGAGAGUGUUGGCCAAUCUCCUCUUUUUCUCUGUUAUUUCUCCUCUCGUAGCUUUUCGCAGGCAGUUGUGAAUUUCAGCAACUGCUUUCGUUUGGUUUGGGUGGGAGUCUAAGUGCGACUCUUCAUUUUCAACCUUUCGUUUUGGGCGGGAGGAUGCUUACUAAAGGUGCUAACCUUCUGUAAGUUGCCGUUACCCCAAAUACGUCUAUAAAUUUUUUUUUCACUUCUCACUUACUAAAAUGACAUCGUUUUGGGGUUGCUGAAAGCCUUCUGACGUGGUUCAUUUCUCACAUUUCGUUUCUGUUAGUGAGAUGACCGCUCGGGAACGGACUCGGGGCACGGACGGUUGCACCUGCAACCGUCCCUGCCAAUUUUGGUUAUUAUCAACUGGCCGUAACUUUCUUUGUAUAUCGUGUAACUUUUUUUUCACAGGAUGUAUUUUCACAACAGAUAGUGGUAGGUCCCAUACUUGGUGCGGAAAUCGAGUUACAUGAUGUAAUCUCAGCCGCACAAAAUUUUGAUGGCAAAUCUUAGCCCUUAAUAGUAUGACCGUCCCUGCCCCAAAUCCCUCGGGAACGGUCAAUCUGAUGACCGUUCCCGCCCCAAAUCCAUAUAGGCAUUGUGGAAAAGGGUAUUUGAAUUUCAGAACCAUUAUUCUAUAGAACAACACGUAAAAGGCUUUUUUUCAGGUUUUUGUUUGGUCUGUAACAGGUUCGAAACUGUACAAUAAAAAAAUCAACUCAAAAAAUUAAAAAUUUGCAUAUAGUGGUAAGUAGGGUCGUUUCCAUAGGGAUUUGAGAAAUUUGCUUCUUUUUAGAGUGAUACUUAUGGGGGGAUUUUUGGAAAAUUAGAAAAUAACUAAUUAAUUAACUACGAAAACAAUUCACAAAAAUAAACAUGAAUUAAUCAAUAAUAGAUAUAACUCUAGCCAAAAGUGUAACUUUUCAGAUAGUAUUCACAUAACUGACCAUUAAUGUAAAGAUUGUUCAAUUAUUCAUUAAUGGAUUGGUUAUAACCAUCAACAAACUCUGAUAGUCAAUUUUUUCUUACUUUUUUGAUAGUCAAGAUACGACCGUUAACUAUUUUUUUAACCAAGAAAUAACCCUAGGUACGACCAUAGGAUUUAAUUUUCUGACUGCAUUAAAAACUAGAAAAAUCUAACUCUAAUCAACAAACAUGCUACGAGUGUUUGUUUAAUUAAAUCAUACGUUUCUCUAACAUAGAACCAAUUACGUUAGUUGCCAUUAAUAUUAACCAAUCAAAUAAUUAUGGAUUUAAUUGAUUAAUACAGCAGUAGAUUAUUAGGUUAAUUCAAAUAUCGGUCCUCUGAAAUUCAAAUAACAAAAUAAUCAUAAAAAGUUAAAUCAAAAAACGUAUAAAUUUCAAUGAAUUAAAAGAAAAAAUUAAAAAUCAAUUCGAUGUCACAGAUAUUUAGAACCGCAUAAUCAAAUUGACUUUUGACUAGAAAAGAAAAUUUAAUUGCUUAUCAUUGAGAAAAAUCCCAACGCGAAUUAUGGUGAAUCUCAAUGAACAUGCGGCCACGAAGAAAAGCAAAGAGCAAAGGUUCGUCGUUUUCUUUUUCCUGAGCAAAGAGACGCGAUGUUAUCACUUAUCACUAAUAAAGCUGACUCUAUGGUCCUAACUUUUCUCCUAGUAUGUAGCUAUUUAGAUAAAGUCAACUUCCUAAUUGGAAAAGAAAAACUUAAAAAGAUAAUUUCCUUGUUUUCUAAUUACAUACUCUAACUAAUAAAUACAGAAAUCUUCUUAAUCUUGAGUUAAGGUCCGUUCAGAAUUUGACUCAAAUAUAUAAAUUUGAGAAGGAAUUUUUAGCAACAAGUCUCCACGUAUCUUCCCACUACCAAUUCCAUUUUUCUAGCAUUUCACAUUUAAUUUAAUUUACAAAAUAUAUUCCUCUCAACUUCCACAUCUACUCUUUAUAUUUGAAAUUGUUGGUUACUUUUUAAAAUCAUGUCAUUUCAAAUUGUAUCGAUAUAAAUUUGAGAAGGGAUUUUUAGCAACAAGCCUCCACGUAUCUUCCCACUACCAAUUCCAUUUUUCUAGCAUUUCACAUUUAAUUUAAUUCAUAAAAUAUAUUCCUCUUAACUUCUACAUCUACUCUUCACAUUUGAAAUUGUUGGUUAUUUUUUUAAAAUCAUUUCAUUUCAAAUUGUUGGUUAAUGUGUAUGUUAUCCUAUUUGAACUUCAACCCAUCACGUUUCCGAUUGUCUUGCGUUAUUUAUGAUUUUACAACAAUUAAAACUUCUAUAUGACCAUAAAAAGAGAUAACAAAUAUAACAUCCUUUCAUGCUUUCUUAUUAAUUUAAAUAAGUAAGAUUAUUUACACUCCAUUUUUGUUAUUCACCCUUCAAUAAUCAUUUUGAUCAUAUAAUUUUCAUUAAUUAGACUAUAUGAUAAAACAAAUGGUGGAAUUGUAAAUAAUAAAAAAUGGAGUGCAAAUAACAUUUUCUUUAGUAAGAAGUGACUUCCAUGCCUUUCUAAUUUAAAAAGGUAGUGGCUUCGCUUAUAUAGGAAUUUGGUUUGAAAUUUAAUAGUGGGAGGGUAAAUAAAAAGAAAACAUUGCCAAACUUAGUAAAAGUAAAAAAGUAAAUGAUAAUAUUUUAUCUUUUAACUUAUUAAUCCUAAGUAAAAUGGCAAAAUUAAAUAGCAAACAAAAAGGAACUAAUGUCGUGGAUUUAAAAAAUCAAGAAUGAUACCAUUCAUGAAAUCCAAAUUAUGAAAUCACUAAAUAAAAAACAAAGUACUACUAGCCUUUUAGCUUGGAAUUUUUUUUUGAAAUAUUCAUUUUUGAUAAAAAAAAAUAAUGAUAAUAACAACACCAAUUCUACCAAAAAUUUUUAAAAAAAGUGACAUUAUAGCUUAAGAGAAAGAUAUAAAACAUUCAACCCUAAAAUACUACUUAAUUUGUAUAUAUUUGGCCCAAAUUUGACAUUAGAUUUGAAUAAGAGUGCAAAACCCAAACACUAAGGAUAAGUUUUGGUAUCAUUAAUUAUUUUAUGUAUUCUUAUUGCUGUCUUCAUAUGUAAAUAUGUAUUUGCUAUGUUAAAUAUAUAUAUAUAUAUAUAUAUAUAUAUAUUGAUUGUAGUACUUGAGGAUAUUAUAGUUAUUAUCAGUUUUUCAUUUCCAUUUUUAGAUACUAAUAAUUGCAACCAUUGUAAUUAAUUUUCAAUUUUAUAUUUUCAUUAUGAUAGGUAAAGUUAAAUAUAUUGGGUCACAGAGAUAUGAAUUUAGAGAUUAGGUAAAGGGGGAGGAGAGAGGGAAGAAAAUGGUGAGGAGUUGAAAAAUAGCAAGAAAGGUUGAAGAAAAAAUACGGGUUAUAAGGAUAGACGGAGAAGGGAGAGAAGAAAAAAGGAGAUUGCAGGGAUAUGACAGAGAUGACAAAAAAAAAAAAAAAAUAGAGAGAGCAGUACCAUAAUAGAAGAUAUGAAAGUCGUAUGAGGCAUUGAUGACUAGCUGGCGUACAAGAGAAGAGGGAAAUGAUAGUAAUUUUUAAUAACUUUGAGAAUUCUAAAAACACAUAUUACAGAGAUUUUUUUUUAAAAUAUACGUUAAAGUUUAUGAAAAAUGCUAAUAUAAAUGCAGUCAACAAUUUUAAGGGCACAAUAUAGGAGAAAGGUUUUUUUUCUAAAAAUAGAAGAAAAUAAAUUGGUUAUAAUUUAUUUUUUUAUAUUAUAAGUUUUGAUAUAUGGGUCUAACAUAAUAUGUUUUGUCGGAUAUUGAUAAAUUGACCUUUUUUUAAAAAAACUCUUCUCACCUUACCACCCAACCUAACAUCUCCUUAAAUGCGUUAACAAUUCUUUUAUCAUAUAAAUCAUUAUAGAUUAAAUUUUUUUUCAAAAUAUUAAGCAUACGCUUCUUUAAAAUUUUUAGUCUAUAUAUAUAUAUUUAUUAUUUUGUACCACAAUAUAUAAAUAUAUACAAUAUUAAUUUAAUUUGAAAUAUAACCCGUGCUAAAUUUUUUUUCAAAAUAUUAAGGAUACGCUUCUUUAAAAUUUUUAGUCUAUAUAUAUAUAUUUAUUAUUUUAUACCAUAAUAUAUAAAUAUAUACAAUAUUAGUUUAAUUUGAAAUAUAACCCGUGCAUAGCACGGGUCAAAAUACUAGUUUGACUCAAAUUAGGGAACUUCUACUUGCAGGAAAAUUCCAAGUCUCUUGGACUUGACAGCAGGUCUUGACUGUGCUUACAUCAAACUGGUCCGAAGCCAUCUGAAAAAUUGCCCAUUUAAUCACUUUUUGCUCCACUUUUCUACAAUUAAUGUCAUUAACCAAAUAUAAGUAGAAACUACCAAUUAAUACAACAUUUGAUCAAAAAUCAAGGGGAAAAUAUUUAAAAAAUUACUAACAAAAAACACCCUUUCAGUCCCUAGCAAUUGCAACAUUUUUUUUUAUUUAUUUGAUUAUUUGUUUAUUUCUUUGGCCUUUUCCUUUUGAUCUUUUUCCCUUAAAUGCGAACGCCUUAGGUAUUUCAAUAUGCCAUUGAUUCAAUUUCGCAACUUCCUUUCAGAGUGUAGUAUUACUUGUGCAAACUUAAUGUAUUGCUUUCUUUGGAUCGCAUUGAAUUAGAAUCUCAGUGAUUGACAUUUGACACAAAAUCGUAGUUUACGCAUGCAAUAGCUAAAUAACUUAAAAUAACUUUAACUUUUUUAUUACUCAUUUUAAGCGAAAAUAAAAACUGUACGUGCCAAUUAUUUAAACCAUAUGGUGAAGAUUUUUUUUUUUAGUUAAAGCAAAAUAUUUUAUUUUGUUCUGGGACAGAAGAAAGUUUUUAUUUAGCAGGCCCAUAAUUAUAAAGCUAAAUGAAAAGUUACCUGUUCAAACCUCACUAACAAUGCACAAAAAAUCCAGGGAAGCUGACGGACAUAUUGUAAAGUGUCGCAAUUCAUAAUCGUGAAUGAGUGAUAAUUCUAAAGCAUUAAUACUGAAUUCACCUUCAAUUCAAUUUCAAUGAUCUUAUCCAAAGCCUAAUCGAAAAUUUCCACAAGCACAAAUUCCACUUUUAAUAGAUCCAAAAAUUCUUUUACAAAAUAAUCCACAAGUCCCAUUAACAAAAAAACAGAAAAGGCAGAAAGUUAUCAAUCCAAGAUCCCAGCCUGCUGGUAGCUUUCGACAGAGUCAACAAGAGUUUCUUCCACUGGCCUAUAUCUCCAGCCCAGCCUCUGCAAUUUUCCUGAGCUAACAUUUCCUCGGCCUUGAUCAUCCUUCACCUCUAUAAAUCUGCGAAUAAAUGAACUAUUUGAAGAAUAUAUGCAGACAACAUAAAUAGUUCUUGUAGAGACUCUUAGAUGCCACAUUUAUGGAAAUCAAGAUGGACAUGAACCAAAAAAAAAAAAAAAAAAGAAUCAGGACAAACUGGGAGUCAGAAAAAUCAGACAAUUUCAAAGAUAGUAAUCCACCUCUUAGGGUACUUAUAGUUGGGAUAGUUUUUCCUCAGAAUUUCCACUGUAUCCUUUGUCGUAGUGAGGUGAGAUGAACAUAUGUACCGCCCCUCAGCUUCAGGUCUACCGUAAACCAAAAGCAGUGCUUCAGCCACAUCACGCACAUCUACCAUAUCCCGGAAUUUGUUUUCUAUUUCUUCAUAUCCUUCUGUGCAGCCAGGGAGCGGAAAAAAAGAGCAGUUUAAUCUCAAAAAAUUAUGUUAUCUAAGCUAAUCUCUGAGUUCUUUAAUGCAUAUAUGAAAAAUACAAUUCCUUUGAUAAAUCGUACGGCAAUAAAUUCAUGCGACUUUUGAACUGCAAAGGACCUACAAGUCACAACAUUAAGCUUUUGUAUCUUUAACUACGGCUCAAAGCAAUCAUGCAAACGGUUGAAAGAUGCAACCUCCUCAGAUGCUAUGCCUACCAUCUGUCUCACCUUCCAUUAGGUUAAACUCACAAUUUCACAUCAAUAAAAUUUGAAUAGCUUGUGUAUAUGUCUGGAAAGAUUACAGUGGCAUUAAAAAAAAAAAAAUUUAGCAUCAUUGGUAGUUUAACUUUCCCUGCCAUCAAGCAGAAAAUUGAAUUUCAUUCCCACAGUAAAAAACAGACACCACAAUCUUAAGUUUUUUAUAUCACUUUGCAAAUCUUAAGAUCAUUGUCAAAAUCAUAGACUAUCAGAAUGGCAGACAGCGUAUGGGUUUAGAAUCUGAAAACGUUUCAGCUGGCUUGAAGAUUCAAAAACAAAUGCCAAAAAGACAGCAAAGCAGUUAUCUCCAUGAAUAUAGUUUCAUUCCUAGAAGGUCAACCACAAUCAGAUAGAUGGAUUUUGCAAACUUUAUUGGGCAUCAAUUCAUUGUGCAUCAUGUAAGUAACACUGGGAGCCAGAAGCGUAAAAAUUGAUGGUUUACUUGGAAAAAUAAUUAAUUCAUCUGAGCUCCACAGAGACAUAUAUGCUCACAUAGGCACAAACCAAUAUCUAAGAGAAACCUGUAUCCUUUAUGACCACUUCCACGCAGAAUGUGAAAGAAAGAAAAAUAAUAUGUAAGACAAUGGAAUAAGUUCUCUAACUGACUACAAGCACUAAUAAAUCACCUUUCAACAGCUUUAUAAGAGCCAGACUGCUAGCAUUCACAUCAUGCUGAAGCAUGGGGCCGAGAACAAAGGAUGGGCAUACAGUUAAAACAUCAAGGCCAGUUUCUUUUGCAUAUUGUAAAGCCUCACUUUCAGCAACCGUCUUGGAGUAACAAUACCAGUUCUGAAGAAAUAUUAGUACUAGAUCGUCAGCGAAAAACAGCUAGUAGUUGCAAAAAUCUAAUUUUUCAGCAAUCUUAGAAACUGUAUGAAUAAGACAGUGAAUUUUCUGCACAACAACAAAACUACAGUGCAACUACAAAAAGUCAAAUUAUAUAGAUGCAUACAUUUGUUGUCUUGCAGUAUUCCCCGUCUGACCAACACGUCUCAUCUAUAAUUUCACCUUUAUGCCGAUUAGGACUCACAACAACAGCAGCAACAGAGGAAACAGCUACAACGCGCUUGACAUUUGCUUCAGAACAAGCCUUCAGUACAUUAAGGGUACCCUUUACAGCCGGCUCAACAAGUUCAACCUGCAACAAAUCAUCAUGUUGGCAGACGUACUAGCACUCAACUCAACUCUACAUGCUCAAUUGCUUGUAUUUGCAUAAAAUAUAUCCAGAUAGACAACUAAGUAGUGUCAGUUAACCUGACAUCUUUAGAGCGAAUGAGUACAAAGUUAAAGACUCAUGACUGCUUAUGCUAGUGAUUAACUUGGUUACCAGCAUCAGUUAUUAUUAUAUGCAUUUAUUCACUCAUUUCAACAUUUGAAAAUUCCCUCCACAAAUAGAUAGAAAGGCAAAGAGCCCCAGUGACUUCAUAAGUUUGUACAAAAGCUUUAACAAGAUCCUAUUUUGAACUAUACACAACUUUAGCUCAUGUUUGGCAAAACGCAAAGAAAUAUAAUCUGUAAUGACAAUAGCUGUCUCCCAUAAACAAAAGAUCUGUUAAAAAUGUUAUUCUGGGGAAACCAAAAGAAGGAAAUAUCAUAGCAAUUGAAAAGAUUGAAAAUGGUCUUGCCUCAGGAUUGGGAACAGAGCCUGAAGGAACAGGACUAGCUACAUGAAAUACGCCAUCACAGCCCCUGAUGGCUGCAGAAAUGGAGUUGUAAUCCAGCAAAUCAGCCUUAAAGAGUUUCAAAUUCUCAGCUGCUUUGUCAAGUUUCUUCAGAUGAACAUAUUUCUCAUCCUCUACAAAAAAUUUACAGCAAUGCCCACAUCAUCAAAUAACGAAGCAGACAAUUCACAGCAGGUGCUAUUCUAUAUUUCCUCAAUUAAACAUAUUUCUCAUCCUUCAAAACACAUUUACAGCAACCCACUGCAUCAAAUAGGAAACAGCCAAUUGACAGCAGGCAAAAAAUCAAUUAUUGUAUUAAACGGAAAGAAACAAAUUAUUAAAAAAAAAAACCAAACAUAAAAGAAAAAACCGAGGAGCAAAUUAGGAAGGAAGGGAUAAGAGGAUGAAAUACCUACCGGGAUUUCUGAGGGUGGCAUGAACAGUAUAAUGGCGGGAAAGGAGUAGCUUGACUAACCAAGAUCCCAGGUAUCCCCCUGCUCCUGUAACACAUACUGUCCUGGCCUUCUCAGCCUCCCACGCUGCCAUGUCUGAUUGCUUACUUGUAGCAGUAGUGGGAUUAGUAUUUUAGUACCAGAUUCACUAUAGAUUGAUCAAGAAGGUGGAUAAAGUUUUAUUCUUUUCUUUAUUAUGAGUAUUAGUUCUUUUUUGGUUGGAUAAAGUAGCGAUUUCGCCGAUUCUUAAGGAGGACGAUUGGAAGAGAGGGCGGUUGGAGUAGGAGGAGGAGGACGGUGACGGUGACGGUGACGGUGACGGUGGCGGUGGCGGUGGCGGUGGCGGUGGGAUUUUGAAUGGAUGAGUACUGUAUGUAGUAGCUGGCGGAUUCCAGUGGUUUCUCUCAAUAGUCAAUGGUAAGCUACCAAGCAAAAUAAGCUAAUGAGGGACAAUUGCACUUUACACCCUUUUAAUUAUACCGGAUUCUCAUUUUGAUCACUAUACUUUAAAACAUAAUAUUUUUGUCUCUAAAAUACAAAAUUUGUCUAUUUGAAUAAAAAUUAUAAAAUCGUCGACAGAAUGAGAAAGAUUUUACAUUUUAUAAAUUAAAGUGGAACAUAUUUUAUAUUUUAAAAACUAAAGUAUGAUAGAUUUUAUAUUUUAAUUACUAAAAUGUACUUUUUUUUAAUUUAAAAAAAUACGAUGCAAAUAUGUAUAGUUAAACGUAUGAAAGAGAAAUUAAUACAGUAAUGUUUGGAGGCCGUUUAUAGUUUUUUUUUUAGUAAAUAUUUUCUUGAAACAUUUCAUAUUUUCUUUUUAUCUCACAUAAUUAUGUUGUUAUAAUACAUUUUUCUACAAAAAUUUCAUAAUAUUGCAAUCCAAAUGGGAAAUUAUUUGAACAUAAGCGUAAAAUUUUAUAUUGGGGACAUUCUCUACUUUUCAUGUGCUUAUCAAGUACUGUUAGGAGAAGAAAGCUGCUCGCCAAUGAAAUGUCCUUAAGCAAUCCUAUUUGUUAACCUAUUGCAAAAUUGUAUCAAAUAAAAUUUGGUAUAGAAGGAUAAAAUUAUGAGGAUGUAAAACUUAUUUUGAUGGAAAUAUAUUUAUUUCAUAGUUUUUUUAUCAAGCUGCAAAACAAUUAAGUUUCAUAAAGCUCUAAGAUAAGAGGGAUUUCCUUUUGAAGUUUUAUCACUAGAGACAUAAUUAUGCUAGCACUUAUACUACAGUGAGUGAAUGUACACCUAUUAUUAAAUAUUUUGAUUUAGAAAUAAUGUAUAAGAACAAAACACAAAUUAUAUCAUAAGAACUAAACACAAAAAUAAUAAUAGCACAAGUGUUAAAAACAUUAUUGUAAAAAAUGCUAUGUGCAGUCAAGCACAAAUGACCAAGUGAUCUUUCACAUUGGUAGAUGCACUCAAAAGAGGUAACUGGACAAAGUAAAUCAUGCACUCAAUUUUGUGCAGCUUUAAUGUAUAAUUCUUGAACAUUCACAUAUGGAAUAUAUUGAACAUUCAUAGAAAUAUUCUUAAACACUACUAUCAUGGUUAGAAUAUUUUUUCUUUUCAUCAAUUUUUGCAAGUAAUUUAUUGACAAUCAUUUCAAAAGGUAACAUACGUAACAUUCAACGUACAUAUUUUUGUGUUUGUAUUAUUAAAAGCGUUGGCCAUUUUUUCGUUUGGAUUGCUUUUUUUUUUUUAUCAAAAUUUUUUUUACAUUUUUCAUGAAUACAUUUUCUAAUAACAUUUUUAUCUCACAUAUAUUAAAUCGCUAUAACACAUUUUUUUUAAUAUAAAACUCCAAAAAAUAACAAUCCAAACGGGCUAAUUUUUGGUGGUUGCACGACAUUUAUAAUUUACAUAUGCUUUCUCCACUUUGACAAUUCAUACAUUCUCAAAUCCACUUUGAAUUGACUAUUACCAAAUUAACAUGAAGAAUAAAUGACAAAUUACAUGAAUGAACUCAUGUACCAUUUCUCACAAAGGAUAGCGUUUCACAUUUAUUCACUGGUAAUUUAAAUACAAUACAACAUUGCCUUGGCUUAGAUGCUAACUAAAUUCUUCUCCCUGAAGCUUUCAAUCGUAUCCUUUAAGCUGACCUCCAAAGGAAUAAAUUGAACUCCUAAAUUCUUUGCCUUCUCGUUGGAUACUGUGUGGGCCGGAUAAAAAAGGUUGCUAUUGUCCGACAAUCUGUAGUAUGUUAAGAAAAUUCAGAAAGGACAAGUAAAUAAAGCAUAGUUGAAAAGAAAAUGCUAAUGUAAAAUUAAACUCCACAAAAUUUGCAGGAGACAGUAAUGCUUCACAAGCAUUUUGCCUUUACACAAAAUUUCUGUCAUAUAUGGUAAGAAAAUUUAGUUUAAAACUUUUGUUACAAUCCAUUAUAUCAAAGGGCGAAUUGCAUGGAUUAAUGGAAGGGAUGUAUUUAUAUAAUUAACUUUUCAACUUUCCAUAUGAACUAAAACUAGAAAAAGACAAAAUCAGAAAAUGCUGGCUGAGACAAAACCUGGCAAACAGAAUCUUAGGUGACCAGAAUCAAAUUCAUUUCCAUCACCUAAAACUCAAUUAUCUAUAAUUUGCAGAGGAAACCAAUUUGGAGAUCCUUCUCCCAAGAAGAACAGUAGAAACAAAUUUCAAAUUUGAGAAAGAGCUCAUUUGAUGAGAACAUGAGACAAAAGAUGCAGAAAAUUCUGGAUUUGAUUCUGGAUUUGAUGUAUGUACUUUGUUAAAUACAAACAAAAAUUAUGAGAUACAUCAUGAAGGUGCAUAUUGCCAUCAACAACAGCCUAUAAGGACAUAUACUGACAAAAUUGACAAGGAAAAAGAGACUUACUUAUCCAGAAAUUUAUGAGCAGGGUAAUGUCCACGCAAAAUGUUGAUGACCUGAGAGGCAUGUGCUGAUCUCCCAACCAGACAAUAUCUUCCACUUGCAGAAGGGAUUUCAAGGGCAAGAAUAUGCGCAUAGGCAACAUCUCUAACAUCAACCCAUCUAAGAGUUGCAUUAGGAAAUGCUCCAGCCCCUGCAUUAAGUAGAUAAGUUAAUGAGAUCUUUAAGCAUAUAUACUAUUGUCAUUUCACCUCUCCUCUAGAUAGGCAAACAAAAGAAAUUUCCAAUUUUAAGUUCCAGAAGAUUUGAAUUAGCAAUCACUUCUUGAAAUGAAAGUCCUAUCAUCACGGUACAAGGUGGCCAUUUGACUCCAAAGACUCCUUGUCAAUGGGAAAAGUAAUAAAACAAGCUGAUUAGCAAGUAGUCUUAAGACAGGCAGUGACAACACAGAAUGAAUUUUUCCUGUCGGUGCCCUCCCAAAAAAUUCCUCAAGGAAGAAAAAGUUAUAACAUCUUCCACCCCAAAAAGUGUUGUUCUUCCUGAAAUUUUCAUAGAAUCUCAAUGUCACAAAGAAUAGAAGAUGCAAGCAACAUGAAUGUCAGAAAAAUGGUUGGACAGCAAAGCUUUUUGGCAUGACCAGCUGAUAGACCAGAUAGCUUGAUAUAUCAGUUCACAUUUCUAUCAAUGUCUGUCAAUUAAGUGCUCCAUUACAAUAAUAAGCUAGCAGAACCUUACAAUUUUAUUAGUGUCAUAGAUACUUUGUUGUAUGAUAACAGAGACAUUUUAGUUCAUGAUAAAGCUAUAACAAAACACAGAUGAACAUCAUCUAAUACAGCUCACGACAUACCAUUCACUAGGUUGAGAAUGAAUUCUGUGCUGAGAUUAAUAGAUGGCUGCAAGACUGGACCAACUACGAAUCCUGGAUGAAUUGUGAUUAUCUCAAUGCCAUGCUCCUUUGCGAAUUUCCAUGCAGCAUCCUCUGCCAAGGUUUUUGAAAGUGCAUACCAAGACUACACCAUAAAAAUUGUUAAAAAGUUGGUUGCUUUGUAGCCAAAAAUACAUAGUUUUCAGACUCAAUUAAGAAGUAAUAUUUAAAUUUUUUAGAAAAUGGAAAAACCUGUUUCCAUCAUUUGGAGCUACUACUUAUGCGGCCAUAAAGCACAAAUUGAAAGCAUGCAUAUUGGAGAAGCUAUUUUACAAAUUAUUAAGUAGAUUCUCAAGGAUGCUAAGAAUGGUAUUGAUUUUUCCUUUUAAGACUCACCAAUGUACUUUAAUUUAAUUAUGUGCAAGGGAUGAUGCAAAGCACCAGUGUUAACAUACUCCUGAUAGUAUGAUCUCUUCAUCCACGAGUCGACACAAAAUGACAAAGGUAUUUGACUUGUGACUGAUCAAGCCAUAUUCAUGACUUUCUAGCAGAAGUUCCUUGACAUUUGACCAAGCAAACAUUGAUCAUCUUGCAAUGCCUUUCCAGACAAUAAUGUGGAACUUGAUUCUACAGCUUCAUUUAGGAGAUGCGCCGUUGACUAUUCCAUACUUUAUUAUCUCUUUCCAAUUAAAGCUAAGCUGUUACUUAAAGGAAGAAAAGAAAGAGGAUCCACCUUUCUGGCCUGCCCUUUAAUCAAAGGAUUCUAUCAAUUACAUUGCCCCAAAAAACAUCCUUCUUUCCUAUAAAAGUACCAUGAAGCCAUGAAGAUCCUAUAUUAAUUUUCCCCAUACUUGGACUAAGCUCCUCAGACUUUGUCCAAUAACAAGUUGAAACUACAGAAAUCUAGCAUUCCAUAUAUACAUAAUUUAACAGGUAGAAAUAGAUGAUAACAUACCUUCUGCUCCUCACAGUAUGAUGGAUCAGAAAACCAACUUUCAUCAACGACCACGUUCUCCUUUAAUUCUCUAUUGUUUGAAACUGCAGCCAUAGAAGAUGUUAUAACAACUUUUUUUAUAGAUGAAACUUUUUCACAUGACCGUAGCACAUUGACUGUUCCUCUGACUGCAGGUUCCAGUAGUUCUGCCUAGAAAAUGAAACAAAGACAAAAAACGAAGUCAUUACUGGGCAACAAAUAAGCCUAUGCUUGCAUCCUGCACAAUCAUGUUGGUAUUCUGAUUUUAGAUUUUACUAUAAAUUCUGUACCCUUUACCAGACCAUGUCUCCACCACAGUAACAACUAAAAGCUCAAACAAGUCGCAGAACUGGUUCCCUAGAAGUUUCAAACAUCAGCUAGCUAAGUACAGUGAAAUCAUGGCUUGAAAAACACAGAGAGAGAAAAUAGAAAAGGUGUUGCUCCUACAACUCCUGCAAAGAGAUUUUAGCGAAAAAAUAAACAGCGAGCAAUAUAGGGUUACUAUCAAACUUAUUUGGAAUUUUCUUUUGAUGUCUACGAGUCAAUGGACCAUGAACUAGCUAGAUAGCCUUGUUCAUUAAAAUAACUAAAAUCAAACUUCUAGUGAGUUACUUAAAGGGGAGCCCCACAAACGCAAUUAGAGAAAUGAACAAGGAUAGGCACACUACGUAAAACCAUAAGGCACAAUCAUUAGCAGAUAUGAAUCAAUUAACAAAGGAAGAUGCAUUCAAUCUGCAGAUGCUCAAAUGUAUGUUCAGUUGAUAUGAGAUUCUUAAUCAUUAUAAUUUGCGUACUCAAAAACCAGAAUUCUAUAUUGACUAACAGAUUAGCUAGCCAAAGCAGGGACUUAUUUGCUACAGGGACAAGCUUAAACCUAGCUCUAGCACCUUACACUGACUGAAUAAUGCAGAAAUAUAAUUCGAUAGAUCUUGUCGACAAGCCCACUUGUAGACCAUGGGAAUGUGCUCAACUCUUAAUUUUUUUCAUUGCCUAACAUCAACAUUCUUCCAAUUGUAUCUCUGAAGUAGCAAUAGCUAAAUCAUUUACUAGAGAUCUCAUAUAUAGGUAUCCAAGAUAAUGAAGCACGAAGCAUAUCACAGUCUUCUUACCGUGACCUUCAGGAAGAGGAUUGUGCAUCUACAGACUUUAAAGAAAAAUUCUUCACAGUUUUACCCUGGAAACUAUAUUACUCUCUUCCAUUUUGCAUAAUAAAAGAGAAAUCGAAACACAUCAUAAAGCCAUAGAAUUGGAAAUAAGAAACUCCCUAUUUGUAGUCAGUAUUGAUGCUUUAACAUCAUAUAAAUCAAAGUCCAAAGGAAUAUAUAUCAUCCAAAAAAGCAAGUAGAAAUGAAAUAUUGGCCGGCAAUAGAAGAAUAUAGUAAAAAAAAAAAGUAGUAGUAAAAUUAGAUAUUCUACAAAGCAUGUCAAGAAUUUUAAAUUCCGUUGAAUAGAAAGCAAUUUUUAUUGACAAUAAAAAAUUUCCAGUUUGGUAAAGAAAAUGCACCUCUGGAUUGCUAACUGAAAGUUGAACUGGAGAUGCGGUAUGGAAAACACCUUCACAUCCCUCAACUAUUGCAUCAAAGGAUCCCUCUUCUAAUAAGUUUGCCGAGAACAAGUGAAGCCUUUCCUUUGCUCCAGCAAGUGAUGUCAAAUGCUGUGUCUUUUUUGGAUCAUCUGUGGCAUGAUUGCAUCAAGGAGAGGUUCAGACCGCUACAAUUAAUCCCAAGCUAUCUUAGAAAAGUCUAUCAUGUUUUUACCAUGGCUAUAUUUAAGGAGACUUGGACCCAGAGUAAAUAAUGGAAGAAUCCCAAUGCAACAAUAAAGUGAUUACUUGUAUGGAUACAAUAACAUUAUAGAAAUUUCCUUUUCUUUUAACCUUUUUCCUACUCGUUUUGUGUUUUUUUUUUUUUUUUGCUUGCCCAAAUUCAUUCCUAGUUUUAGACCACCAGCCUUUCACCUUUAAGCAUUGGGAGCCAAAAAUGCAGAUAAAGAUGAACACAAGGUGAUAACACUGCAACUGACCCUGAAGUACAGGGCGAAAAUCCCACUUAAGCCUUGUCCAUACUGGCCUAAAUACAAGCACAUGGCAGAAAAUCUACUUGCAAACAAGAGAAGCACAGGUAAAUCAAAAUCUGCACACAACACAACAGAGAUAGUACUUGAGGAGUACAAAAUAAACAUACUGAGAUCACGAACGGAAGCUUUAACAGUAUAACCCCGCUCAAGCAGCAGCUUCACCAGCCAUGAAGCUAUGUAUCCCGAAGCUCCAGUCACGCACACCACUUUCCCUUCUCCUGCUGCUGCUGCUGCUGAGCUCAUUUUGUUAGUGCUGCGUUUUUUCUGUGUAUAUUUUGCCUUGGGUCCAUACCACGAAAGGCUUGGGAGCUUAUAUAUAGCAGUAGACAAAUGAUACUGUUGCAAUUUGCUUGGCUCAUGGAUGACGUAUGCUUUCAAGGUUUUGGCGGGGUUCGGGCGGCGGGGGGAUUGGGGUGUGAGGUAAACGGUAAUACUGGUAUAGGCAUGCAUAUAAAAUUUAUAUGAAAUUUGAGCGUGUUAUUUAGUAUAGUGGAUGAUUUCUAAUAAUCUGUUAAUGAAAUUUAGUUUUACAAAAAAAAAAGUAAAAAAAAAAAAUAUAAUAUUAUCAAGUUAUAGUAAAACUUGAUAUAUACAUAUAUAUAUAUAUAUAUAUAUAUAUAUAUAUAUAUGAAUAAAAUAAGAUAUUUUAUGCAUUCGAAUACAAUAACAUAAUCUACUUGUACCAUUAUCAGGUGUUUAACAGAUUUAUUAAUGUAUAUGAAAGUGUUAGAUUUUAUCUCAUAUUUUUCCCAAUUUAUGACUUUGACUUUAAACUGAUUAACUCAUAAGAGAAUAAAAAACCAUCUGGUUGUCGAACUGGACAAGUAACAAAAAAUCAUGUCCAUGCAUGACGGGUUUUUGCUUCCCAUUCUGAUUCAAAUUCUAUAAUAUGUACCAAAGUUUGAAUCCUCAAUUAGAACUAAAAGAUAAAUCGAAUUACUCAAGACUUAAAUCAAGUUUCACUAAGUAAGAGUUCGUUUAAAUUUGACUUGCGAACUAAUUAAGUCAAGUUAGAACAAUAUUUUAUGCUUGAUAAAAAUUUUUGGUGUAGGCCGAGCUUAGCUCAAUGAUCAUAAAAUUGGGAUUUAUUGGUAAAAAAAUUUAAAUUACUCGAAUUCGACUCAAUAAAAAUUCUUUUGAGCUUGGCUCAAUAAAUAAACAAACCAAUCUUAAAUACUAUCUCAAGUUCAUUAAAACAAAAUAUAUUUAAUAUAUUUAGUUUGAUUACACAUGUUUACACCCUUUUGUUUUUCAUAUGGUCGAUAACCAUGUAAUUCUGCACUGGAGCAGAUCUGAGUAAUGUACCUAACUCGUUGAGUUUUGGGACAUGUUUAUCAAUUUUAUUGUGAUGGCAGGUGGCAUUGGCUAAAUGAAGACAAAGUGUUGGCACGAAAAAUCCCCCUGCACACAGCGGAAACAAUUCUAACGCAUAUAAAAAUAUGCGGAAAGAGGAAGAGAACAAACACUCAAUAAUUUAUUUAACUCAAAAUAAAUAUUAAGUCGUAACAUUUUACUCAUAAUAACUCACAAAUCUCAACUAUGAGAUUUUCUCUCUCGUCUAAUCUCUAGACUCAACUCAACUCUACACAUCACUUCUCUUCACCUCUCUUCCACUAAUAACCUACUAGACUACUAGUAUUUAUAGACUCUAAAACUUCCUAAAACAAAUAUAAUUGUAAACCAAAACUUAUUUGGAAACUGACUUGAGAUUUCCUAAUCUAAUAUGGAAACUAAACAAAUAAGAUACCAAAUAGGAUUAGGAAACUAAAUACUAAAAUAGCUUGGUUUAAUUUCCUUCAUUGCCUCCCUUAAACCAAGCUUUUAAUAUUAUCAUCUCCAAUGCCAUCACGAGCUUGAAUCUCCAUGAAAAAUUCAGUCACACUAUAAAUGAUAUGGAGUUCUAACUUACAAUUGACCUUCAAUUUCAUCUUUGCAUGUUGUAGUGGACGAAACUUGUACUUCUCAAACAGUUUCUUGGCUUGAUCACUCUUGUCAAAAAAUUCAAAUAUAUUCACCCAUACUCCAUAAUUUAAUUCAUCCAUGUCACCAAGAAAAUCUCCCAAAACCAGAAAAUCAUAGUUGAUGCUACCAAUGUUUUUAACAUCGCCAUGUUUUUCCUCUACUUUUUCAACACUAACAACUGCAUCAACUUUAGCAGUAUCACAACCUUCAAUUAAUUUGUCCACCUCACAAUUGAUUUCAAUCAAGUCCAUCACUUGAUUUUUCUCGUCCAAAAAUUCAACAGUCUCGAUAAAGUCAACAAUUUCUCUAUCAUCAUGAUUUUCAACCACAUCUUUAAUUCGAUCAAUGCUUUCACUUUCUUUCUCAACUACUUGUGAAAUUUCUUCUUCAAUCACAAUUUCUUCACCUUUAUGUGUAUCCACAAUUGCUUCAAUUUCUUCUUUCUUUGCCUUAUCAAAAACUUCUUUUUCUUCUUCCUCGUCACAAAUUUCUUCUCCACCAUGACCAUAGGAAUUUGUUAAAAAUUUCCAAGCCUCCUUCGCUGUCUUUACAUGUAUGAAUUUUUUGGCUACAUGUAACUGGACUUGGGUAUGGAGAUAGUAUAAUGCCUUAUAGUUCAACUGUCUAUUCCUCUCUAAUUGUUCAACUGCAUCCCUUGAUAAUUUCGUGCCUUCUAUAGGUUCCAUGAACUCCUUUUGGAUAAUAUUCAAAACUCCAAUAUUUUUGAAAAAAUUCUUCAUCAUCGAUCUCCAAAUCUCAAAAUUGUUUUUACCAUCAAAGAUAAAUACACCACAACGUGGUAAAUAAUGCGGAUCCAUAUUUUAAUUUCACAAACAAGCUCCAAGCCCCAAUUUUGCAAACAAGCCCCAGGAUCAAAGCCUAGAGCUUUGAUACCACUUGUUGGCACGAAAAAUCCCCCUGCACAUAGCGGAAACAAUUCUAACGCAUAUAAAAAUAUACGGAAAGAGGAAGAGAACAAACACUCAAUAAUUUAUUUAACUCAAAAUAAAUAUUAAGUCGUAACAUUUUGCUCAUAAUAACUCACAAAUCUCAACUAUGAGAUUUUCUCUCUCGUCUAAUCUCUAGACUCAACUCAACUCUACACAUCACUUCUCUUCACCUCUCUUCCACUAACAACCUACUAGACUACUAGUAUUUAUAGACUCUAAAACUUCCUAAAACAAAUAUAAUUGUAAACCAAAACUUAUUUGGAAACUGACUUGAGAUUUCCUAAUCUAAUAUGGAAACUAAACAAAUAAGAUACCAAAUAGGAUUAGGAAACUAAAUACUAAAAUAGCUUGGUUUAAUUUCCUUCACAAAGGACAAGGACAAAAAAUUCGCUGUGGAGACGUGAUCUGUGAUGCAUCUAAAUAAAAUAUUUCAAAUAUUCUAGUACUUUAAUGUGAUGUGAUUAUAGAUUAUUGUGUACAUUAUUCUGUAUAUCACACCUGUGUAAGCUGAAUAAAUUGAACCAUGUUACAGUAUCUUUUUUUAAAUUAAAAUUUAGAAUUUUGUGCCAAAUUCUUUUACAAUAACAAAUUUAUUUAAACAUUUCAUAAAACAUAAUUUAACAUGACAAAUUUUAUUGUGUAUGGUAAAUUUUUAGUGGCUAGUAACCCUUUUGAUAUUUUUCAAUUUAUUGGAUAGCAACUUAAUAUAGUUAUAUACAUAAACAUAGCAAGUGUACACACAUUUUUUUAAUCUUUUUAUUUCUUGUUUUUGUGGGGAAAUAACUAAAGGAUGUGUUUGGAUAGGAGACUAAUAAACUUUUUUUUUUAAUUUUCCUCGUGCCCAAUUGCAGGUUAAAAGGAAGAACUCUCCACCACCUACAGUUGAAAAACAGAUUUAGUCUUUUUUUUGGUAGCCACUGAAUCAAAACUUAGUGAGUCUACUUGACUGGAUUUUCCUUUAGUCAUACCAUUUUGUCAUAAAAAGCGACAGAUUGUUUCUUCUACCUUAGCUCACUGCACACGCCAUGGUCUACUUGAUUGCGGGUUUUCCUUUAAUUGCACCUUUUUGUCAUUAGUGACGAUUGCUUCUUCUAAACCUUAGCUCACUGCACAGGCCAUUCGUUUGAAAGUUAAUUGUUACUGUUUGGUGAAGAGUCAAAGUUGAAAUUGGUAAUCGCCGAGCAAUUCAUCUUUUGACUCCUUGUAAAUACCUGAUGAUACUUUUUUCUACUCAUCAGCACCCAAAGCUUUUCUAAGAUGAGCUUUAGUGACAUUUCACUGUAAUUUUGAAGUUUGAAAAGAAACGAUGUUAUCAUCUCCUUUUCUUUUCCUAUUGUCGCCCAUUACUAGCGUCACCUUUGGAAUGAAUUGCUUCCUAACAAUUCGGAAUUGAGAUCUGCAUCUGGUUUGGUUUGCUUGUUAAACCGAACUUAAAUUGAACUCGACAAGUCAUGCAUAACAAUCGUGUGAUUCUAUUGAUAUAUGUUUUUUUUUUUCGGGUUUUGCAGGUUGGUUGAACAAUUGUUCAAGUUCUUGUCUCGGUUUUUACUGCUUCACCAGUAUGUGGAUGUUGCUGCUAAAGAAAUUUGCAUUUGUCGUUAGAAGAAGAAUUUUCUGUUUUAUGACUGGCAAGUGAUUUGGGUCCAUCUAUUUUAGUGCUUUGUUUACAAUUUAAUUGGGUUCAAUGGUCCAUCCACAUCCGAACUUAGAAUUUAUCCUUCUAUUUGCUUUUGCAUGAGCAAAGAUUAGCGAUUUUUAAUCAUAAUUCUGGAUUCCUCUAUUCCAGCUGUAUAUAGUGAAGAAAUCUAUCCCGUUGUAAUUGUGUAUUUGCACACCAAAACAUCAUUAGCCCGUCUACUUUUGACAUUGUUCUUGAAUUACUCGGUAUAGAAUGUGUAUUACCUACUGCAUGCAAAUGCAUCAUCGUUAGCAAUGACUAAACAGAAAAUAUGCCUGUAAUUACUAUUUUCAACUGAAAUUAGCAUCUAACUUAUAAUGAUCCACAUUGGUAUUGACUAGAACUAAGUGAUCACUAGCCCUCUUAUUUUGCAUUUGCAUUAAUCCAAUAUCAUCAAACUUCUUCAAAUGGGCUCUCUAGCUACUAAGGAUGCAUUUGAUAAAAUUGAAAUUUGAAAAUUGAAAUCUGAAGUCUGAAUCUAUUAAGUUAUCGAAUUGUUAAGUAUUAAAUCAAGUACAUUUGAGUGUAUAUUACAUUCAUUGAUAAGUGAACAACUUAUCAUUUAUUUUUGAGAACAAGUUUUGGUUAGGAAAUUCAGUGGUACUUAAUUAAUUCAAAUGUUCAAUUUUUAAUUAGCAAACGCAUCUAAAUAUAUUAAGUUUAAGUACUGAAUUGCAUUAUCAAACAUGGGCUAAGUACUAACCUCCCUCAAAAAUAAUUUAGACUGACUGUUGUGUUGAUGUUGCAAUUGCAGGAGGUUCAGAAAGGAUCCAAGGCCUCACAAUUUAUGUUUCGUACAAAUUUUGCACAAGUUGACCUUUGGUAUAAAUUAGUCGGAUUUCGGUAUAAAUCAGGUCUAGUUCAAUGUAAAUUAGGUGUAGUUCCGUGUAUCUUAAUUUGUUAUUAUUUGGUGUAAAUCAGGUUCAUUUUGAUAGAAGUUGAUUAUUAUCAUUAAGUAUAAGUUAAGGACAAUUUGGUGUAAAUUGAGAAUAAAUUGUUAAUUUACACCAACUUGUGCGAAAUGGAACUUGGGAGGCCCCGUUUCAGUUCAGAAGAUAAUGAAAUGCUUGUCAAAGAUUUCUCAAGGUGUUAGGCCUAUGUUCUAGGAGUUACUUAACCUAUUUCCAUUCUUCUCGGAUGUUGUUUAUUGUUAAAAGUAAAUAAGCAUUAUGUCAGUUCAACUCAUGAGCUGUGCUGUACCUGAGAUAAUAGUAGUUGUCUUCAAUAAAAUUUUUCAAAAAUUUAGCGGCUCCAUGCCUAGUUCUUUGAGCAUCAAGGUGUUUUUGAUAAAAUUGAAGUCUAAAAACUGACAUUUGAAGUCUGAAUUCAUUACAAUAUUGAAUUAUUAAUUAUUAAAUCUAAUAGAUUUGACUAUAUAUCACAUUCAGUAAUAAAUGAAUAGCUUAUUACUUAAUUCUGGGAGCAAGUUUUGUUUGGAAAAUUCAGUGCUACUUAAUUAAUUCCGAUGUUCAAUUUUUUGUUAUGAAACGCAUCUGAACCUAUUAAAAUUUGAAUCCAUUAAAUUUAAGUGCUGAAUUAGGUUAUCAAACAAGGCCUAAAUUUAGUAGCCGCUGCAUUCGGUACCUAAGUUAGAUUCUUUGGUGCAUAAGAACUAGGCACAGCAUUAAACAUGCCUAGUUACUGCGCUGCCUAAGAAUAGGCAUAGUAAAUAAGCAUCUAUUCUUUGCCAAAAUUUAGCGGCUUCAUGCCUAACUUCUUGGCCAGAAUCCAAACAUAUGGUUUACUGAUCUAUUCUUCAUGCUUGCAUGAUCUCUUUUAUCUCACACAUUCUCAUCAUCAUACAUCUUAACACUUCUUGUAUCCAGUAAAUUCCUGAUCAUUUGCUCAAUGCAAUUCAUGGUCGCUUUGUCUUAGCUUUGCCUGUAUCCAAAUAAACUUAGAUGACCUUUUUGAAGAAAUUAAGAAACAUAUGUUCAGCCAUUGAAAUGUCAAGCAGUAUUGAUUGUCUUAAUUCAGUUUCUCAAAAUUCCGUUUGGAUAUUUACCUUCUGCAAAUUACAUUUGCAAGUUUUCCAGUAACAUUUCCAACUUAGAUUGAAUUGUCUUCAUUAUGUUUUCAAUUAGAAUGAAAACUACCAAUGAACACUCAACAGUAUUCCGAACACCCGUCUUGGCACCCCUACGCAUCCGUGAGGGCACACACCUAGUAUUCAUGCAGCAGCUGUUGAUAAGACAGGACAUAUCUGAAGAACAACAGAUACUACAAAUUGAAUUCAGAACAUGAGAGUUGAAUUGCGUAUGAUCAAAUUAACAAUGAAGAACAAAUGACGAGUUACAUGAUUGAACUUAUUUUAUCACUUUGAAACAAAGGAUGAUGUUUCACAUUUAUUUAAUAGUAAUUUGAAUACAAUAGGCUUAGAUACUAACUAAUUCUUCUCCCUGAAGCUCUCAACCGUAUCUUUCAAGCUGACCUCCAAAGGGAUAAAGUGAACUCCCAAAUUCUUUGCCUUGUCAUUGGAUAUUGUACAGUCUGAAAUAAUAAGGCUGCUGUUAUCUGACAACCUGUAGUAGGUUAAGAAAGUUCAGAAUUAACAAGUAGAUAAAGCAUAGGUGAAAAGAAAUGCUAAUGUGAAAUCAAGCUCUGCAAAAUCUGUUGCAGACAAUAACGAGUAUUUUGCCUUUGUACAAAAUUUCUCUAAUAUAUGGAGAUCAUUUAAUCUAAAACUUUUGUUAUAAUCCAUUUAAACUUUCUGCAAAGGGCAACGUCGUGGAUUAAUCGAAGGGAUUCAUGUAUCUAAAGUUUGACUUUCCUUAUGAGCUAAAACUAGAAAAAGACAAAAUCAAAAACUGGCUCUGCAAAGUUCUGGUAAUUUGAAAGACCUAUCGAAAAGAAUUUUACUUGAUCUGAAUCCAAUUAAAUACAACCACCUGAAUUCAAACAUCUAUAUUUUGCAGAGAACCAUUUUGGUGAUCCUAGUCAUUAGAAUAACCUAAUUCUAGAAACGAAGCUGAGAAAGAGCAUACUGUGCUACCAAAAAAUGCAGAAAAUUCUGGACUUGAUACACUUUUUUUAAGCUUGAAAUUGAUACAAAAAGAUGUGAUAAAUCUUGGACCUAUAUACUGCAACAGCAACAAGCCUGUAAAGGCUUACACCGACGAAAUUGACAAGGAAAAAAGGACUUGCUCAUUAGGAAACUGGUGAGAAGGGUAAAGUUCAUGCAAAAUCUUGAUGACCUGAGAGGCAUGGGCAGAUCUCCCAACCAGGCAAUAUCUUCCACUUGCAGAAGGGACUUCAAAGGCUAGAAUAUGUGCAUAGGCGACAUCUCUAACAUCAACCCAUCUAUGCGUUCCAUCAGGAAAUGACUCAGCCCCUGCAUUCGGUGCCUAAGUUAGUAGCAUCAUUAUGUAUCUCUUCUAGCGUCUUUUUAAUGCACUAAAGUAUACGUACAAUUAAACACCAAUGGUCUCAGUCACUGGGGAUAAACAAAUGGCAGAGAUGAAAAUGUUCAGAUCUAGAAUCAACGGCCUGCCCUUUAUUUUUUUUUGGAGAGUCUCUUGGUUCUAUUUUAGUGCAAUGCAAGGCCCACAACCAUGAAGAGGGAGAGUUGAGGAAUGAACCACUUGAGACAACCGUCAUAGUUAAUUAUUGGUUGAUCAUAAGAACUAUUACUCCAAUGAACUUCUACUAGAACAGUUGGGCUAACAGCAUGUCUUAGUUUUAGAAAGACCAAUUACUAGGCAAAUAACACAAGUACAAACACGACAAGACUGGUUGUCCUUCAACUAAAACAGGGGUUAAACAUCGAAAGCUGAAGAUACUUGUCCCUAAACCACUCCUCUAGAUAGACAAAAAUAAGAUAUUUGCAAUUUUUUGUUCCAAAAUAAUUCAAAAAUCAACCACUUCUUGCUUUACAAGUCCUGAAGUCAUUGUACAAAGUGGCUAUUUGGGUCGAAAUAUUUAUUGUCAAUAGGGAAAAUAAUAAAAGAAAUCUGAUUAGCAAGUAAAUUCUUAAAACACAGGCAAUGACUACACGGAAUGAAUUUUUCCUGUCAGUUCUGCCCGCAAUUUUUUUUUUUUUCUCAAGGAAGACAAAAUCAUAACAUAUUUCACCCACAAGUGUUUUUCUUCCUGUAAUUGCCACGGAUAAUGUUGAAGCAUAGAAGAUGCACAACAUUAAUUUCGAGGAAGAGGUUAGACAGCAAACCUUUUUAACAUCACCAGCUGAUCAGACCAUAUACCUUGAUAUAUCAGUUCAUAUUUCUGCGUAUGUCUGUCAGUUAUGUAUUCGUUCACAAUACAAAGAUAGCAGAGCCUUACAGUUUUACUUUGAGUAAUAAAUUCUUUGUUGUUUAAUAACAGAGAAGAUUUUAGUGCAUGAUAAAGCCAUAAGCCUAUGACUAACACAGAUAAAUAAGUUUAGACGGAUGGUGAUAACUUAAGUGAUCUAAUAAUUUCUGGAGCAUACCAUUUACUAGGUUGAGGACCAUUUCUACACUCAGAUUAAUAGAUGGCUGCAAGAAAGGACCAAUGACAAAUCCUGGAUUGAUUGUUAUUAUGUUGAUGCCUUGCUCCUUUGCGAAUUUCCAUGCAGCAUCCUCUGCCAAGGUUUUUGAAAGUACAUACCAAAACUACAAAAAAGAGAGAGAGAGAGUUAAAAGUCUGUAUGACAGAAGAAAAUAGUUGGAUAUUAAAAACUCAUUUAAGAAGUAAUGGUAAAUAUCUUAUGUACAAAACUUGCUUACAUCAGUUGGAGCUACUACUGCUGUAGCCACAAAGCACAAGGACAAGCAGUCAUACCAGUGAUUAAGUAAAUUUCUCAAUGAUCAUAAGAUUUGUGUAAAAUUUUCCUUUUAAGACUCCCUUACGUACUUUGAUUUGAUUAUAUGCAAGGACUGAUGCAAAGUUGUGUCAACAUACUCCUGGAAGUAUAUGAUGUCUACCUCUAUGAGUCAACAGCGAAACAACAAGGGAAUUUCACUUGUGACUGAUCAAGCUGAACCCAUGACUUGCUAGCAGAAAUUCCCGUCAUCUGACUAAGCAAAUACCGAUCCUAUUGCAACUCCUUUUACAAUAAUGUGGAACUUGAUUUUGAGCUUCAUUUUAAGAGAUGUGUGGUUGACUAUUGCAUACUCUACUCUCUCUGGUUGAUUCAAUCAAACUUGCUACUUAAACAAGAAAAGGAAGGAAAUUGACCAAUCUGGCCAGCUUUUGAACACAGACAAGAAAAAAAAUCCUUCUUUUCCUAUAAAAGUACCAAGAAGUCAUGAAGAUCCGAUCUUAAUUUUCUCCACACCUAAAAUAACUCCCCAAUUGUUGUCUAAUGACAAAUUAAAAAUACAGAAAUCUAGCAUUCCAUAGGAAUGUUUUAACGGAAGACAAUAGAUGACAUACAUACCUUCUGCUCUUCACAGAAUCGUGGAUCAGAAAACCAACUUUCAUCAACUACUGCAUCCUUCUUCAACUCUCUAUUGAAUGCAACUGCAGCCAUAGAAGAUGUUAUAACGAAUCUCUUGAUAUAUGAAACUUUUGCACACGAUCGUAGGACAUUAAGUGUUCCCCUGCAGGUUCCAGUAGUUCUGCCUAGAAAUGAAACAAAAGAGAAAAUGAAGUCAUUAUUGUAUCCUGCACAAUCAUGCUCCUAAUCUGUUUCCAAAUUUUAGUAUAAGUUCUGUAAACCUACACAAUCAGUUAAAUAGCUAAAAAAAUAACAUAGAAUUCUUGUUGAAUAAUGUGCUAAAUCAAUUAGCUUGAUUAAUGAGGUAGUUGGAAAGCUUUCUAGAUAGUUGCAAUAUUCUCUAGAAUGAUGGAAAUUAAGAGAGUUGGUGGGAUGGUUGGAACAUUUCUCUAUGUAUCUAGAAUGAUCAUUUACAAGCAUAAAUAGACCUUGUAAACUCCAAACCAAUAUAAGAGAGUGAAAGUGUUAGGACCAGGCCAGGAAAUAGACAAACUCAAGUUAGCACAAAUUAGGCGGUAUAACCGACCAUAUAAUAGAUAGGCGGUAGAUACCAGCCAUAUAAUAAUUAGGCGGUAAAACCGACCAUAUAAAGACGGAUAACAAAGCAAAUAAAAGACACAGAAGAUUUACGUGGUUCGGUUAAAUUGACCUACGUCCACGGGUGAGGGAGGAGCAAUAUUUCUACUAUGAAGAAGAAAUACAAAAGCCGUAGGAAAGUGGUUCCUAGGCCAAUAGGCACUUACAAAAGAGUUUAGAAAAUAUUCCUAAACUCAAAACAAGAGAGCCAAAAAUAUUUAACUGAAUGGGCUAGAUGACUCAAGAAGCUAAUAGCCCAUAUAACUCUCUUGAGUGGUGCAAAUGUCUUCACCACCAAGGCCAUAUAUUUAUAGGCCCUGAUGAGCCGUCUUCCUCUGGCUUUGUCCGAUGUGGGACAAACGCCACAUUCAACAAAUCUCCACCUUGGCGUGGUCCCAACAUCGACAAAUAUUCUCCACCUUCGCUACAUAAGCCCCAAUGGGCCGAAAUCACGAACAAUGAACACCAACCAAAUCCAAGCACUGCUUGAAUUUGUAAAGUGGAAGAGGUUUUGUAAACAUAUCGGCUGGAUUGUCCUUAGUAUUGAUUUUCUGAAUAAGGACCUUUCCUUCAGCAAUGAUAUCCCGAAUGAAAUGAUAUUUCACAUCAAUAUGUUUCGUCCUCUCAUGAUACAUCUGAUCUUUAGUCAAGUGUAUGGCACUUUGACUAUCACAGUGAAUAUCAAUAACACCUUGAUAUAGACUUAGCUCGCUAAAUAAACUCUUCAACCACAAGGCUUCUUUGAUUGCCUCGGUCACAGCCAUAUAUUCUGCUUCUGUAGUAGACAAAGCUACGACAGGUUGUAGAGUAGCUUUCCAACUAAUAGCACAACCGCCAAUGCAAAAUACAUAGCCUGAAAGCGAUCUUCUCCUGUCAAGAUCUCCAGCAUAGUCUGAGUCUACAAAACCAACCAAAGUAUUAUUAUUUCUUCCAAACUCCAAACAUACAUUUGAAGUAUCUCGCAAGUAUCUGAGAAUCCACUUCACAGCCUGCCAAUGUGUUUUACCAGGGCAAGACAUAUAUCUGCUAACAAUACUGACUGCUUGUGCAAUAUCUGGACGAGUACAAACCAUUGCAUACAUAAUACUGCCGACUGCACUGGAAUAAGGAACCCGUGCCAUAUAAUCUUCCUCUUCAUCUGAUUUUGGUGAUUGAGCAGCAAAUAGCCGAAAAUGGCUAGCAAGAGGAGUAGAUACUGAUUUAGCAUCUUUCAUGCCAAAACGCUCCAAGACUUUUUCAAGGUAAUUUUUCUGGGUCAAAAACAACUUCCCUACUCCUCGAUCUCGAUUAAUAACCAUGCCAAGAAUUUUCUUAGCUGCUCCCAAAUCUUUCAUUUCAAAUUCACUAUUUAACUGCAGUUUCAAGGUGUGAAUUUCUGACAAAUUCUUGGCAGCAAUGAGCAUGUCAUCAACAUAUAACAAUAAGUAAAUGAAAGAACCAUCAUUUAACUUCCGGAAGUAAACACAGCUAUCAUACAUGCUCCUCAAAUAACCAUGACCUAACAUAAAGGAAUCAAACCUUUUAUACCAUUGUCUUGGAGACUGCUUCAAUCCAUAUAAGGAUUUCUUCAACAAGCAAACAUGGUCUUCCUUACCUUCAAUUUCAAAACCCUGGGGUUGUUUCAUAUAAAUUUGUUCUUCAAGUUCGCCAUGCAAGAAAGCUGUCUUAACAUCAAGCUGCUCUAACUCUAAAUCAUACAUGGCAACUAAAGCAAGCAAAACACGAAUAGAGCUAUGUUUAACAACAGGUGAGAAUAUAUCAUUAAAAUCAACACCUUGUACCUGACUAUAGCCCUUUGCAACUAAUCGUGCUUUAUAUCUUGCAUCUUCAACCCCUGGAAUACCUUCCUUUUUCUUGAAGACCCACUUGCAACCAACAAUUUUCUUAACUGACGGCGGCUUUACAAGAACCCAAGUUUCAUUUUGAUGAAGAGAUUCAAUUUCUUCAUUCAUCGCAAUCAACCACUUUGCAGAAUCAUCACAAGAAACUGCUUCUGAAUAGGUGGAAGGCUCACCAACUGCAUCAGUUUCUUCUGCAACAGAUAAAGCAUAUGCAACUAAAUUUGCAUAUCUUUGUGGUGGUCGAAUAUCUCUUCUUUGUCUAUCUCUGGCUAUGGAAUACUCCUCUUCUUCUGAACUAUCUUCAACAGUAGAUUCAGGUGUAUCUACUGGCACUUGCUGAAUAGAAGAUUUUGAUUGAGAAGGACCAGAACGGCCAAUAUCAAGCUCCACCUGCUUCUGUGUACUAUCAGUAGUACAAGGACUAGAAGACUCCUUCUUGGAAGAUAACAUAGACAAUUCAUCAAAAGUAACAUCUCUACUGAUUACAAAUUUUGGGGAUUUGGGAUCAGGAUACCAUAAUCUGUAUCCUUUCACCCCAGAAGCAUAUCCAAGAAAAAUGCACUUUUUAGCCCUAGGCUCCAAUUUUCCAUCAUUCACGUGCAUAUAUGCUGGACACCCAAAAACUUUUAAAUUGGAGUAAUCAGCAGGAGUACCUGACCAAACUUCCUCAGGAGUUUUGAAAUCAAAAGAUGCAGAAGGAGAACGGUUGACAAUAUAACAGGCCAUAUUGAUCGUCUUUGCCCAAAAGUCAUUUGUCAACCCUGCAUUGGAGAUCAUACAUCUUGCUCUCUCCAAAAGUGUUCUGUUCAUACGUUCAGCCACACCAUUUUGUUGAGGCGUCAUCCUGACGGUGUGAUGCCGAAUAAUUCCUUCAUUUUUGCAAAAUUCAUUAAAUUCACCUCCACAAAAUUCCAUGCCAUUAUCUGUUCUCAACCGCUUAACAUGUUUUCCUGCUUGUUUCUCAAUCAAAACUUUCCAUUGCUUGAAAGUUAGGAAAACAUUAUUUUUAUGCUUAAGAAAAUAGACCCAAACUUUCCUUGAAUAGUCAUCAAUGAAAGUCAACAUGUACCUGACACCACCUUUAGAAGGAGCACGAGAAGGACCCCAUAGAUCUGAAUGAAUGUAAUCAAGAGUACCUUUUCUCUUGUGAAUUGCUGGUGAACUGAAGCUGACUCUUUUCUGCUUCCCAAAAAUACAAUGUUCACAGAAUUCCAAUGGUCCGGUACUUUGUCCACACAGAAGUCCUCUUUUGCUCAGUAUGCCCAAGCCUUUUUCGCUCAUAUGCCCCAAACGCAUAUGCCAUAAUUUGGUGAUGUCUGUAUCUGACAAAGAUGAUGUUGAAACAGCAGCAGUACCUGUAAUAGUAGAUCCCUGCAAAAUAUAUAGAGUACCAGAUCUGUGUGCCUUCAUAACAACAAGAGCUCCUCGAGUGAUUUUGAGAACUCCGUCUCCACCUGAAUACCUGCACCCGAUAGAUUCAAGAGUGCCCAAAGAGAUGAGAUUUUUCUUCAAAUCUGGAACAUGUCUAACAUUUGUGAGCGUUCUCACAAUACCAUCGUACAUUUUAAUCCGGAUUGUGCCUUUGCCAACAACUUUACAAACAGCGUUGUUGCCCAUUAAGACAACUCCACCUUCAGUUGAUUCAUAUGUUGAAAACCAGUCCCUAUUGGGACACAUAUGAUAUGAACAACCCGAAUCUAAAAUCCACUCAUUGUUAGACCUAAAAUUAUUUUCCGUUGCACAGAAAAUAGUUCCAUCAUUCUCAUCAACGGCAAUACUAGCCUCGGUGGUUUCACUCCUUUUCUCCUUUUGCUUUUCUUUAUUUUUCAAUUUAAAGCAAUCAGAGAUAAUAUGGCCCUUCUUUUUACAAUAGUUGCACACCACAUUUUUAUGUCUGGACUUGGAUCUACUUCUAUUUUUUGUGUUUCUCCUUUCAGAUCUACCCCGAACAAACAAGCCAUCAGCUUGACUCCCACUAGUUUCCCCAGUAAUAUCCCUAUCUAUCUGCUCUUUAGAUUUUAAUGCAGAUUUAAUUUCUCGAUACGAAAUUGUUUCCUUUCCAUAUAUCAUAGUAUCACGGAAAUGCUUAAAGGAUUGGGGAAGGGAACACAAACGUAAUAGGGCUUGAUCUUCAUCAUCAAUUUUCGAAUCUAUAUUCUCCAAAUCCAUAAUAAUGGAAUCAAAUUUAUCAAGAUGGGAGAGUAUAGAUGUACCUUCAGACAUCCGAAGCAUGUACAAACUCUGCUUCAAAUAUAGCCGAUUCUCGACUGUUUUCUUCAUAUACAAGGCUUUCAAUUUAUCCCACAUAGCCUUGGCCGAAGUCUCCGUUGCUACCUCACGUAAUACCUCAUCGGAGAGAUUUAGGAUAAUACUGGAUCUUGCCUUCUUAUCCAUCUCAGCAAAAUUUGCAUCUGUCACAUCUUCUGGUUUUUUCUCAAUUCCUUGAAUUGCCAAAUCAACUCCGUCUUGAACAAGAAUGGCCUCCAUCUUGAGCUGCCACAUGCCGAAGUUGACAUUCCUGUCGAAUUUCUCGACAACCGUCUUUGUUAUCGUCAUUGUUGCCACAAAAUUUGUAACCUGAAGUUUGUCUCAAAAAACUGGCCAAACAAAUAUGCAAGUCUCGUGAGCGGGCCCCACAGGGUGAGCGAGCCCCACGAGAUAAGCGGGCCCCACGGGGAUGAACGGACCUCACAAGGUGAGCGGGCCCCACGGAUAAACGGACCCCACAGGAUGAGUGGGCCCCACAGGAUGGACGGACCCCACCAGAUGAACGGGCCCCACCAGAUGAACCUGUCUUGCAAAAUAUAACAACCAGCUCUGAUACCAGUUUGUUAGGACCGGGUCAGGAAAUAGACAAACUCAAGUUAGCACAAAUUAAGCGGUAUAACCGACCAUAUAAUAGAUAGGCGGUAGAUACCAGCCAUAUAAUAAUUAGGCGGUAAAACCGACCAUAUAAAGACGGAUAACAAAGCAAAUAAAAGACACAGAAGAUUUACGUGGUUCGGUCAAAUUGACCUACGCCCACGGGUGAGGGAGGAGCAAUAUUUCUACUAUGAAGAAGAAAUACAAAAGCCGUAGGAAAGUGGUUCCUAGGCCAAUAGGCACUUACAAAAGAGUUUAGAAAAUAUUCCUAAACUCAAAACAAGAGAGCCUAAAAUAUUUAACUGAAUGGGCUAGAUGACUCAAGAAACUAAUAGCCCAUAUAACUCUCUUGAGUGGUGCAAAUGUCUUCACCACCAAGGCCAUAUAUUUAUAGGCCCUGAUGAGCCGUCUUCCUCUGGCUUUGUCCGAUGUGGGACAAACGCCACAUUCAACAGAAAGAAAUAAAAGAAAGAAACAAUUGAAGCCACCCUUGUCUCCAAAUAUUCCUCUCAAUUCUUGGCCUAAUAUCCAAUAGAUUGGUAUCAGAGCUAAGGUUUCAUUGCCUUAGUUCAUACCCCAAAACCAGAAAAUUUUGAGAGAUUUCUAACUACAAGAUGACCAAUCAUACUAGUGAUGGUCUUCCAAUUCCCAUAUUCUCCGGUGAGCACUAUGAUCAUUGGUUCGUAAAAAUGAGAACAAUUUUUAGAUCACAAGAUUUGUGGGAAUAUGUAGAGAAUGGCUAUAGAGAACCAGAAAGUGAAGAAGGUCUCACCAAUCAAGAAUUAAAGGCACUUAAAGAGCAUAGGAAGAAGGAUGCAAAGGCUCUUUCACACAUCCAGCAAGGUGUGAGUUCAGAUAUUUUUUCAAGCAUUAUGGGAGCUAUCAUGCCAAGGAAGCAUGGGAGAUUCUACAAAAGGAGUUUCAAGGAAAUCUUAAGGUAAAGAAUGUUACUCUUCAAACUCUUAGAAGAGAUCUUGAAAAUUUGAAGAUGUGUGAUGAUGAAAGUAUUCAAAAUUACUACACAAAAAUCACCACAAUUGUAAAUGAAAUGAAAACCUUUGGUGAAGAAAUUAGUGAUAGCAGAAUUGUUGAAAAAAUUCUUGUUAGUUUGCCUCCAAAAUUUGAUCCAAUGGUAUCCAUAAUUGAGGAGACAAAAGAUAUUUCUUCAAUGAGUGUUCAAGAGUUGAUGGGAUCGUUGAAAGCUCAUGAGAGAAGAUUGGCUAGACAUGCUGAAAAAUCUGUUGAAAACGCAUUCCAAUCAAAGCUGAAUGUCACCCCCAAAACCAAUGAACGAGAGCCAUCUUGCAACUACCAAAGAGGUGGAGACUCACAAAGAGGAGGUAGAUAUGGCCGUGGAAGAGGCAGAGGCAAAAAUUCAAGAGGAAGAGGAAGAAACAACCUUCAAAGAGGCCUUAAUGCUGAAAAUUCACAACCUUGCAGCUAUUGUGGUAAGACCAACCAUCUUGAGAAAGACUGUUGGCAUAAAGACAAACCAAAGUGCUACUAUUGCAAGAGGUUUGGUCAUAUUGAGAAGGAUUGCAGAUUCAAGACCAAUCACCAAGCACAAUUUUCAGAAGACAAGCAAGGAGAAGGAAACUUAUUCUACGCUUGUCACACAGCCACUGAAGUCAAGAACAAUAUGUGGUACCUUGACAGCGGUUGUAGCAAUCAUAUGACAAGAGAUAGAUCCAUUUUUAUUGACUUGGAUGAAUCUAUAAAGACUGAAGUGAAGAUGGGCAAUGGAGUCAUAGUUCAAGCACAAGGAUUGGGAACAAUUGGUGUCCAAACCAAGCAAGGUAUGAAGUUCAUUUGUGAUGUUUUGUUUGUUCCUGAUUUAGACCAAAAUUUAUUGAGUCUUGGACAGCUUCUUGAGCAUAAAUAUGCACUUAACUUUGAUGAUCAUGAGUGCUGCAUCUAUGACAAAAAGAAUGGUAGACAGCUUGUGAUGAAAAUCCAAAUGCAAGCAAAUCGAAGCUUUCCAAUCAAAUUCAAUUAUAGUGAAAAUCAAGCCUUGAAAGUAAAUGUCAAUGAAGAUUCAUGGUUGUGGCACAAGAGGUAUGGCCAUUUGAAUUUUCAUAGCCUCAAAGUGCUUCAACAAAGAGGGAUGGCAUAUGGUUUACCAAGAAUUGAGGAGAAACAUGAAGUUUGUGAAGGUUGUGCACUUGGCAAACAACACCGGCAACCAUUUCCUAAAGAAGCUGCAUGGCAAGCCAAGAAGAUCUUGGAGCUGAUUCAUACGGAUAUUUGUGGGCCCAUGAAGACAACUUCUCAUGGAGGUAACAAGUAUUUCAUCCUUUUCAUUGAUGAUUUUUCAAGAAUGACUUGGGUCUAGUUCAUGAAAGAAAAAUCCGAGGUGCUUUCAAUUUUCAAGAAGUUUAAAAGUCUUGUUGAGAAACAAAGUGGCCGUUACAUCAAGAAGUUGAGGAGUGAUCGUGGUAAGGAGUACACGUCAAAUGCAGUCCAAAAAUUUUGUGAAGAUGAAGGUUUGGAGAGGCAGCUGACCGUUGGCUAUACACCACAACAAAAUGGAGUCUCAGAAAGAAAGAACCAAACUGUGAUGGAGAUGGCAAAAUCCAUGUUACAUGACAAAGGGUUGCCAAAGGAAUUUUGGGCUGAAGCCGUUUAUACAGCUGUGUAUUUGCUCAAUAGAAGUCCUACAAAGGCCGUGUGGAAUCAAACUCCAAUUGAAGCAUGGAGUGGAAGGAAACCAUCAGUGAAACACUUGAAGGUUUUUGGGAGCAUUUGCUAUGCUCAAAUUCCAAAAGAAAAGAGGUACAAGCUUGAUGAAGUAAGUGAAAAAUGUAUUUUUGUUGGUUAUAGCUCCAAGUCUAAAGGUUAUAGAUUGUUUAAUUUGAAGACUAACAAAAUCAUUAUUGGUCGAGAUGUUGUAUUUGAUGAAAAUGCUGCUUGGAAUUGGGAUGAGAAAAAGAUUGUGAAGCAGGGUGUUUGCCAUCAUAAAGAAGAAGAAAAUUCAACAAAUGAAGAAGAAAAUGGUGAUGAUUCAACACCAACAAGCAGUCCACCACCAUCUCCAAAUUCAAGUUCGAGUUGGAGUUCUCCAAACACAACUCCAAUGAAAAUAAGGAGUUUAAGUGAUGUUUAUGCAAGAUGCAACUUUUGCAUUCUUCAACCAGAAAAUUUUGAAGAAGCAUAUGCAGAAAAGGAUUGGAGAAAGGCAAUGGAAGAUGAAAUUUAUGCAAUUGAGAAAAAUGAGACUUGGAAGCUAGUUGAAAAGCCUCGAGACAAGGAGGUCAUUGGUGUCAAGUGGAUUUACAAAGUUAAGAUGAAUCCAAAUGGUUCAAUCCAAAAGAAGAAGGCAAGACUUGUUGCUAAGGGUUAUUCACAACAGCCCGGAAUUGACUACAAUGAAACAUGUGCACCGGUUGCAAGAUUUGAUACAAUUAGAGCUCUCAUUGCCAUAGCAGCCCAAAAAGGUUGGAAUCUCUACCAACUUGAUGUUAAAUCUGCCUUUUUGAAUGGAGAAUUGAAGGAAGGGGUGUAUGUUCAACAACCUCAAGGUUUUGUCAAAGAAGGACAAGAAGACAAAGUGUAUAAGUUGAAGAAAGCAUUAUAUGGAUUGAAACAAGCUCCAAGGGCUUGGUAUAGUCAAAUUGAUUCUUACUUCAUGGAGCAAGAAUUCAAGAAGAGUAAAAGUGAGCCAACCUUAUAUGUGAAAACUCAAGGCAACUCAGACAUUCUCAUUGUUGCUUUAUACGUUGAUGAUUUGCUUUACACUAGUAACAAUGAGAAGAUAAUUGCUGAUUUUAAGAAAGACAUGAUGAAAAGAUAUGAAAUGAAUGAUAUGGGACUGCUACAUCAUUUUCUUGGUAUGGAGAUUUAUCAACAUGGUGAUGGAGCUUUUAUUUGUCAAAAGAAAUAUGCUGAAAAUAUUCUUGUGAAAUUUGGCAUGGCUGAUUGUAAACCUAUGGCUACACCACUUGUUGUAAGUGAAAAGCUUGUCAAGGAAGAUGGUGAAAAGAAAGUUGAUUCCAUUUUGUAUAGAAGUUUGGUGGGAAAUUUGCUUUAUCUCUCAGCUACAAGGCCAGAUAUCAUGUUUGCUUCAAGUUUAUUAUCAAGGUUUAUGCACAAUCCCAGUCAAUUACAUCUUGAAGCAGCCAAGAGAGUGUUAAGAUACAUCAAAGGGACACUCGAUUAUGGCAUCAAAUUCAGCAAAAGCACUACUUUAAAUCUGCAUGGUUAUUGUGAUAGUGAUUGGGGUGGAUGCCUUGAUGAUAUGACGAGCACCUCAGGCUAUUGUUUUUCGCUUGGUUCUGGAGUAUUUUCUUGGGCAUCAAAGAAGCAACAAAGCGUGGCACAAUCAUCAGCUGAAGCUGAAUAUGUAUCCGCAAGUUUGGCAACAUCACAAACCAUUUGGCUUAGGAGAAUUCUUGAAGAUAUUGGUGAGAAGCAAAAGGAAGCUACGGUGAUGUUCUGUGACAACAAAUCAGCAAUUGACAUUGCCAAAAAUCCAGUUUAUCAUAGCAGAACUCGCCAUAUUGCAAUCAAGCACCAUUUUAUUCGAGAUGCAAUUGAAGAUGGUGAAGUUGAACUAAAAUUUUGCAAGAGUGAAGACCAAGCUGCAGACAUCUUUACCAAGGCACUUCCAAAAGACAAGUUCAACUAUUUUCGAGAGAUGCUUGGAGUUCAAGGACAUCACAUUAAGGGGGGAAUAUGUUGAAUAAUGUGCUAAAUCAAUUAGCUUGAUUAAUGAGGUAGUUGGAAAGCUUUCUAGAUAGUUGCAAUAUUCUCUAGAAUGAUGGAAAUUAAGAGAGUUGGUGGGAUGGUUGGAACAUUCUCUAUGUAUCUAGAAUGAUCAUUUACAAGCAUAAAUAGACCUUGUAAACUCCAAACCAAUACAAGAGAGUGAAAGAAAUAAAUGAAAGAAACAAUUGAAGCCACCCUUGUCUCCAAAUAUUCCUCUCAAUUCUUGGCCUAAUAUCCAACAAUUCUCCUAUCUCUUUCUGCACUUGCGAAUGACGGUAUUAGAUCAAAUGUUAAGUUAUGCUUUUACUUUUGAGAUUUCACUGGGUGACAAUGGACAAUCUUUAGACCAGAUGAUGUUUCCACCAGAGUAAUAGUCAAAUAAGUCUCAGAUCUGGUUGUUAAUAAAAUGUGUUACCAGAAGUUCCAAAGAUCAGCUAGCUAAGUACAUUGAAACUGUGGUUACAAAAAGGCAGAGAGAGAAAAUAGAAGAGAUACUGCUUCUACAACUCUUGCAAAGAGAUUCAGCAGAAAAAUAAAAUGAAAGCAAUAAAGGGUUAAUUAUCAAACUUAUUUGAUGUCAGUGAGUCAAUGAAAGAUGAAUUAGAUAGCUUUGUUCACUGAAAUUACUAAAAUCAAAAUUUUAGAGAGUUACUUAACGGGAAUUCCACAAACACAAUUAGAGAACCAGACAAGGAUACGCGCACUACAUAAAGCAAUAAUGUAUAAGAACAAAACACAAAUUAUAUCAUAAGAACUAAACACAAAAAUAAUAAAAGCAUGAGUGUUAAAAACAUUGUAAAAUAUGCUAUGUGCAAUCAAGCACAAAUGAUCAAGUGAUCUUUCACAAUGGUAUAUGCACUCAAACAGGUAACUGGACAAAGUAAAUUAUGCACUCAAUUUUGUGCAGCUUUAAUGUUAAAUUCUUGAACAUUCACAUAUGGAAUAUAUUGAACAUUCAUAGAAAUAUUCUUAAACACUCUCAUAGUUAGAAUAUUUUUCCUUUUCAUCAAUUUUUACAAGUAAUUUAUUGACAAUCAUUUCAAAAGUAACAUAUGUAACAUUCGACGCAAGUAUUUUUGUGCUUGUAUUAUUAAAAGCAUUGGCCAUUUUUUCGUUUCGAUUGUUUUUUUUUCAAAAAAAAGUUUUACAUUUUUCGUGAACGCAUUUUUUAAUCAUCUUUUUAUCUCAUAUAUAUCAAAUCAUUAUAACACAUUUUUCUAUAAAAAAAAAACUCCAGAAAUAGCAAUCCAAACUGGCUAGUUUGUGGUGGUUACACCAUAUUUAUAAUUUACAUACGCUUUUUCCACUUUGACAAUUCAUACAUUCUCAAAUCCACUUUGAAUUGAUUAUUACCAAAUUAACGUGAAGAAUAAAUGACAAAUUACAUGAAUGAACUCAUGUACCAUUUCUCACAAAGGAUAAUGUUUCACAUUUAUUCAUUGGUAAUUUAAAUACAAUACAACAAUGCCUUGGCUAAGAUGCUAACUAAAUUCUUCUUCCUGAAGCUUUCAAUCAUAUCCUUUAAGCUGACCUUCAAAGGAAUAAAUCGAACUCCUAAAUUCUUUGCCUUCUCAUUGGAUACUGUGUGGGCUGGAUAAAAAAGGUUGCUAUAGUCUGACAAUCUGCAGUAUGUUAAGAAAAUUCAGAAAAGACAAGUAAGCAUAGUUGAAAAGAAAAUGCUCAUGUAAAAUUAAACUCCACAAAAUUUGCAGGAGACAGUAAUGCUUCACAAGCAUUUUGCCUUUAUAUAAAAUUUCUGUCAUAUAUGGUAAGAAAUUUAGUUUAAAACUUUUGUUACAAUCCAUUAUAUCAAAGGAAUUGCAUGGAUUAAUGGAAGGGCUGUAUUUAUCUAAUUAACUUUUGAACUUUCCAUAUGAACUAAAACUAGAAAAAGACAAAAUCAGAAAAUGCUGGCUGAGACAAAACCCUGGUAAUUUGAAAAACCUGGCAAACAGAAUCUUAGGUGACCAGAAUCAAAUUCAUUUCCAUCACCAAAAACUCAAUUAUUUAUAAUUUGGAGAGGAAACCAAUUUGGAGAUCCUACUUCUAAGAAGAACCUAAUUCUAGAAACAAAUUUGAGAAAGAGCUCAUUUGAUGAGAACAGGAGACAAAAGAUGCAGAAAAUUCUGGAUUUGAUGUAUGUACUUUGUUAAAUAUAAACAAAAAUUAUGCGAUACAUCUUGGAGGUGCAUAUUGCCAUCAACAACAGCCUAUAAGGACAUAUACUGACAAAAUUGACAAGGAAAAAGAGACUUACUUAUCCAGAAAUUUAUGAGUAGGGUAAUGUCCACGCAAAAUCUUGAUGACCUGAGAGGCAUGUGCUGAUCUCUCAACCAGACAAUAUCUUCCACUUGCAGAAGGGAUUUCAAAGGCAAGAAUAUGCGCAUGGGCAACAUCUCUAACAUCAACCCAUCCAAGAGUUACAUUAGGAAAUGCUCCAGCCCCUGCAUUCAAUGGAUAAUGAGAUCUUUAAGGAUAUACACUAUUGUCUUUUCACCUCUCCUCCAGAUAGGCAAACAAAAGUAAUUUCCAAUUUUAAGUUCCAGAAGAUUUGAAUUAGCAAUCACUUCUUGAAAUGAAAGUCCUAUCAUCACUGUACAAGGUGGCCAUUUAGCUCCAAAGAGUCAGUGUCAAUGGGAGAAGUAAUAAAACAAGCUGAUUAGCAAGUAGUCUUAAGACACAGGCAGUGACAACACAGAAUAAAUUUUUCCUGUCAGAGCCCUCCCAAAAAAUUCCUCAAGGAAGAAAAAGUUAUAACAUCUUCCACCCCAAAAAGUGUUGUUCUUCUUGAAAUUUGCAUAGAAUCUCAAUGUCAAAGAAUAGAAGAUGCAAGCAACAUGAACGUCAGAAAAAUGGUUGGACAGCAAAGCUUUUUGGCAUGACCAGCUGAUAGACCAGAUAGCUUGAUAUAUCAGUUCACAUUUCUAUCAAUGUCAGUGUGCUCCAUUACAAUAAUAAGCUAGCAGAACCUUACAAUUUUAUUAGUGUCAUAGAUACUUUGUUGUACGAUAACAGAGAACAUUUUAGUUCAUGAUAAAGCUAUAACAAAACACAGAUGAACAUCAUCUAAUACAGCUCACGACAUACCAUUUACUAGGCUCAGAAUCAAUUCUAUGGUGAGAUUAAUAGAUGGCUGCAAGACUGGACCAACUACGAAUCCUGGACCAACUACGAAUCAAUUCUGUAAUUUUUUAAUUAUUCUAAAUUAAUGGUAACUGAAUGAUUGGGUUUGUAUCAGAAAAAGUUAAUUUGAAACACCCCUCAUAGCAUGUUGUUUGAUUAGAACAGGGUUUUUCUAAAUCUUAAAGCGAUUGAAAAAUUGAACUCUACGGUCGUUCCUAGAGUUAUUUUGCAAUUAGUGUAAUAGCUAAUAGUCGUACCUUGGUUAUGUAAGGAUCGAAGACAACCUAAGAGGGGGGAUUAGGUUAUUUAAAAAACAAUCAAAUUGUAAGACUCUUUUUCUUCAAUUUGAAACUUACCCUCUUUUUUAGAUGACCAAACAAUGUAGCAAUUAAUGAUCAAGAUUGCUUGUGAGUAGAAGAGAAAGACAGUUUGCAUUUGCGAUAUAGUAAGCAGUAGAGAAAGGAUAACAAACCAGAAUCACUUCCAAACUCCUCUUGAGCUUGGAUACGCUUUAUAGAAUAAGCUUUUUCGAGUUGAUCAAUAACAACCAAUCUUUGUGUACAAAGGAAGGAUCACUUCCUCCUUGCCCCAAGCUACACUUGGUCAAGUUAAGAAGUUUUACUAUCACUCGUAUAACCCUCACAAAACUAAACUAUUGAAGUAAUUUUCUCACACAAGAAAAGGUUCUAUGAAAUUUACACAACUAAGAGUACAAAUCUUUCUUGAAGAGUAUUUUCUCACUAAAAUCACUAUUGAUAUGAUGUAAUCUCAAUAUGCAAAGUUAUUUUUAAACGGUUGACUUUGUUCUAUUUAUAUGAGACCAAAAAUUUCUUCAAUUAAUGCUUUCAACGGAUAGAAGGCAGUUAUAAGUCAACUAGCCAUUGAUAGUGUCGGACGUCCGGUGGACCUAUUUCUUGCGUUCGAACGCAGGCAGUGAGCUCAAAAAAAUUUCUUGAAUUAUUUCGAACUUCCGAUACCUUUAGUGUAUGCGUCCAAAUGUAGGGAGUGAAACUGAGAAUUCUUCUUCAAUUCUUUUCGGACGUUCGGUGCCUCCAAAGUUUUGUGUCCAAAGUGUCGCAAUGUUUGUCGGACAUCCGGUGCUCUGAUGAUGUGCAUCCGAUCAAAGUCAGUGAAUUUAGAAAGAAUAACUUAAUAUUAUCGGAUGUUCAAGAGUGCAGUUCUCUAUACGUCCGAAGUUGCGCAAUGAUUGUCGGACGUCCGAUCUAGUCUUUUUGUGCGUUCGACAGCCGCUUUAGUAUUCGAUGUGCUUAGUUUUUAAACAUGUUUUGCUCCAUUUCUGAAAAGAUAUAUUAAGAAAAUAUUAAUAACAUCCAUUUAUUUUGUAAUCAUCAAAAGCUACGGACUGAGAUAAACAAUCUCCCCCUUUUUGAUGAUGACAAAACAAUGGAUGGAGAAAAAAUAAUUGAGCCAAAAAACUCCCCCUUAGAAUAAUUUCCUCUCAUGUAUAGAUCACUGGACACUCCCCCUCAGAAUGACUUCCCUUUACGUAUAGAUUACACUUAUUACUAAAUUGCAUAUCCAUUUCUCCUCCUUUUUGUCACCAUUAGAUCAACCAGAAACCAGUAUCUAAUAACCAGAAAUCCAACAUCAUCAAUAUUAUCAGCAAUUAUCAACAACCAGAAACCCGAAACCCAACAAUGAUAUCAGCAAUUAUCACUGUCAGCAGUCAAGAUCGUCAACAUUAUGAAUAUCAUCAACAUUGACAAUCAAUAUCAGAAAUCAGAGACCAAAUAAAAUUAAGAGUUAACCAAAUAAAGGACAAUCCACAAAAGCAACAUCAUUCAGAGUAUAAAAGAUAAUCAAAUAGUUUUACAAACCAGCGGAGAAAAGGAAAUAGAAUCCUUAAUACAGAAUAAAUGAAAUGUUUAAAAUGCAAAAGAUGCAAAAGUCUAUUAUGAACUACCAUCCUAAACAUGAAGUGCAAUUGCCUAGAAGUGACUAAAUGGUGAUCUUGGACGAUCCAGACCUCCUCCUUGUUAGGUGGAACUGAGCAUGAUCCACUUCUUCCUCUUCAGUUUACUCAUUAUUAUCCUCUUCAAUUUCCUUUUCAGUUGCUGGAGCCUUUCCUUUGUCUUGUGGAUGAGAACUGGAAGCACGAAAUUCUGGAGUAGUUUCAGUACGAGGAGUUUGAUCAGUUGGCUCAGUUCUAGACUCCUUUUGUGUACAUUCUCAUUAUCUUGAGGAACAGGAGGCACAAGCAAAUUUCUUUUGUCAAUGAAGGUGGCUUGUUGGUCAGGUGACAUAGUCAUCAUCAGACCAUCUUCAAGAAGUAGGAUGUGUUGUUUGAGAUUCUCAAGCAAAGAAAUGACCUCAGAGUUAGAUGAAGAGGAUUUAGUGGCUGACCUUCUAGGAUGGAUAGUAAAGAAUGAGACAUACAUGGACUGAUCUCGAGGAGUCUUAAGGGAGACAGGUGUUUCAUGAUGAUUUUUUCUCCUAAACUCCAAAACAGUUUCCUUGUAGCACCAUUUACCAUAAAAAAACUUUAGAUUUUUUCUUUCAAAAUAUGCCUUUGAAAAGACAGUGGAUGUAUUUUCUUUUGGUGAUUUGUCAGUGAAGGGAAUUUUGAAAUGAGCAAAAAUUGGGGUCGAAAAUUUUUCAUAGAAAAGUUUUCUACGGCUAUCAGUGCUGAUUUUGAGUAAGAAUUUGCACAUAACAAAGCCGAAAUCAAUUUGAAUUUUUUCAAGAAAGCAGUAAAACAGGUAAAGCUCCAUUUUGUUGGCAUUUAUCCUAUGAUUAUCAGUAGGAACUAACAGAUUUGAAAUUAUAGAGAAGAUGAUCAAGUUUUGAGGGUUGAGAUCCUCCAAUCUUGCCUCAACAGGAGUAUUAAAAUGAGUUUGAAAAUAAGUCAUUAGUUUUGCAACAUGAAAUGAUGAUAGGCAGAAGCAAAUUCUUCAUAUGAGAAAAAAAUUACAAUUUUUCCUUUAAAACUAUCUUCAAUUUUGAUUUUCAGAACAGUGUUGACAAUGUCAGGGUUUAACUCUAUAUCAACAGAAUUGACACAUGAAACUAGAUCAGUGUGUGAUCUACCUUUCCUAAGAUUGGCAAAGAAUUGAUGAAGCAUGUCAGGGUAACAAGUGUUGGGAAUAGUCAGAAUAUGAGUCCAUUUUUGGAAAGCAAAAAAGUUCAAGAAUAGGUUCAAGGUCAAGUUUACGGAAUUCAGAAGGGAGAAUGGUUCUUUGAAUGAUGAAAUCCUUCUGUGAAAUCCAUUCGAAUCUCUCCCUGGCAUCAUCAUCAAUGAACUUUGAUAGUGGGGUAAGUUUCUCUGCAAUUUGAGUCUCAGGUUGCUCCCUGGCAGUUCGUUUCCUCUUUCCACUUAGUGGAGUAUAUCAUGUACAUCGGUCUAUCCACCAGACCUUGUUCUUGAUGACUUUCUGGUGAAAGUCUCAGUGGCUUGCUGAUUCUCAGCAUUUUGCUCAGCAGUUUGCUAUUCCUCAAUUUGCUCAACAGAAGGAUCAGCAGUUUGCCUUUCCUUAGUUUGAGCAGUCUUCUUCUUUUUAGCAGACCGUUUCCCCUUUUUACUAUGAGAUUCAGUCCCUUUUUUGGGUGAUUUCGUGAUGGAUGCGUCAACAUUAGUAAGCUGCUCCAAUUCCUCUUCACUAUCACUAACAUGAGGCAAUGCAGUUUGUUCAGCAGAAGUAGUUUGUCGUUCCUCUGAAUGUUUCUUGUGGGCCGAACCUUUCCUUUUUCUACCAUGGUUUUUUAUUCCUCUCUUUGGAGAUUUGGUGGUGGAUGGCUUAUCAAUGUCAAUGUCUUCAUCCCUCAACAUGACUUUGUGGUGCGUCCGGCAUUGACAGACCCUCUUCUAAUUCUUACCAUGAUGAGAUGCAGGAUGGUUAUGUUGCAAAGUACGAUGCAGAUGUGUAUGAGAGUAACUUAGGGUGCGAAUGGACUACAACAAAUGCUUGACUCGCCCAAAGAGAGUGAAUUUUGAGUAGUUAGGGUUACAGGUGAGAAUUGGGAUUUAUGGGGUAGUUGGCAGUUAGACGAAGUUAUGAAGGGUAAUGAACGGGCAAAAGGAAUGUAAUGAUUUUGGACAAAUCAAUUUCUCAGAAGUUGUUCAGAAGAGAGAUGAAUUUUGAAUUUGAAAUUGGACGAAAAUGAAGAGUUGCGUCCGAGACAACUGUAAGAAAAAAUGAACUGAUUGAAAGAAGGGACUAUCUUAUAAGACGUAAUUUUUGAAUGUCAGACGGCCGAACGAAGUGAAACGUCCGACACAACCGUUCGAAACAGAACUUUCUGGAAAAGUGAACAAGGACACUGUCAGACGUCCGUUUUAAUGCAUCGGAUGUCCGAUAAAGAGUGACCAGAGAAUUUUUAGAAUAUUUUUUUGAAACAUCCAAUUUUGUUCUUAAAUACACAAAUGGAUCCAGUGGUAAAGCUUUUGUGAGAAUAUUAGCACUUUAAUAUUUUGAGCAGAUAUAUUGAACACGAAUUUCACUCUUUUGGAUACGAUCGUGAAUGAAAUGAUUCUUUAUAUCUAUAUGCUUUAUCUUAGAAUGUUGAAUGGAAUUUUUUGUCAAAUUUAUGGCACUAGUGUUAUCACAAUACAUAGACACACAGUCAUACAUUAAUCCAAAAUCAUUCAAUGUGUUUUUCAUCCACAAUAAUUGAUCACAACAAGCUCCGGCAACAAUAUAUACCGCUUCGAUUGUAGACAAGGAAAUAGCAUUUUGUUUCUUACUAAACCAAGACACUAAGCAAUUACCAAGAAAGUAACAUGUUCCAAUUGUACUUUUUCUAUUUAUCCUACAACUGCCAAAAUCAGCAUCUGAAUCAUAUAAAUGGAACUCAUGACAUUUAGGAUACCAAAGACCAUAAUUUAAAGUUCCUUUUAGAUAUCUAAAAAUUCUUUUCACUGCAUUUAAGUGAGAUUCCUUUGGACAAGAUUGAAAACGAGCACACAAGCAAACAACAAACACAAUAUCAGGUCUACUUGCAGUUAAGUAAAACAAAUUACUAAUCAUACCUCUAUAUUUCUUUUCAUCAACUUUUAUACAUUCUUCAUCCUUGUCAAACUUGGUAGAUGUGUACAUAGGUGUUCCAAUUUACUUUGAAUUUUCCAUUCCAAAUCUUUUGAGCAACUCCUUAGUGUAUUUAGUUUGAUUAAUGAAUGUUCCUUCUCGGGUUUGAAUCAUUGGGAACACAAGGAACAAAUUUAAUUCUCUCAUCAUACUCAUCUCAAACUCUUUUUGUAUAAUUGUGAAAAAAUCCUUGCACAAUCCCUCAUUAGUAGCACCAAAUAUAACAUUAUCCACAUAGAUUUGCACAAUUAAAAGAUCACUUGAACUUUGUUUAGUGAAAAUAGUGUUAUCUACAAUGCCUCUUUUAAAACCAUUUUCAAACAAAAAAUCACUUAAACGUUCGUACCAUGCUCUUAGAACUUGUUUUAAUCCAUACAAAGAUUUUGAGAGUUUGAUCACAUGAUUUGGAUAAAUUUCAUUUUCAAAACCAGGAGGUUGGUCAACAUAUACUUUUUGAUCAAUAAAACCAUUUAAGAAAGUACUUUUAAUAUCCAUUUAAAAUAGUUUGAAAUUCUUGAAACAUGCAAAGGCAAAAAACGUUCUAAUUGAUUCUAGUCUAGUUACGGGUGCAAAUGUUUCAUCAAAAUUUAUUCUUUCUUCUUGUGCAUACCCCUUCGCUACAAGUCUAACCUUAUUCGUUACUAUUUCACCUUUGUCAUUCAUUUUGUUUCGAAAUACCCAUUUUGUGCCAAUGAUAGGAUGAUCUUGAAGUUUUUCAACUAAUGUCCAAACCUUGUUUCUUUCAAAUUGAUUUAGUUCCUCUUCCAUAACUAAAAUACAGUUUACAUCUUUCAAUGCAUCAACAACAUUUUUGGAUUCAAAAUAUGAGACUAAUGCAAAAUUAUCCAUCAAUUGUUUAGAGGAGGAAUGAGUUUUGACCUUCUCGGAUGGAUCACCAAUGAUGAGCUCCUUAUGAUGGUUUUGAACAAAUUUUCAAACUCUUGGAAGAUUGUUAGGUGUACCAACAUCCUUAUCAUUAUUUUCCAGUGCUGGACUAACUUGAGAACUAUCUUCCUUUUGAAUCAUUUUCUGAUGAAACAUUGUCUUGAUCAUUAAUUGUGAGCUUCUUUAGUUCUCCUUAAACACCUGCAUCAUCAUCUUCACCACAACUUUUGAAAAUAUCACCAUUAGAUUCAUCAAAAGUGGCAUGUAUAGCUUCCUCUAUAACGAGAGUCCUUCGAUUAUAAAGACUCUAAAAUCUUUUUUUUUUUACAAUAAUCCAAGAAAAUUCGUUCAUUAGAUUUUUUUUAUCAAACUUUUCAAGAUGUUCCUUAAUGUUUAAAAUGAAGCAUUUGCAACCAAAAACUUUGAAGUAUCCAAUAAUAAGUUUUUUUAUCAAACAUUAACUCAUAAUAGGUUUUAUUUAAAAAUAAUCUCAAGAGAACUCUAUUCAUAGUAUAACAAGCUGUAUUUAUAACUUCAACCCAAAAAUAUUUUGGCAAGUUGCAUUCAUACAACAUGGUUCUUGCUGCCUCUUGAAAAGUUCUAUUUUUUCUUUCAACAACUCCAUUUUGUUGAGGAGUUCUUGCAGUAGAAAAUUCAUGUGUAAUUCCAUUGUUAUCACAAAAUUCUGAAAAGCCACAAAAACGAAAUUCUGAACCAUUGUCACUUCUGAUCUUGAUGAUUUUCAACCCAAUUAGAUUUUGUACUUUUACAAAUAAUGAAACAAAGUUUUUUAAGGCAUCAUCUUUGUGUGCAAGAAACAUCACCCAAGUAUAUCUAGAAUAAUUAUUAACAACAACAAAGUAAUAUCUUUUGCCAUCUAAGCUAGCAGUUUGUGUAGGACCAAAUAAAUCAAGAUGUAAAAGUUUCAAAACUUUUGUAGUAGAAACACAUUUCUUGGGUUUAAAAGAAACUUUGAUUUGUUUUUCAAAUUGACAAGCAUCACAGAUGUUGUCCUUUUCAAAUUUAAUUUUUGGCAAAUCUCUAACAAGUUCCUUUUUGGAAAUCUCUUUUAGCAAAUCCAUGUUGAAAUAACAAAGUCUUCUAUGCCAUAACCAAAGGUCUUCAUUUGCUACUUUAAGAUAUUUAAAGUUGGAAGAAUCAACAUUUUCAAGAACAACUAUAUAAAUGUCAUUUAUUUUUGGGUUAAAAACAAAAAAGCCCCCUGUGAUAAGCCUAAUACACAGAAAAGCCCCCCAUGGUUUCAAAAUAUACAACACGACCCCUCAUGCUUUGAACUAAAUUGUAAAGGUGACGGAAUCCGUUAAACUUAACGGAAAUGACUUAUUGGAACCUAAAAAAAAAUUUUUAUACCUAAUUUUUAUCAAAUAUACCUAUUCUACCCCUUAACUCUCAAUUCUCUCUACUUAAAAAAUAAAACAAAUGAUUUUUUUGAGCUGUCUUUUGUUUAAUUAUGUAAGGGUAUUUUGGUCAUUUUGACCAUUUCCGUUAAGUUUAACGGAUUCUGUCACCUUUACAAUUUAGUUCAAAGUAUGAGGGGUCGUGUUGUAUAUUUUGAAAUCAUGGGGGACUUUUCUGUGUAUUAGACUUAUCACAGGGGACUUUUUUGUUUUUAACCCUUUAUUUUUAUUCCUUUGAAAAUAGUAUUAAGUUUUGAGUCAAGAAUAAGACAUUUAUGCUUUUUGAAUAACACUAACAGAUUUCUAUCACACAGUUGACUAACACUUAACAAGUUAUAACUCAAAUUAUCAACUAUAAGAAUAUUGUGAACAAAAGUUUGACCAUUCUUACCAAUAUCACCAAUUCCAACAGUUUUGGUUUUAUUAUUAUCUCCAAAAGUUACCUUUCCGCUUGAUUUUGGGUUAAGUUGGAUGAAUUGUGAUGGAUCACCAGUCAUAUGCCUUGAACAUCCACUAUCUAUGAACCGUUUUGAUUUCUUAACGAUAUUCAUCAAAUUCACCUACACAAGAGUUCACAAGAUAAAAUAUGGCACUCUUUACUUUUUGGGUCCUUGAGAGUUAGCAUUAUGUCUAACUUUCCACAUGCAUUUUAUGUCAUUUCUCAUAUUUUUUUUUAGCAUAGCAGUUACUCAUCAUGUGACCAAUUUGAUAAUAAAAAUUGCACAUAGUCAGUGAAUUACUUGCAUGGACAGGUUUAAGAAAUCUGAUUUAUCUUCUCUUGUAAAUGGUAAAUUCGUGUGCAUUAGAGUUCAAUCUUUUUUCAUGCAUGCCAAAAAGAGAUUUUGGUUCAUUCCUUUGAAACCAGUUUUGUUUCUUGUGUUGAAGCAAAUCAUCAAGGUCAUCCAUUCUCCUUUUCAAGUUUCUUUGUUCCUUUUUUAACAAUUCACAAAGUUUUGUUUUUUUAUCCAGUUCAAUAUGCAAAUCAGUCUCAAUUCUUUUCAGGUUAUCAUUUUCAACUUUCAGAUUCUUGUUUUGAAAAAGGUUUGCAUUGUCUUGAAUAAGAAAAUUGAUCUUUUAUUUUAGUUCCUUGAUUUUAACAUAGGAUUUUUUCAAACUAUUAUGCAGUCUCUCCAUAAAUGAAUUAACAUCAUCAUCAGAUUCAUCAUCACUAUCAAGUGGAGAGUUACAAGUAGUUACCUCAUCAUCACCAAUGGCCAUGAAAGCCAUUUGGGUAGAUUCCUCUUCUUCUUCGACUUCACCUUCUGAGUUGCAAUCAUUCCAUGUAAUUUGAAAGUUGUUGAAUUUUGAUUUUCGUUCAACUUUUCUUUCCUUCUUUUCUUCAUUGGACACUCACUUACGUAAUCUCCAGGUUGGCCGCAUUCAAAGCAUUUAUCAGUUUGCUUUUUAUUGAACUCUUGCUUCCCUUUAUUUUUUGCAUUGCUGAACUGAUUUGGGAAUAAGUUGCUGUUUCCUCCUUUUCUGAACCUUCGUUUGUUGAGAAUUCUCUUGAAACUUUUUAUGAUGAGAGAUAGAUCACUGUCAUCAACUUCUGCAUCUUCUCUAUCCAGGGAGGCAGAAUCAUCUUCAUCUUGAGAUGCUUUUAGAGCAAUGCUCCUUCUUACUUUUGCAUCCUCUUCCUCUUGCACUUUGGACUUAAGUUUCAGUUCAUAAGAGGUUAGAGAAUUUAUAAGAGAUUCAAUAGGCAAGGAAUUUAGAUCUCUAGUUUCUUCAAUGGCAGUCACUUUACUCUCCUAGUCCUUGGAUAAAGUAUUCAGAAUUUUUCUAUUUUUCUCACCUAGAGAGUUUUCCUUUUCCAACACCUCUAAGUUCUUAAUGAGGUCAUUGAAUCUACAAUAUACAUCUUAUCAAUGUUUUUAUGAGGUUCCAUCUUAAACGAUUCAUAUUUGGUAACCAGAAUAGAUUCUUUUGUUCUCUCAUAUUCUCACUCCCUUCAUGGAUUUCUCUAAAUUUGUCUCAGAUUUUUUUAGUUGACUUACACCCUUUGACCCUAAUGGAUUCAUUUGAAUCUAAGACACUAUACAACACAUUCAUAACUUUAGCAUUCAAGGUAAGAUGACUUCUAUUUUCACCAGUCAACUCAUUUCUAAUUUUUGGUUUCGGUCUAUGAGUGAUUUCAUCUAUUAUAGAGGUAUCAUAUGGACCUUCAUUGACAAUGAACCAUAACUCAAUAUCAAGAGAUUGCAAGAAAAUGAUUAUUCUUUCCUUCCAACUCACAUAAUUGGAUCCAUUAAACAUUGGAGGUUUAGUGACGGAUUGUCCCUCAAAAAAUAUGGCAUUGUUGGUUGUCAUUUUUACUCCAAAGCCGAUUGAGCUUAAUCUCUAGGAGACCAAACUCUGAUACCAAUUGUAAAGAUCAAAGACAAUCUAAGAGGGGGUUGAAUUAGGUUAUUUAAGAAACUAAUCAAAUUGUAAGACUCUUUUUCUUCAAUUUGAAAAUUACUCUCCUUUCUAGAUAACCACACAAUGUAGCAAUUAACGAGAGAUCAAGAUUGCUUGUGAGUAGAAGAGAAAGACAGUUUGUAUUUGCAAUAUAGUAAACAGUAGAGAAAGGAUAGCAAACCAGAAUCACUUCCAAACUCCUCUUGAGCUUGGAUAAAAUAAAUUUCUUCAAGUUGAUCAAUUACAACCAAUCUUUGUGUACAAAGGAAGGAUCACUUCCUCCUUACCCCAAGCCACACUUGAUCAAGUUAGAAAAUUUUACUAUCACUCGGAUAACCCUCAUAAAUCUACACUAUUGAAGUAAUUUUCUCACACAAGAAAAGGUUCUAUGAAAUUUACACAACUAAGAGUACAAAUCUUUCUUGAAAAGUAUUUUCUCAAUAAAAUCACUCUUGAUAUGAUGUAAUCUCAAUGUGCAAAGUUAUUUUUAAGUGGUUCCCUUUGUUCUAUUUAUAUGAGACCAAAAAAUUCUUCAAUUAAUGCUUCCAACGGAUAGAAAGUAGUUGAAGAAUUAACUAGCCGUUGGAAGUGUCGGACGUCCGGUGGACCUAUUUCUUGCGUCCAAAUGCAGGCAGUGAGUUCAAGAAAAUUUCUUGAAUUCUUUCGAACGUUCGGUACCUUUAGUGUAUGCGUCCGAAGGUAGGGAGUGAAACUGAAAAUUCUUCUUCAAUUCUUUUCGGACGUCCGGUGCCUCUAAAGCUUUGCGUCCGAAGUGUCGCAAUGUUUGUCGGACGUCCGGUGCUCUGAUGAUGUGCGUCCGAUUGAAGUCAGUGAGUUUAGAAGAAAUAAUUUAAUAUCUUUGGAUGUCCAAGAGUGGAGUUCUCCAUGCAUCUGAAGUUGCGUAAUGAUUGUCGGACGUCCGAUCCAAUCUUUUUGUGCGUCCGAUAGCCGCUUCAGUAUUCUUGGUGCUUAGUUUUUGAACCUGUUUUGCUCCAUUUUUGAAAAGGUCUAUUAAGAAAAUAUUAGUAACAUCCAUUUGUUUUGUAAUCAUCAAAAGCUACAGAUUGAGAUAAACAGGUUAUCAAUAAUUAAAAAAAAAAUUGAUUGUCAUCGCUUAUAUGGCAGUUAUAACUUAUUUAUCAGAUCAUAAGCGGAAUUAUUUUGUAUCGACGUUCAAUUAGGAGAACCAUUUCCGAAAUUGCUUCUUGACUAGAGUUUGUUCAAUAUUAUUUGAGUCUUAAUAAUUUACUAUUUACUCUGAGCUAUUUAUUAUAUUCAAGUAAUCUAGUUUAUUUUCAUAAAACCUCCCGUAUCCAGAAUUGUAGAAGAAGUUAAUUUCUUUUAGUCUCUAUAGAUUUGACCCUGCUUACCACUAGAUGCAAAAGUUCUAUUUAAUUUGAGUAGGAAUUUAUUAUUGCAUAGGCUCGACAAACUGUCAGUAAUGUCAUUAGUUGAAUAAUGUGCUUUUACUUAAAUGCUAAAUCAAUCAACAGCUUAACCACCUUGUAUAAAACUAUAAAGAGAUCACGUGGAUAAAUGCCAAAGCCACAGGCAGUAAAGUGGAUAUCUAUACAAAGCAUAAGGGGUUAUAUAGAUGUUAAAAUUGUGGAUAAAUUCCAAAGUCAUAGGGAAUAAAGUGGAUAUCUAUAUAAACCAUAAGGGAGUUACAUAUAUGUUAAAAUUUUAUCACAUGCACUUUUAAAUCACGUAUGGUAUAAAUGCCAUAACUGAUUGUGUAUUACAUCCAUUUUUCACUUUACAUAAAUCCAUAGGAGAAUUAUGUAUCUAUUUUAAAACCUUAGGAAGAUCAUCUAGUAUUAUGUAAAUCACAGGGGUUAAUAAGCAAUUUACCCAACUUUAAAUGCUACUAAUUAAAACUUUCUUGGCACUUUAAAAUUCCAUUGAAAAUAAAAAAAAAAGUAAAAAAAUAAUUUGAAAUUAAAAAUCAAAUUACUCUUAUUGAUUACAACUCAAGAAAAUGAAUGUUUCUCCAUAAAGUAAAAGUCACAACUAACUAUAAAUUUGUAAGAAAUUAUAUGACAACAAUCCACACAAAUUCAUACAUUUUACAACUGAAACAUAUCUAAAGACAUUAACCUUUUAAGCUGAUAACCUGAUUAAGAUCAUGUCAUCUGUGCUUCAUUAAUCCUCUUAGACGUUAUGUAAUCUGCAUUUAAACAAUACAAUGAACAUAUUACCUCUAAUGAAGGAUUAGUAAGUAGAAAUACCAGCUCAAGAUAUUAGCAAUAGUCGUUGAAAACUUUGCAACGAUCAAGGUAGCAAGUAGAAACUUGAGUUAGGUGAAACAAACAUUUCUCAACUAGGAAAAAACUCUCUUCCUUCUCUCUUCUUAUUUUCUCUAAUUUCUCAACUAUUUCAUGGCUGCCCUUCAGCCGUCGGCUGAGGGGCAAGGAUUAUCACCUACCAAAAACAAAUCUUUUUCUCAACUUUUUUCUCAGCCGGCAACAUCGCCUAUCCACAUUCAGCAGGCUUCUGUCUACAAGGGAGAAGCUGCGGUAGUUUUUUCUAAAGCAGAUGCAGACAAACUUGCAGCGCCGUUUCAAUGGGCUUUGGUGGGAAAAUUUUCUUACGGCCGACUGUCUUUGGAAGACAUUCGAAAGUUUUUUGCUUCUUUAAACCUGAAGGAUCAUGUUUCUAUUGGAUUGAUGGACUAUAGGCAUGUUCUCAUUAAGUGCAUGGCUGAAGCUGACUUCAACAGAAUUUGGAUGAGAGGGAUUUGGCAGCUGGGUAAAUAUCCGAUGCGUGUGUUUAGAUGGACAAGGGAGUUUCAUGUGCUUAGGGAAUCAUCUUUGGCUCCGGUUUGGGUAGUUCUUCCAGCUCUGCCUAUUCAUUAUUUCGACAAACAUUCAUUAUUCUCCAUACUUUCUCCAGUAGGAAGACCACUGUUUCUAGAUUCGGCAACGGCAGCUGGGACUCGACCAAGUUUGGCCAGGGUAUGUGUGGAGCUCGAUGUAGCGAAAUCUUUUACACAAAGAGUUUGGGUGGCUGUUGAAGGGGAGUCUGGAUUUUGGCAACGGAUUGUGCCAGAGAAUAUGCCAUUGUAUUGUUCAACUUGUUCACGUUUGGGUCAUUCCCAAGAGCAAUGCAAGAAGAAUGUAACUGAGGUUGGGUCUCGGUAUCUAUAUAAGCAUAACACGAAGCUGCAGACGGAUCUAUCGUUAGAAGUUAAUAAUGUUCAAGUGUCUAAUUUAGACCUCGUGAAAAACCCAGAUGCUAACUUGGAAAAAACAACAGAUGCCGUGACUGAUUCCGACGAAGUACAUCGUACUGAGAUGGGCAAUUAUGCGGAAAAACUAAAAGGUGCAGUGGUGGAGGAAGUUUGUACUGCCACAAAGGUUCAAGAAGUUAGUAAGCCUGAUGAUCACCUAAUUCAGCUUGGAGUAACUAAGUUGCCGUCCUCUGCUGGAUUUGAACAACCACAAAAUGAUCUUGCAAUGGAGCUGCCAGUUCGUGAGAAACGAAGGGAAAUGGAAAACCAGCUGGAGAAGGUCCACGGGAAUGAAUACCAAGGGACCCGUUUUGAAACUAAUAUAAAUCCCACAGACAAACUUCAGAGUAAGGCCGACAAAAAUACUCUUCAUCAUCUAAAUACUGAUCACCAAGUGGUGAUAGUUGCUGCAUCCAAGCCGACAACAUAUGAUGUGCAAGGGAAUUUGAAUACGGCUCAUAUGGGAGAGCAAGCACUUGUUGGGGAACAAUUGUUAAUGCAAAAGCAUUCAGAACAGGCCCAUGGAAAUGAUGAAGGGACCCAAGCUACAUCGUCUGAAGCAUCAAAAGAGAAACUUCAGUCCAUGGCCGACAAUAACUCUUUGGAGCAUCUCUAUGUUGAGUUGCGAGGAGUGGAGAAUUUCGGUCCUACAGAGCAUGGGAUAGUGGAGGUUAAUUCACCAACUGUUGCAGGAAAUUUGUCUCCCAGACCGGGUGUCCCACAAGAAAAUUUGACUGAAUCAUCAGGUCCUUCUUCAAGUCUUGAUCAAUCAGGGGGGGCUGACCGUAAUCCCAAACAAAAAAGGACAAAAGGUUUGAGGGCUAAUCUGCAAACCGACAGAAUUUUGCGCUCACGGUCAGAGACAUCAUCCAAAAACUCAUUCCAGGUUCUUUCUCAUGAUUAAUGGCAUUUUUUGGAAUAUUAGAGGAGUAGCUAAAGCACCUAAUCUACGAAGAUUAAUCAAUUUAGUACGGACACAUCAUCUCCAAUUUGUUGUGAUUUGUGAGCCAAAGUUAGACGUAUCUAAAAUACAAACCAUUCGUCUACGUCUAUUAUUUGAUUACGUGCUUGUUAAUUGUUCAAGUGAUAUUUGGGUGUUCUACAAUAAUCCUUUUCUUUGCUCGAUUGUUGGUAAUUCGGAUCAGCAUAUUUCUCUACAUGUACAAAGUCCCCUAAUUCCUUCUCCAAUAAUUUUGUCCUUUGUUCAUGCAAAAUGCUCAGUUGACGAGCGGCGUGAGUUAUGGUCCUCAUUGUUAGCUGAUAAGCCUAGUUUUCUUCCUUGGUGUAUUGGGGGUGAUUUUAAUGUUAUUGUAGCAACUCAUGAAAAAAGGGGAGGUCGUCCAUUUGCUAUAACAGAAGGAGUGGAAUUUCUGUCUUUCAUGGAGGAGGCUGGAGUAUUUGAUGUAGGCUUCUCAGGACCCAAUUUUACAUGGUCAAACAAUCGACGAAGUAGAGCUCGGAUUUCAAAGAGGUUAGACAGGUUCUUAGUCAACGGGGCAUGUCUGGAUCUUUCUCAUAACAUUUCUGUCAUUCACUUGGCUAGACAUCCAUCUGACCAUUCACCGUUAAAGCUCUCAUUUGUUCCUCAAUCAGAUACUAAGCCGCGUCCAUUUCGAUUUUUGAAUGUGUGGACAACUAAACCACAACUCUUGGAGGUAAUACGCCAGGCUUGGACUCAAGAUGUCAAUGGAUCUCCGAUGCGUGCUCUAUGUUCUAAAUUAUUAGCAACAAGAAAAGCUAUUCAGACAUGGAACAAAGAACACUUUGGAAACGUGAUCGAUAAUGUGCGAUCUGCAGAAAUGGCGGUGCAACGGGCAGAAGAAGUGGUAGAUCAAGAUGAUUCGGAGGAGUGCCAGAUUGAACUCAAAAAGGCUCAGGCGGAGCUGAGAUAUGCAUUAUCAAUUGAAGAACAAUUUUGGAGGCAAAAGGCUAGGGUAAAAUGGCUUCGACAGGGAGAUACUAAUUCAAAGUAUUUUCAUGCGAUAGUAAGACAGAGACGGGCUCAAGCUAUGAUUCAUCGUAUCAAAAAAGCCAAUGGUGUUUGGGUGGACAAUGAAGCUGAUAUAGCAAGUGAAGCAACCACCUAUUUCUCUGAACUUUUCUCGGAUUCUUUGGGAUCAUCUGCAGAUAUGCUACAUCUCAUUCCACCUAUGAUUUCGGGAGAGGAUAAUGUGAAGUUGGAAGAAAUCCCUUCAAUUGAAGAGGUUUAUAGAGUCCUGCAGGCAAUGGAUGAAGAAAGUGCUGCUGGCCCAGAUGGAUUCACGGGAAAAUUUUUUACUUUUGCAUGGCAAGUAAUCGCCCAAGAUGUCUACAAGGCGGUACUCAGUUUUUUCUGUGGAGCAGAGCUACCUCGUUUCAUCACCUCUACUUCAAUUGUUCUAAUUCCGAAGGUGCCAAAUCCUCAAGAUUUUUCUCAAUUUAGACCCAUCAGCCUAUGUAACUUCUUCAACAAGCUAUUAUCAAGGAUCUUGGCAGACAGAAUGGCGGGAAUAUUGCCAAAAAUUAUUUCUCCCCAGCAGACAGGAUUUGUGAAGGGUCGCAAUAUAACCGAAAACUUCCUACUUGCACAGGAGGUGAUAUCGGGUAUGGCGAAAAAGAAUAGAGGUGGAAAUGUGGUUAUGAAACUAGACAUGUCUAAGGCAUAUGACAGAGUGGCAUGGAGUCAUAUUAUAAAUGUUCUGAGAAGGUUCGGUUUUGGUGAGAGAUUCAUUGAUAUGGUUUGGCGACUGAUUUCUAAUGUCUGGUUUUCCGUCAUUAUAAAUGGAUCCUCAUAUGGUUUUUUCAAGUCUUCAAGAGGACUCCGUCAGGGGGACCCAUUAUCACCAGCAUUAUUUAUUAUAGGGGCAGAGGUGUUAUCUAGAGCACUGAAUAAUCUUGUCAUGCAACCAAGAUUUGUGAGUUUCAAAGUUCCAUAUGGAUGCCCGUCUAUUACUCACUUGGCAUUUGCGGAUGAUGUUCUUAUAUUUGCAAAUGGAUCCUCAUUUUCCCUGAAGGCUAUCAUGAAAGUGUUAGAUGAUUAUCAAAGAUGCUCGGGCCAAUUACUAAAUGUACAAAAAAGCUGUUAUCUGGUUCAUCCAUCUGUAUCAAUGGCAAGACGACGGCUGCUUGAUCGCAUCUCUAGGUUUGCCCGCAAGUCAUUUCCAAUACGCUAUUUAGGGUUUCCGCUCUACAUUGGAAGAUGCAAAUCAUCUUAUUUUGGAGAAGUUUGUCACGCAAUACUAGCAAGGAUUCUGUCUUGGAAAUCAAGGUUACUUUCCUUUGGAGGAAAAAUUAUUCUAAUCAAGCAUGUACUAUCUUCAAUACCAGUUCACCUAAUGUCAGCUGCAGUGAUUCCCAGCUCGGUGUUUAAAACUAUAGAAAAGGCAUGCUCGGCAUUCCUCUGGGGAUCCUCACCCGAGGAAUCGAAGCUUCAUUGGAUACGUUGGCCUCAAUUGUGCUAUCCAGUUGAGGAAGGGGGAAUUGGAUUUCGGAGAUUAUGUGACGUCUACACAGCCUUUUCCUCCAAGUUAUGGUGGAAAUUCCGAACAGAAUCAUCACUGUGGUCGACCUUCAUGAAAGCAAAGUAUUGUAAAUGUCUGCACCCUUGUCAGGUAGAACUCAGGCCAACGGAUUCGGCAAUUUGGCGAAGGAUGCUCAAUGUGAGUCGGCAAGUGGAACUCUCAAUAUUAUGGGUGGCCAAAUAUGGGGCGUGUCAUUUUUGGUACGAUAACUGGUUGGGGAGUGGUGCAUUGUUUCUAAAGGUUCCAGUUAUCCCAAAUUUGACGUUCCGAAACUUCGUAAACAACGGCCAUUGGGAUUUGAAUCUUCUAUACCACACAUUGCCAAAGGAAAUUGCUUAUUCCAUCUCAGAACAAAUGGUCCCAGAAGAAGGAAGUAUAGCUGAAGUCUUUUGGAUGCCCACAACAACUGGAAAUUUCUCUCUACAUUCGGCUUUUGGGGACAUUAGGCAGACCCGACCCACGUCUAUGGUAUUUGCUUCCAUUUGGCACCCUCUGAUACCUUUGAAAGUUUCAUUUUUCAUGUUGAGAUUACUUCUGAGGAGAAUACCGACACCGGAUAAGCUUCGUAAAUUUGGUUUCCAUUUGCCGUCAAAGUGCUUUUGCUGUACUGAGCCUUCCGAGGAGUCUAUUGAGCAUUUAUUCUCCAACGGACACAUUGCGUCAUUCCUUUGGAAUUAUUUUGGAGGGUUAUGUGGAAUAAAAUUCUCAAGAUCUUUUCUACGAGCACGCAUAGUUGAUUGGUGGUUGAAUUCACAGGAUUCUGAGUUACGAAAGAUUAUUUGCCGUAUUCUUCCUAGUGUAAUUUGCUGGCAGAUUUGGAAGGAAAGGAACAAAGCAAUGUUUGAGGGUGUCCAGAUGCAAUCAUCGGCCAUUCGCCAAGCCAUCUUCUCAGAAAUCCAAUCCAUGGUAGGAAUACAUUUUAAACAAUUGAUAAGACUACAAUCCUUUUGUCAAUUGUAUGAUUGGUCAAAGGCACCUGGGGGUACGGUUGUAUAUCAAGGUAUCCGCUAGGAAACCAAAGAGACAGGGAGGUAUACUCUUAACACGGAUGGAUGUGCUAAGGGUAAUCCAGGAAUAGGUGGAGGUGGGGGCAUACUCCGGGAUUCCACUGGAUUACCAAUGAUUGGUUUUUCGGCAUAUCUGGGAGAAACUACAUGUCUCCGUGCAGAGGCUUGUGCCCUUCUUAUUGGUCUUCAGAUCUGUAUACAUAACGGUUUUGGAAACAUAUGUGUACAAUCAGAUUCUUUGGUUUUAAUUGGGAUCAUUCAACGUCGUACUCAGUGUCCGUGGAAAAUUCGAAGAUACGUCAACCAGAUUUGGCAAUUAUUAGAUGAUCCACCUAGAUUCACGCACUGCUAUCGGGAGGCUAACACAGUUGCUGAUGCUUUAUCUAAUGUGGGUAUAUCUCAUCCAGAUAAACAAAUUGAGGUUUACGAUACUUUCAGUAAAUUCCCAAGAUUGGCUCGUGGGGCAAUCCGUUUGGACAGAAUAGGGAUACCUUCAAUUAGAAAAAUGAGGAUUAUGUAAGAGGAAUAUUUGGUUCUAUUUUCCAUGAAUAAAUAAAAAGAAUUUCUAUAAAAAAAAAAAAAAGGUAGCAAGUAGAAAGGGCACCUUGAACCUGCGGCAGAGAAACUAAAGGCACUCCAACAAAGAAACCUCAACACUUUCCAAUAUUUCUAAAACGAAAAAGGAAAUGGUACCAAUCAAUUUAGAUUUAAUCCCACAACUUGAGCAAAAAGAUAAAUUAUCUAGUAUUUUCCAAUGCUUGACCAUAUCUGUACCUACAAUCACGUUUUGGUUUGCGUAGAUGUCAUACAUCACAAAACCAGCAUCUCACACAAAGUGAAUGAGAUGUUGGCGCAUCUCAUCACAUAAUAAUUAAUUGAAAACAACAUGCAUUGCAUCCUUAAUUUUUUUGGAGCAUUACACCAAGAUAGAAUGACUUAAUAUAAAUGGAUUCUAAUUUAUACUUACUAUUCUAACCAGACCUACCAUUCCAAUUUAGCACACAUUUUUGUCAGAAUAUGGUAAAUAAAGGCACUUUAUACUAUAUGAAUUUCACAAAAAGUUAUGCAAAAAAUGGACGUAUAGGUAGAGAAGAUACAUACCCAAAAAGUUCUCAAUUAUGUUUUCAAGAUGCUAAAGUAAUUCUUUUCCAGAUUUGCUGAUGGUGCUUUUUGUUUUCAAGGUUUAUGCAAAGAACAUCAUACUAUCUCUCUUAGUCAAAUAAUACAAUUCUUCACCACAAAUUUCCUAAAGCAUCUCUGAACCUAGCUUGGAAAAAAAAAAGGAGAGCUUCUUAUUAACACUAUGAAAUGAUUGUGAGAAAGAAGAAUUUAACCUAGAGUAAUUAACAUACAACUCCUCAAAGGAAAGAAAAAUUAGAAACAACCAAUAUUUUUUUAUCUUAAAAUUGUACCCAUAUUCACACAAUAUACAAUGAUAAAACAAACAAAAACCUAUAAACCAUUAUUUUGUUCUAUGGGAUUUAGAGAGGAAAAAAAGUACCUUUAGUGAUUGUAAUGGUAGAUGACAACAGAAUUGAGAUGCUAGAUGAUAGGGUUUGUAGAUAAAGUUUUGUGGAGAAUGCUAGAUUGAAAAAUUUUCAGUGAGUUUCAAUGUUUUUAGGAUUUACUCUAAUACUUAUCAGUUACGAGAAGAAGUAAGGAAACCUCAUCAAUUAGGCAAGUAAAUCUCAUCAAACAGUGAACUGUGUUUUUUUUUUUUUCAUUUUGCUUAUUUUAAACUUUUAGGAAAUGCCAGUAACACUCAUGAUCCAAUGACGCAUAAGGUGAAAUGCCAACCAAGUGUGGCCAAAUUUGCAUUUGAUGGCAUAGUUAGCAAAAAUGCUGUUGAGCUAGCAUUUUCAUUGUGUGAAGAAGUGAAGUCCCCUUGAAAGAUUCAACCAUGGCGUUCCCUUGAAAAGUUCCAUUAAAUAGCUGCCACUAAUUCAGAUUUUUCUUGUAGUGAUUAGUGGCUGUUUAUUGGAUGUUUCUAAUUUGUACACACCGAGUCCAAUUCAAAGAGAAAGAUCUUCUUGUUUUCCUUAGUCUUUGUCUCUCCAGAAGAAUAUGACACGUGGGUCCCAAUCUUUUGCUAUUCUUAUUGAAGUUUCAAGCUACUAAGAAGUGUUAAUGGUACUCAAUUAAACAUUCAUGGAACACAUGUGGACCUGCGAGUAACACACAUCAUGUGAUGAUUGGUGUUGAAAUUUUCAAAAUCCAAAUGCAUAAUAAAAAAUUUAAUAACAUCAACGGCUGGAGUUUGGAAAUCAACGAAAUAUUUUUGUUUAUUUUGGAAGUUGCUUGCUAAACAAAAACUACACAGAAAUAUUCUGCAGUAAUUACCAUGAAAAUUUUUAAUUUUUUCCUUCUAGUUGUGGUGUCAUUAUCCACAGCAUUGUCAUGAAAGGGACGAGAAUUUUGGUGGACAGAAUAAAAAUUUGUUGAGUGUUUACGUGGUUAACCAUUUUGCUUCUCGUUAUUAUAAACCAUGACUAGUUGACUAGUUCUGAAACAAGGUUUGUCAAAAUUCAAACUUUAGAAGUUUAAGGUGUUGAAAAAUCUUGUUUGACAAAAAAGUGCAAAUACUUUUUGCUAAGCAUGAAAUUUAGCUUUUCUUCCCAACUUACCAAACGUGGCAAAGAUAACGUUUGGACUCUGAUUCAUCCAAGAUUUAAGCUCGUACAGUAACAUAAAUCUUCUGUGCCUUACAUUAGGGACAAUCAGGUGAAUUUGCCUUACAUUAUUUUGAAAACAUCAGCAACAUGAAAAAAGAUGUAAUGAAACAAGUUGUAGUAACCACAAUCCUCUGUGCCAAAUAACGGGGCAGACUCUUUGAACUGAGGGCACAAGAAUUUAUUUAUUUUUUCAGUAUUUCUUGAGGAAUUCUCUGGCAAUCUUUCCAUUGCCUCCCUUAGGAUAGAAUCCUCCUGGAACAUGCUCAUUACCAGUGCCAUAAACAAUCCUCAGUAUCUCCUCUGGACCCCUCUCAUAUGAGAUAGAGUAGGAAUUGGCAGAUAAAACGUUGCUUGAAGUCCGUCCUUCGGCGCCUAGCUUCAGUGGGACAAAGAUCCCUUCGUCCUUGAUGCCAUCCUUGCCCAACUUGUUUCUCAGCUUUGAAAUGCGAAUAGUAAAUUCAGCAACUGUUUGAUUGUAAGGAUAUACCACUUCUUUAGCUCGUUCAUAGAGAUACAUUCUGAUUACUGCAUCUUGGCCUGAUUCAACUCCUAGUAGUCCCGCCAAAAGCUACAAAAUUAAGGAGAAAAAAUAUAUGUGAAUCACAUACACGUUUUUUUCAACUUAGCUAUCUUGCUUAUUGAAACGAAAAAAAUUCUUAACUUUUUGAAUAUGCUCAAUCAUGGAUUUUUGGCCUGAAUCUUAAUGGACUUACACGCUUGGCUCGAUAGCCUUGGAGUAAGGGAUUUGUGCCAACAUAGCCUACUAGGCCUACAUAGGGAAUUACAUAAGAAGCCAACAUGUAGUUGAGGCUGUUGCUGUAGGGGUUGAAGGGAGGGUCGAGUUUGUACCCAAAUGCUUCAUCAAAGAGCUUUGCAAAGUUUUCAGCACGGAGGUCCAGCUGUGGCCUUGGGAACAAACCUACCGUAUCUCUAAGCGCCCUAAAGUUCAAUGACCAAAGAAAAAAUUGAUGAUCAGAUAUACUUCACGAUUGGGAUUCUAGCUCUAAUAU
Molecule: long non-coding RNA, 177940 nt
Filed under: Coffea arabica (coffee)
Lineage: Eukaryota; Viridiplantae; Streptophyta; Magnoliopsida; Gentianales; Rubiaceae
Description: long non-coding RNA (CARA_LNC001130)
Source: RNAcentral